This 89974-nucleotide long non-coding RNA is filed under the name Olea europaea (common olive). RNAcentral describes it as "long non-coding RNA (OEUR_LNC007030)". Lineage: Eukaryota; Viridiplantae; Streptophyta; Magnoliopsida; Lamiales; Oleaceae. The record is from RNAcentral.
GCUCUGGUGCAUUCAGUGGUAUCCAACAGAUCGGCCAUCCAUGAAAGUAGUAGUUCAAAUGUUGGAAGGAGAUGUGGACAAUCUCACCAUGCCUCCCCAUCCGGUUCCAGAUACAAAUGGGACAAACUCCAUUGCAGGAAUACGACGAAGACCUCAUCAGAUAGAGUUGGCAGUCAUAUCAGAAUUGGAGUGACACGGCAAAUUUUAGUGGAUUUGAAUUUUUAAAGCACUAGGGAGUAUUAAAUAUUUGCUUGCUGGCUAUUUUUCCUUCCAUUUACUGCAACCAUGUUUUUCGUAGCUUUUAUUUCCAACCUAAGAAUCAUAUUUUUUCUCUAAAAACGUGUAAUGUGCGAAAUAAGAAUGACAUUCUUUUUGACUUACAACCAAAGAAAAAGAAAAAACAAACACAUUUGUUUAAUUGAUAUGCGAGCACUGACUCAAUUGUAUCCUUUCCGUACAUGUAAGAGGUGUACUAUGUAAAGACAAGCAAUUAAUUUCAAAAAUCAUAAAGCUCUUGUACUAACUGUAAGUUCAGAAUAUGCCCUUUCUGCUUUUACAAGGGAAAUUUCACUGUCCCCGUCCACUUGCCACGUUCAGACUUGAGAGUUCUCUGCGUUUACACCCAAGUAGAUUUAAAUGCAUUAAUACCUGUCUUUUUAUCCUUGAUUUAAAUUCUUCAUACUUUUCCAAAUUCAUUUAACUAUCAAAAUAAAUAAGUCUCCUAUUUGGAGUAUUCUUUCUACCAAUUAAAAGAAUGGAAAAUAUAAUCCUUCCGGAUGGGUGAAAAGAUUUUACUAGUCACUAUUCUUUUCUUCACAUUUCGACCCUUUUUGUCAAAAAAAAGACACAAGUGCUACGGUCCCUAUUAAUUGUUUCUUGACAAAGAGAUACUACUUACAACUACAAAAACACAACUGUAGGCCUUUGGCCCCCAUAGCCAGCAUUGACUCCAAGUCGUUCCAAGAGAAAGACCAUGAAGAGCAAAGACUUUUGAAGCAAUAAAUAAAACAUUUCAAAAAAUAAUAGGGCCGCAAACCAAUGAAAAAAAAUAACUCAAGUCAAUUGUACACCACUUGCUUGUUGGCUCAUAAGGUCUUUGUAUUUUGGUGACGGACUUCGCUAUUUGGGUCAAUCUCGGAUGACACUCCCCUCACAAGAGAGGGUAGCAAUUAUUUUAUUACAUGUGGACCCUCCUCUAUUGUGAGAGGAGUGUCAUCCGGAAUGUCAACCUUGAACGUACAAAUAAUUUUAUUGUUUGAAGACAAUUAUGAAAUAUGGAGUAUGCACAUAAUACUGUAGAAUUACAAAAAUAAAUAAAAUAAAAGAAGAAGAAUAGUCCAUUGAUAAUUGCUUUACCAAAUAAAUGGAUUAAUAGAAUCAAAUACUGAAUAAGUGCUAAUAUGUAGUUGACAAUGUAGUAAUAUGUUAAUUACUCAAGUAGUAUUGGUUAGAUGAAGACUUAAAUUGUUGAGGUACAAAAAGAAGCUGUCAAAUAAUGUUUUUGAGGAGGGUGUAAUCUCACAAAUCUUCUGCAAUUUCAAUGCCAAUGGAGAAAAAUUCUUCCAUGGGGGUGGGUAUAAAAUCACAGAUUGUUAAAAGUGCUUGUAAAAUUUGUUUAUAGAUAUUAUAAAAGAUAUUGUGUAAUCUAAUUUUCAAUUUUUAUUUUUAUUUUAGGAAACAUAAUUAGGAUUUAAUUUUAUAAUAUUUCCUAAGAUUUCUAAAAUUGUCUUAUGCGAUGUAAUUCAAACAAUUUUGAUAUGAAUAAAACUUAAUUUUCUUCCUCUAAAUUCUCUCUUUCCCCCUCCUUUCCGUUUAUCUAAUUCUCCUUCCCUUUUUAUUUCCCUCCAUUCUCUCUUUAUUAUUAUUUCUUUCCCUUCUCCUAUAAUUGUUAUAUUGCAUCCUACGACUAUUUGAUAUUAGAAGAGUGUAGCAUUUUUCUCUUACCGAUUUUUGCUUCGUGUGUGCUUUACAGUUCUACAAGCGGUGGUGCAAAAACUUUCCCAACCUCAUAAACCAUUAGCCAAUUCAAACUAUACCCAAUUCAUUCGACAUAACACACCAUCAUAAAUUAUCAAUCCAGAGCAGUAGUAACUCAAAAUAAAUCUUCCAGUAAGAAAUUGCUGCUUCGUUUUAGUCUAUUGCUGUAAAAACGAAAACAUAAAUUUAAAAAAAAAAAUGAGGGAAAGAGAGUUAAAAGAAGAAGGGGGGAAAAAGCAGCAGUCGUGCCAAUUAAUCCCCUUCUUAAGUUUUCAUUAUUAAAAAUCCCAAAAAAGAGAGAAUUUCAUGGGCUACUUUAAUUGUGUUCAAAAUUCCAACUUUUUUUCUAUUUUAUUUAAAAUACUAAUAUAAGCUAGUAAAAUUUAAGAGAAUAAUGUUAUCCAUAUUGAAGACUACCGAUAAUUGCACAAUAUUUUGGCUUGUUGUGCAGUGAGUAUACCAAUAUCGACUAAUCUUUAAUUAUAUUGUAGCAUAAAUUAUCCCUUUCAGUCAUAUUAUUUACAUUUUUGGAAUACACUCGAAAAAUAGAAGUUUAAUUUUUAUUAUUUUUUUUUUUUUUUGUCUUUAGAACCAUGUUAAUGUUUAUUAAUUCAUGGCACUGGACAAGUAUCUUUAUCAUAAUGAGAAGUCUAAAAAGUGGCGACAUAUGGUUCUGUAAAGAACAUUGUUUCUUUCUAUUACAUCAAUGCAGCCUUGACAUCAUAUUUGUUAACAGUUUUGUUUGCUUUUAGCAUCUAGUGAACAUUACUUGAAAAUAUUUUGAAUGGAAAUUUAGUUGUUUUUUAUUUUUUUAUUUUUUGAAUGUACGUAACAGCUCCUCUAGAUCACACAAUUUUAAGGAACUCCUCUUUGAGUCUAAUCUUCAUCUUCGGUUAAAGAGCCUCAAUAGUUUUUAGUUUGAAAUUUCAUAAUAAAAAAAUGAAAUGUUGAUGAACUAAAUUACUCGAUUUUUGUUUCUCAGUAAUUGACUAGAAAUAACAUAAUGAUCAUUGGACAUUAUUUCACAUCCAAUUGCAAUACUUCAUCCCGAUCCCUAGAUAUGCUUAAUACUCAUUCUGACAAGCCCUACCCAAUUUGAGCAUUCUCAAAUGGGGCCAAGUUAGUUUAUAUAUUUAUUUAUUUUAAUUUUGCCUGAGUGGAAGGUACACACAUAUGAACUUUUCCAACCUCAACCGAAUUUUUAUUUUUGGAAAAACUUUCAACUCAACUAUAAAUUAGAUUUAAUAGCCAAGUGUAUUUUCUCAAAUUGAUUUAGAAUCAUCUGAAUUAGUCUUGAGCCUGGGGCUUCUAAUUGCUAAAAGAUCGCUUAUGCACUAUGUAGGUUGUCGCUAAUUUUUGAAGUAAUCAUAUAGCCCCAUCUACUUAAGACAGUUCAUCGCCAAUUAGCAAUAUUUAGUGCAUGUUUAGGCAAUAUUAAAGAAGGAAACAUAAAGUUUCUAAUGAUGUAUACCGCUGUAUACCAAACUUGCAAUUAGAUUAAGUUUGAUUGCCUUGAACUCCAUCUAUAUAAAAACCUCUCGAAGAAAAUAUGGAAUUUUUCCGACUGCACAGUUGAAUAAGAUAAUAUCAAUUUUUUGAAGGAUUCAAUGACAUUAUAAAGAAAAAAAAAUAAAAUAAAGAAAUCACCUUCGUGUAGCGUUGCAUGUCUUAAUUUCUGGCGAUCAAAGAAACUCAGAAUGGCUCGAAAAGUUAAAUAGACAAUUUCUCGUGAAUUAUGACAAGCAAAUUAUUGUAGUUUAAGAAUAUUAAAGAAACAAUUACUUAAAAAAAUUCACCAAACAAUUUUUUCUCAUACAAAAAAUCAUAAGCCGUCAACAAUCACAAGUAGAUUAGGCAAAUUCCUUGUGUAAAGGAUUUUGUUUACCAUUCCCUCACAUAUCUCUACUAGUCAUUCAUUUAUAGGGAAAAAAAUCUGUCAAAUGAUAUUCACAAUGGCACUUUUCGGGUACUUUUUUGCCAUUCCCUCUCGUCCAAUUUUUUUCGCCACUCUUCAAAUUGGGGGAAGAAGACAAUCCCGAACUAGAGAACUAACAAAAUUCCACAAGGAUGAGUUUGCACGUUGAUAGAAAAAUGUGUGGUAGUGAUAGGUGUUAUAAUAUGACCCAAAUUCUAGUAAGUAUAAGAAUUGUAUUUGAAGUGGCCUUGGAAAGAUCAAACUUAUGGAUUGAGAAAAUUAUCACAACAUUUUUGCUAGUCUGUUGCUAACUGCCUGCUUGAGCAACACUAGUAGAUUCUCAACAGAAAGUUCUCGCCCGCCUGCAGCUUGAGCUACAGCCUUUCCCGAGUAUUCGCUUUUUAACGUGUCUUGGACUUUUAUUUAUCUACAACUUGGUUUCUAAGCUUUGAUAUAUAUAAGUCACGGCUCGUAUUGAUUGAUAACAUUCAUACCACAUCUUUAGAGUUUUAGAUUUUGGUUGAGAGUAUUGAGAUCUUGUUAUAAACACAAUUGCUAUUGAUUAUAGAGAAUUUCUCCCCCUCUGUCAUAAUCUUCUGGUCAAAUUCACAAUAAGUGGUGUCGGAACGAUGAUUGAUUAUUUCGCAUGGCAGUGAUGAAAUUUGAUAUUCCAUUAUUGGAUCGAAACACGAAAUUUACUUUAUGGUAAGUAAAGAUGCGAGCAGUUCUCUAGCAAAUGGGUUUGAAGUAAGCCUUGCUUGGAUUUGAUAAGAUGCUUUCAACUCGGAGGUAGAAUGUAAAGCAGCAUAGGGAUCGGAAAGCCUAAACCUAAAUUUAUCUAUCAAAUCGAAUUCAUCGGGAUGUUCUCAAGGAGAAAAGUGUCAUUGCGUUGUGGUUAAAGUUAGAGUAACUUUGUAUGACAAAGAGCUUGACUAGCAAGCUACACUUGAAACAACACGUGUAUUCUCAUAAAAUGUCUAAAGUGGUCAUUGGAUGAUCACUUGACUACGUUCAAAGAAAUCGUGGCCGAUUUGGAUAUAUUGGAGGUUAAGUAUGACGAGUAGGACAUAGCGUUGAUGUUUUUGUUUUCAUUGUUGUCAUCACAGGUGACUUCUAGAAAUACUAUUCUCUAUAGUCGGGAUACUUUCAUUGUGAAAGAGAUUUAUGAUGCUUUGUUAUCUGAGGAGAAUAUGAGGCAUCUAACAUUCUUAUUGAAUGUAUAGUGGACGAGAAUUCAACUUUCGUUUCUUCCUUAAUAUUACCUAAAUUAUACAUUACACAAUACCAAAAAACACAACACAACAUAAUAUACCGAUGUUUUUAUCUAAGCAGCAAUGAAUUGCAUGACCAUAAAGCAAGAAACUAGACGAAGAGAAAAAGGGACAUUGUAUCAAUUUGAGUAUUGCUGGGUAAUGAUUUAUUGCUCAACGGCUUAAUUCACUAAACUGGAAGCAUUGCAUAAUAAGGCUAUGGAGUCGGUUGAAUCUGAUCCCCACAUUUGGUCCUCAGGUGGCGCAACCUGUAUGGGUGGCUGGCAAGGCUGAGGAGGAAUUUGCAGAGUCUCAACUUCACUUUCAAGCAUUUCCAUUACUUUACUCAUUGAAGGACGAUCCAACGGAUUCAUCUGUAUGCACCAUAAUGCAACUAUUGUCAUCUUUCUAGUAAUCUUCAUUUCUUCACAGCCUGAUUCAUCAGCAUCUCCAAUUUCAAGAUCCUUACCCUCGUUGAAACGAUCAUAUAUCCAAUCGGGAAAGUAUUGGCUAGAAAGUUCCGUAUUUUGUAUCAAGUCUCUCGUUAGACCUAACAUUUCCAUCAACAACAUUCCGAAGCUAUAAACAUCUGCCUUGUGCGAGACAGCCCCAAUGCCUCUGUUGAUCAAUUCAGGAGCUACAUAACCAAUUGUACCUCGUGCAGCAGUAAUAGUCACAAUACUAUUUCCAGUCGGGUAAGAUCUGGCUAGCCCGAAAUCAGAAAUUUUAGGAGUGAAGUUAUCAUCGAGAAGUAUGUUGUGUGGCUUGAUAUCGAAAUGCAGAAUUCGCAUGUCACAACCUCGAUGCAAAUACUCAAUCCCUCGAGCAACUCCAAGUGUAAUCGCAUGCUUUUUCUCCCAAGUUAAUGAAUGAGUCCCACCUUGCUGACAAGAGAUGUACUUCUCAAGUGAACCAUUAGGCAUGAAGUCAUAUAAAAGAGCACACUUGGACAUAUCUGCACAAUAACCAACAAGUCGAACUAUAUUGACGUGAUGAAUUCUUCCGGUAGUGGUAACUUCAUUGAUAAAAUCUUGUCCAUUUGAUUUAUUUUUGCCCAGUAUUUUCACUGCUACAUCCCUUCCACUUCGAAGCUUUCCUUUGUAAACUGAACCAUAGCCUCCUUCACCUAUUUUUUCCCGAAAACUUUUGGUCAUUUUCUUUAUUUCUGAAUACGAGUAACUGAUGGGCAUCAGGUUAUUCUGACUGCGUAGAAAGUCUUCUAUUGCUUUAAACAUUGAUAUGUGUCUUCUUCUCAGUUUAUAGACAAGUAACACGAGCACGAAUGGAAUUGCAAUUAAGAUCCUUAGUAAAAGGUUGAUUGCUGUUCAUUUAGAAACGAGAAGAACAAUUAGAAUAUUAUUUUGCAAAGACAUAAUACUACCAGGAAUUCUUUCUUUGCCUGGCACAUGAAAAAGCUGAGCUAUUUUGCAUUUAGGCUGUUUUUGAGCCCCAUUUAUAUGUAGAACAGGUUUUAUAAUAGUAAUUUUUUGGAGAAUGUGUUAUAAAAAGUAGAAAAAAUUUUAUGUUUACGUGUAAAAUUAUUUUAUUAAGAAAAUGUGCGUUUAAAAAUGAGUUUUUAUAGCAUGAAUACUCAUAUGCAGGUAGAAAAAUAUGACUGAAGUUAAGAAAAAAUGGGACAGAAAUUCUUGCAUGAAAAUGAACCCGAAGUAGAAAUGGUUCUAAAAUAAUAUUUUUAAUUUAAAAUUUUCAUAAAAGUUGGCAUUGAGAUUGUGGAAAUGAAAUCUUUCUAAAGUGGUUGAGUUUUAGAACCUUUGUUCAUUGAAUUGCUGAUUUGAAGUAUACAAAAAGCAAGUAAUUUACCUCACAAGAUUUAGAAAUUCUUCAUUUAAGAUACAAAUUUCUAUAUUGUAAUGUCAAAUGACAACUCAGUGUAAAAUGGAUAAAGCUUACCCGUGAUCAGCGGGAGUAAUUUGGAAAACCCUGCAAGUUAACCAUUAAUCCAAUAAGAAGGAAUGCAAGAAAUAUAUAACAAGCUCUGAGUGCCUGUUUGGCUGAACUUAAAAAGUUCAUUUAUAACUAAAUAAAUAAAUUUAAAGUAAAUUACUUUUUAUUGAUUAAAAUCGAAAUGAAGUAUGUUACUUAUUUGAAAGUAAGCUGCAAGUUACUUCUAAAAUAAGGAACUUUUUUUAACUUACCCAAACAUGAUUGAGAAACAAAUAUUACUUAAUAAUACAAUAUUUCAUCUGAAUAAUAUUCAUAUAAGUGUAUUUGCAUGUGCGGGUACAUUUCAUAAAGAUUUCACAAUUUAUAAUAAAGAUACACAUCAAUAUUAACAAGUGUAUAUACCUUGUUUUUGUUAUUUUCCAUUCAAAUUCUACAAUAUGAAAUUCAAGAUAAUUUUUGAAUUAAUUUAUAAAGAACAACAUAAUCUGCUUCAUUAAUACGACCUAUGAAGUAACAAAUGUGUUCUGUGAAAAUGAAAUGCACUGCAAUGUGCAUAAGUUUUUCAAAUAUUGCAAGACAAUUUCUUAUAAACGUUUUUGCAGUUAGAGGAUUAAAAUACUGUAACCUAAAUGGAGUUAAAGAAAAGAGAAUGUGAAAGGGUCCUUACCAUAAAUCACAUAAAUCAUGUAGUUAAUCGAGAAACCUACAUUGCCAACAACCAAACAUCGUCAGAAAAAAAUUUAAAGAAACAUUUCAAAUGUAAGGACGUUGAAGUCGAAUUAUAUUUAACUAGGGAAAAGUAUGAUUUGUAAAUUGUUGCAAGACCAAUAUAUAUGUUAUUUAUAUAUGGUGAGAUGUUACGACCUCUACACUUUAAUAAAUCAUCAGAAAAAGGAAUAUUGGGUGAUGAAUACAAGUGUCUUCUUAAUUAUUAAUUGUUACUGUGACAUUAUUUAUUUAUUUUUUUUUACAGCAUUUGGACAUCUCUAUUUUACCUUCUAUAUACAUUUGUUUCUCUAGGCAAACUUGACCCACACAUGACACAUCCAUUAUCAGUAUUUGAUUUAGAAGAAAACAGGCCAGCGCACCCGUCAAGUCUUACCGGAGCAGAAGUGUGCAGACCCCCUCGUAAAAGAACAAAUGUUGCAAUCUUUUUCCUUUUUGCAACGGCUAAUCGUCGCAGUGAACCAUGAAAGCUCAAAUCCAUAUAGCAGAGAGCUAUGGAUGUCUGAAAGUGAAAGAUGAUUGACAUCCUUAAAUGGCCACGAUGUCAUCACUAUGAGAUCUAUACUGCACAUAUCCCUUACAUCUGACGCAUUCAAAUUGCCAACGUUAACAUACGUGUAUCUUCUGGUGGAAUCAUUUGAAUCAAAGACCCUGUUGCCACAAUGAGCAGUUUCCAAAAAGAAAGAAGAAUUUACGGGAUAUGGGCAGCUCAUAAAAGUAAUUGGCGAGUUUAAUUUAUUCAAGGAUCGAUAGGUUGAGUUGUAGGCGUAAAUGCUAUAAGGAUAAUUUUUAGAGAGGUUGUAUCGAAACAUAGAAUACUGAGGAAAAGAGCAAGUAUCAUUUUUUAAGGCAGCAUCAACCAGAUGAAUAGUGAAAUUAUGGUAAUUGAUGGAUUUCACAUGGUACCUGUGGGAAUUUAGAUAAAGUGAGGCUGUAUUGUUUUCACAAACUAGUUCAUAACUGGAAUCACCACAUCUUUUUGGAUCCCCUUUUAAUCGGAAAGGAUAGCUGAUGUUAUGAAUCCUGCCACAGGCAGAAGGGUUGCAUUGGGGAUUACGGUUUGCGCAGGAUAUUUGAAGUAAUUGUAGUAGGAUCAGGACAGAUAAACAUUCAAGGAGGAAGGUUUCACUAAGCAUGAUUUUCGAUUACUAGGCAAUGAAUUGUGAGUGAGGAUGGAUAGUACUAAGGGAAGCGUAUUGCAAGGGAAAGACUAGUCUUUUCCAUCGAGUGUGAAUGCUCAAGUCUUCCUUCCAUGGGCAUGAGAUAUAGUCAAACUUGGCAACUGCAAUUUGUAACCGUAUCAACCUUCUGUGACACUUCCUGCAGAUAAAUUACUAAAGUUGUCAAUUCAUCUUGAUUUUAGAACGAGUCUCUAGAGAAUAGUCCAAUUCAAUAGCCACAACCUCGUGACAACUCUUACAUAAGUGAGUCUUCCAAAGAUGCGUGUGACCCACACCUCGCAAGAAUACUUGCCUCAAUACUCAUUCAUGGAUAAACCUUUCAAAAGAUCACAUUAUUACUAGCACAUCACUAUAGAAAUGAGCUCAAAUAAAAUAGUGCUAUUACAAGUGAUGCAGUAUGGGUUAUUUCUACCACAUUGAACCAUUUUCAUGAGAUCUUCAACAAAGGUUGGAUUACUCCCGAAUGUGAUUCACUUAGGGCUUUAAACCAUCCCCCUCAAUGAUUUAUUGUGUCCAUUGCGGACUAUAAUCAUGUCCCUCUUAGACAAUAAUUUUGUACCAUAAUAUUUUCGAGCUCUUAUUCUCUGCCUGCACAUCUACACAUCUGCAAAAUCUUCUAAAAAUAUUUCAAAAUAUCAAAGUCACUUUAAGUAUAAUAAGAUAAACACAUGAAAUUUAAAAUUAAACACAUGAAAUUUAAAAUUGACUUAUAGUCAUGUUUGAAUAUGUGCAUCCAUUCAACUCUUAUGUUUCACCUGUAUGUCUCCAAUUUCGUUUCUAACAAUUUUCAAAAGUCAGUUUUACACAAAGAAUAAUAAAUAUAAGGUCUAUUUUAUUUGAAAUUUUUAAAUACCCCACAUUCCAAAAGAUAUUUGGCUUGUAGAGCUUUUUUUAAUAUAACAAAAUUACAAGUCAUAAUAGUUCUCCUUUUUCAAUGGACCGAAAUUCUUAAUGCUUAUUAUAUGCAUUAACCACCAAUACACUUAUUGAGACAUCAUAGUGCGCCCCCAGGGCACAUCUCCAAGUGGUAAAAGGGGAGGGUGGAGAAAUCUAGCUUUGCUUGAGGCUGCUGCGUCAAGGGUUCGAAUCCUGAAAUAUAGAUUUGGCUCUUGGGUAAGUGCAAGUGUACAAGCAGCCUUUCACCCUGUACCCUUGGAGGCAUAACCUGCGAUUUACCUCCCUCACGAUGCUCCAGGGUAGGGGUGGUGGGGGACCCUUAAGGUUAGGGUUUAACCUUUAUUUUUUUUUGAGACAUCAUAGUGCUAUAGAAACUAGAAACAAUACCAAAAUCGGUCUGUAAGUCAAAUAUCUACCAUUUUUUUUUCACUUUCUAAAAUUGUCCUAUAAUAACAUAUUUUUAUAUUUUUUGUUAAUUAGCCAAGGAUUGACUAGAGUAGAAAAAUCAAUACAUAAAUAAUUCUACACAUUACAUUAUGGACUUGCAUGUAACAUCGCUUAAAUACAAUAACUAAUAGCUACUAUUGUAUCAUUAACCACACAUUAAAUUUGCCUUUAACUUGUAGUUCUAAAUUUUAUUUUGAGUUAAAUGUACCCCUUCACUUUACUCCAAGAAAAUAUAGUAUACAAUAUUAUAACCUUAAUUAUUAAGUGUCGAUUACAAAAUUUUAUACUAAUAUGAAACUUCUCUUUGAAACAUUUGCUCAUAACUUUUAUUACCAAUAGAUUAAAAUUAAACAAAUAAAAUUUGAAAUGAAUAGCAAUUAUGUUCUAACAUAAUUUGUUCAAAAAGUUUCUAUUCCCACAUAUAUGCACGUAGGUACUUUCAGAACAUCAUUAGCAAACUUAUGUCAUGAUCAAUUAUUGACAAAAAAUAAUUGCAAAACUGAUGUACGUGCGCAAAUAUUAAUGACUGCGUAAAAAUCACAUAAUUUUACCUGCAGCUUGGAAAAUAUAUUUCCUUUAGUGGUCAUCAAGGAACAACUUGUAUUCAAUAAUGACAGUGUUUAAGAGAACAUAUGUGCACAUAUUUACCUCAUAUAUUGCAAAAAAUUAAUUGUUUGCUCCAUCUUUUAUCAUAAGAAAUUGUUCAUAUCACUAUCGAGCUAUGAAAGGACGCCAAUCAAUACCCAUAACCUUCCUAGAUGAAGAAAAGCCAUCAUUUCUUUUCUUAAUUUCUCAAACCACAAAGGUAUUUCCCUAUCUCAUUCGUGCUAUGUUUUAAGAUAUAUGUUUCAAUUUCUAACAGCUUGUAAAGAAAACUCCUGCAUUGUGAUAUAUCGACCAUAGCAUUUAACUAUUUAGCAGUUAUUUUAUUUAUUUAUUAAAAUCUCACUGAUGAAAGAAUAGGAAAGAAUUGAACAAGGCAUGAUGCUCAUCAACUCUUCAACCAUAAGCAUGUAGAAUAUUAAGGUGCACAUGGAAUUUAGCCUCCUGUGAUCAUUUCACAAAUACAGAAGCAAGCACUUCAAUUAUGUUUGAAUGUCUAACCUAUUUCAACUACACAAGGACUUAUUAUUAUGUAUGUAAGUAAUCAUCCAGCUUUAGAAUUAAUCCGAUAACCACAUCAGAAGUUAAUAACCAAAGUUUAGGAUCCUAAAAGAUACAAAGAAAUAAUUCAUGGGAAGCAAGCAGAAAAUCAUAGUGAAAUUCAAACACCUUCUAGCUAAUCCCAUUUUCAAAAUGAUCGAGGACGCAAUUAAUUUUUUAUUUUUACAAGUACUUAAUUAAUGUUAAAUGAUACGUUGUAGAUUUCAAUGACCUUUAAUUUUCCAGAGAAUUUUUAAUUAAGGAAGGAUAAGCAAUCGGCCGAAUGAUUAAUAGUUCCAACUUUUAAUCGUAUAAACUAAUUUUCUCACUUUCAUUCGGGUAUUAUCAGUCAAUUGAAUGUCACAGAGUUACAUAAAAAGGAUUAGACGAAAGGCUCAUCAUAGUCAAAUAAAUUUCGAUAUGACAAUGGAUUGCCCGGGAUUCGAACCCAGAACUAGUCGGAUGAAGUAGAUAAUUCCUGCAUCUAGGACUGUACAACGGGCAUCAACUCUGAAAUUUAAUGAUGUUUGAUAGAUCAACAUUAAUUAUAGUGGGAGUGCACAUGUUAUAACUCGUAUCAUCGUUUCAGCACCAUUAAGUUGCUGGCCUAAUUGUUUAUUUCAGCCACUAUAGAAAUUAUUAAAUCUGCAGUAGCACUUUAGGAAAAAUAUCAAGUUGCCAAAACUAUAGAAAUAUAGUAUGAAAUAUAAAGGGAGUAUUUACAUGUUUUGAAGUUGUAUCCUUUUAUGAUGCACCUACAAAAUGAAAUCACCAUCCCUAUUAUAUGGAAAAACCAACCCCCACUACAAAAAAAAGGGGCUCCAGCGACCAACCUUUUAGCAACCAUAAAAAAGUGGUCGCUAUAAUAUACUUUCACCGACCACAGACUGGUUGGUGAAGGGCGAUGGUCUGCUAAAAUUGAACUAUUUUUUUGGAACUUUUUUGCGACCAUUGUGUGGUCGCUGGUUAUCAUUUUUAGCAACCACCAAAUGUUGGUCACUGAAUAAUCGGUUGUUGCAUAUUCAGCGACCAAGGAAUGGUCGCUGGUUGAAUGUUCUAGCGAGUAAAUUUUGUUAAUCGCUGAAAAAAUUGGCGCAAUUACUCCCAUUUGUUUUUUCCACGUUUUUUAGCUUCGUCAUCGACCAAAGAAUAUGGUUGCUGAUUAGUACAAUGUUCCAGCGACCAUAGAAUGGUCGUUAGUUGUGUAACUUCUAGCAACCAAAUUUAUUUGGCAGCUGGAACACCUGGUACCGUCGCUCCCACUUAUUUUUUCAACAUUUUGACUUUUAUAGCGACCAAAUUCAUUGGUCCUUGAUUAGUCCAAGGUUUUAGCAACCAAAUGGUGGUCGCUAAAAUAUGCCUUUCGGCAACCAAAUUUUCUUGGUCUCUGGAACACUUGGCGCCAAUCACUCCCGCUUGUUCUAUUCAACAUUUUGACUUCCAUAGCGACCAAAUUCGUUGGUUGAUGAUUAGUCCAAGGUUUUAGCGACCAAAUUCGUUGGUCGCUGAUUAGUCCAAGGUUUCAGUGACCAAACAUUGGUCAUUGGUGUACGUCUUUCAAUGACCAAAUUUACUUGUCGCUAGAACACUUGGGGCCAUCACUCCCGCCUAUUUUUUUCAACUUUUUGACUUUUAUAGCGAUCAUAUAUUGGUCGCUGGUGUAUAUCUUUCAUCUACCAAAUUUUUUGGUUGCUGGAAUAUUUGACGCCAUUAUUUCGACUUUUUUUUUUUCUCAACUUUUUUGACUUCUAUAGUGACCAACUUUCAUGGUCGCUAAUUAGUAAAUGAUUUUGGCGACCAUAAUUGACCAUACUAUGCUUGCUAGAACACUUUUUUUUAAAAAAAAAAUUUAAAGGAGAGUGGUACCUUCGAAAUUUUAUUAAUUUGCCCUUACUUGUGGCGAAGGAUAGCAUGGUUACAUAUGAAAAUAAUGAAAGUAGUAAAUGAGGAAGACUACUUCCCUUACAAUAAAAGUAAAUGUUAAAGAACAAAUGUAAAACAACAAAAGUGAAAGUACUACGUCCUUUACAAUAAGAUCUAAUGCAAUUAAAGAAAAAAAAAGAAUAAAUUAAAAAUAAAAAUAAAAUUCAUAUUCUAAUGAUGGGCAGUCCAUGUUUAUCUAUCUUGUUUGAAUCUCUCCCUAACAAGCUCUUUAUCUUCAGAAUCGCAUUCACGGAAAAUAGCAAAAAAGUGAAACUCUACCCAAAAAAAAAAAAGAGUGUCAUAAAGGUAUUUGUCCAAAUUUAGUGCUCUUUGUGGAAUUCUCCAAAUUUUUAACCACAAAGAUGAGGCUACAAGGCCCGCCUAAUUCCGCUACACCAUAUAAACCUAGUAACUAAGACCCUAAUCAGUUCCUCCUUCACAUUUCUGUCUCGUUCAAUAGAGACGCAAGAACAAUGGGUAAACCAUUUCUCUCUUCCUCUCUCACUAUAAAUCACUGAUCAAUACAUAUAUUACGCGUAUUCACUUUGUAUGUAGAUUAUUUGAUUGGUUGCAAUAAAUUCACAGGGGCAUAAUUGUGAGUCUUCUAUGGUUUAUAUAUUUUACACUGAAUAAAUAUGCGAAACAAUUAUAGAUUUCUAUCUAUUUUCCUCUGUGGUGUAUUCGUCUUGUUGCAUUGAAUUUUUGGUAAUUAUGGGAUUUUGUAAUUUCUUCUAUCUAGCUUGCCAAAAAAUUGAUGAACAUAAUUUCCUAUAGGUAUUGAUGACUUUUAUGAGUAUGAAAUUGAAUGUCUAAAAUCCAGUUUAGUAAUGUUAAUUUUCUUUUAUAUGUCCCCAACAUACUCCAAUUUUGCCUUGGUGAUUUUUGAUUGUUAACUUCUAUCGCUACAGAUCUCAGAUUUUCAGAAAGUUUUGGAGUUGCAGCUGCAAGACUAGUAAAAUGCAUUGUAUAUAUCUGGGAACAUCAGCUAAGUCAUUAUUAUAGUGUAAAAAUUAGUUUUCAAUUAUUUGUCAUUUUUAAUCUUACUCGUUUAUCAGGUUAAGAAUUAAUUCUGACAGCAUUGGAAUCUAUCGUUGUAGAGAUCAGUCAUAUUCUUAGUGUAGUUGUUUGCCUUAAGUCACGUAAGAGAUGGUGUGCCCUUGUUUACUUAAGCCAUUUAGUUAAGUUGUUGCAAAUAACAGAGAAAAAAGAAAGGUUAGACUUCCCCAGCCUACAAGAAAUGCUACUGUUAAGGUUAAGUUUAGAAUUGAAAGCAUGUUUGAAAAACAUUUAUAAAUGGUUUUAUUUAUAAUAUAUAGAAAUGACUUGUGGUUUUAUUUAUAAACUGAAAGCAUGUUUGGGAAGCAUUUCUAAAUAAUGCUGCCCUUUUCAUUUUCUAUUGAUCUCAUUUUUCUUCCGUUUUGCUUAUAAGCCAUUUGUGGCAUUUACUAGGUAUGGUUUGAAAUGGGGCUUAAAUGAUUUUUAUGAGUGAAGUCAGUUGGCUCUGCCGGUGUAUGGUUUUUACUGUUCUUAGUUUCUUGUUCGGUUAAAUGAUUAAUUCUUUGUUUGGUUAAGGGGAUUUAAUCAAUAUUUUUCUUUUUAGAUCUUGGCAUUGAAAUAGGACUUGUGUAUUUCUUGGAUGCACUGACUUAUGAGAGGAUAUGCCUUUUUAAUGUCAGUCAUGAUGAAGUAAUUAGGAUGUUAUUCUACAGUAAAAAUAAUGAUUCACUCAUCACCUUUUCAGUUUAUGCUUCAGAUAAUUUUAGUUCCUUGAAAUGUAGUACCACAAGAAUUGAGUAUGGGUUUUGCAUCAUUUGUAAAUGAUUUCUAUUCAUCCUUGCACCAUUUUUCUCAUGCAUGUCGCAAACUAUUUCAGAUGCCUACGAAGGGGCGAACCAAAUGCUGGUUUUCCUCUCUUUGAGACAGAAUCGUCAAAAUGGCCAAGUUUUGUUGAGUUUGAUGACGUAAUUGGGAAGGUUCUUACUUAUUUUGCACAAGAUAGGUAAAUCUUAAAAAUCCACACUGUGUUGUCAUAAGAGUGCUAUAGUUUGUUGAUAUAUGUAUGUUUUCUUUUGGUGUCAGCAUAUACAAGGUGUUUGACUCAAAAAAUUAUACGAUGCUGUACUCCAUCUCGGAUAAAAAUGUUCAAGAGAUUAAGAUCAGGUAAAUUUUAUAUUAAUGUUAAUCCAUACAUUUACUGGCUUCAAUUUAUACAUCUAGUAUAAUAGACAUUUGAAAUGCUUUCAAACGGUAGUUUAAGUAUGAUUUAUGAUAGGUAAAUCUUAAAAAUCCACAUAAUAAUUAAUUACUUGUGUUCAAGCUAGUCCAAUGCUCUGAGGUAAAGCUUUUAUUUCAGCUCCUAGUGCAAGCUCAAGGUCCGAAACUUUAUCAUGAAGCCUGUCCUUUACAAUGCUGAACUUAUAUCUUGUUUUACCUGUUGAAAAUGUCACUUGUGUCAUCAUUUUCGAUAUAGUACCAGCUUAGUAGUUGUAUAUUUACAUGGUCAGGAGAAUUUUAAUGUUCAAUUUGGCAUUUAAUUAUAUCAAUUGCAGAUAAUCAAGGGAAGGUGUUUUGCAACUUACUUGAGAUGCUUUAAACUUUACUUAUAGGUUGAAAUCUAGUCUUCUUGAAAAAACUAACGAUUUGCUACAGUUUUUGUAUUUAAAUUUAAUUUUCCAGAGAUUGUUAUCGUCCACAUUAAGGUUGGCUCCCAAGGUUGGACUUCAUGUUGUUACUCUGAUUAACUAUUUUGUCAGUUCAGGAGGGUAACAUUCAUGCAAGAUACCAUGUUCAUCCUUCUUUAAAUGCUCAUACAAAUGUCACAAAAAAAGAAAGUCGAAGCACAUAUCACUUACUAUUCAUCCAAACUACAGCAAAUGGAAGCCCAUCUCCUCAUGGGCAAGGACAGCACUCCAAUGAAUUACACAUUCAUGUCUCAACACCCUUUAUUGCUCAAUCUGAUGUAAAUAGGUUCACAACUCAUUCUAGGUUGAAGUUAGAAUUUAUUUUUUUGUGGUAAAAUAUUAGACAUUUUGGGUUAUGUAUUGACUAUUAGUACUUGUUAUAUGUGCAAUACAAUCUUAUUUCUGUAGCGAAAUGUUUUUUGUUAAUUUUAAUUUUUCCUGAUUCUUAAAAUAGCUAAUUAUCAACUGUCUUUGUGGUUAUUGAAAAUUGAAACAAUAGACAAAAUAUUAGCAGGAACAAAUAAUAUUGGCUAUUAAAAGAUUAAUGUUCACUGACCAAAGAUUUGUUGUAAAUGAAUGUAAAUUAACCAAUUUUAAAAUAUUAUCAGCUGCAAAAUUGGUUUCCUUUACCGACCACAGUUUGGCAGCUAGUUGCAUUACAUUACAUUACCUUGAACCUUUUACUAACCACGGAUUGAUCGCUGUGCGAUGAAUAUAGCGACCACAGUUACUUGGUCGCUAGAGGUCUUGUAUUAGCGACCAACACUUUUCACCUUGACCAGCCACCAUGAUUGAAUCUUUUAGCGAUCAAACUAGUGGUCGCUGUAAGUAUUUUCACCUUUAACAGCCACCACGAUUGAACCUUUCAACAACCAAUUAUUGGUCGCUGCAAGGUAUAGAUGCAACAACCACACUUUAUUGGUCGCUGAAGAGCUUCACCGACCAGUCAACGACCACAAAUAUUUGGUCGCUAGAGUCCUUUACCGACCAAAAAAAGACCUUUAGCGACCAACAUUUUUGGUCGUUGGACCCUUUUUUUUUUUUUUUUUAGUGCCCCACAAUAGUGUAAAAUUAAUUAAUUCAUAAUCUCCUUUCAAAUAUUUAAGCAUAUGUUAUAUUAGAGAUUAAGAUUUUAAUUAACCAAAACUGAAAAUUAAAAUGUAAUAAUUUUGAAAGUUGAAACUUAAUAUACUUCCAACAACUUUUUGUUUCCCAGCAGUUAUUUGAAAUACAUGUUGCUCAAGUGACUUGAUCAAAACAAAAUUUCUAAUGUAAGAUUCAGAUUGAUAAGAGAGGAAGGUGAUGAAAAUAGAUGACUUUGAAGAUCAUAAUGUUCAUCUUUAUCAACUUCAGAUUGCACUUAUCAAGGCUUACUAUUCUUAUUCUAUUACAUGUAAAUUGAGUGGUUAUUUACUUAAUUUAGGUAAAUAAUUUUCAUUAUUGAAAAUCCCAACUCAAAUAUAAUUAGUGUGAAAAAAUUUAUUUGGAGCUCAAUUGGAGUUGAUUCAAGCAAUUGAAAAUUAAUUGGAUUACAAUUGAUCAACUGGAAGCAUCAAUGGAGCAAUCAAUAAAAAUUCAUUAAUUUCAAGAGUUAAAUUCAACAUUUAGAAAGAUUAAGGACUAAAUUGAAAACGUUCAAAACUCGCAUUUGGUCAACUGUUAAUGAUUUUACAAUGAAGAGGACUUAAUUUUGAAGAUCUGGAGAUGAAGGAUUAAAAUUGCAAGUAAAAAUGACUACAAUUGAAAAGGGAAUUGUUUCCAUUUUCUUCUCAAACUACGUUCAGAAACCAAUUUAAACCAGAAUUUUGACCUAAAUACAUGACUUGGUCCAAAUAUUGUAAGUGGGGUUAUGGGGAUUCGUUAUAUACAACUCAUACAAGGUAAAGGAGCUUAUUGGAACACAAAAGCCAUAUCAAUUACAAAGAAAAGAGAAUCCAAAAAUGAGAGGAAAAAAAUAAUCAAGAACAAGAUCAUCAUUUUUUUUCCCUUUUUCAUUAAAAUUCAGCGGUUUACUUUAAUUUCUUCUAGUUUUAUUCUUCUCCCAUUAUGUUUGAUUAAGUAAUUAGUUAGAACGAAUGAUUGAAACCUAGCUUUUGAACCUUAAUUUUAAUUAUAAAAUUUUAAUCUUCAAUUGAUGUUGUAAAUUGUUUUUACUUCUAUGCUUAAUUGCUUGGAUUAAUUGACAACUAAUUUAUUGCUUUGUGAGCCAUAAUUACGCUGAGAGUAUAAUUAUUUUCUUAUACCGUGUAGUAAAAGCCUAAUUUAAAUAAAAAGGUAAAGAUACACUUUUAUGAUUAUCUUGGUCAUUAAAUGAAUUUUUUUGGUAAUUGAAUGCUCUUGAUUAAGACUUAUUGGGUUCAUAUGGAAAUAUGCCAGUUCACUUACUUGUAUAGAAUUGGUUUAAAUUAACUUGAGAGAGAUAAAACAAUUAAUUUGGAAGAAUUCUAGAUAGACAUAAGCACUUGUUAUGAAUAACGGGAUAGCUAUGGUGAAUUCUUGAAUCCAAACUCUUUAAUCAUCAUAUUGAAUUAUAGCUACUUCAAUUAGUCAUCAAUCGAAUUUAAUUGAUGAAUAGUUGAACCAACGGUUAUAUAAAGGUCUUCAUAGAAAUGACAAUCUGGACUCUUAGGUCUAUUUAUUACUUGCUAUGAUUCAUAUACUUGCGGAAUAUAAAAACAACAAUAAGUUUUGGCAUCGGUGUCGAUGACUAUUUUAUUUAAUAUUGAUUUUAAUUAUUUCGGCUUUUGUUUGAUUUUUUUUUUCCCUUUGUUGUUUUUUAGCUGACCCACUUGAUUUUCUUUGUCUCAUUAACACGAAACGAAAAGUAGCAAGAGACUAGCAAUAAUAUGCAAUGAUUGACCCCAACAUUGAUGUUGAUGACGCUUGUAGGAGAUAUAUGCACCAUGAAGGGAUAUAUGUACUUGUCGAACUUUAGUGACUUGCCAGUGCCAUUAUUUAUCCAAUUGACUGUUGAUGAGGAUAUAAUGCUGACUUGUGAAUAUUGUGAGGUUUAUAUAUCAUACAAAAAAUUACUUCUUCUUCGCCAGUCAAGAGGAAGUAAAAUUAGAUUUUAAGAAUGAUCCAUCUUUCCAGUAUGAUCUAUGGAAGAAGACGACGAUGUUGACAUGCUUAUGGGAGAUGGCUUCACCAGUAUAAAUAAAAAUUAUUGAAGCUCAAAUAAAUCUCAAUUAAAUCAAAUAACAUGCUUAUGGAAGAUCUUUUUGUCAUUCAAUUCGAGGAGUAAACAAUUAAAGAAGAAGAACAUAUAGAGAUGGAGAAAUUAAUCAUGAUGGAGCCAAUAAAAUCAAUGACAUUCAAAGAAGAUGAAAUUAACAUGUAAAAAUAUCUUAGUCGAGUUCGAAUUGGAUAAUUUUGUAAGUCAUACCACAUAUUAAAGAGGGAAAAGUAAGAUUUUAAAGAAUAUGCAAGGUGUGGUGCAAAGACAAUCUAUACAAGUUAAACAAGAUCUCAAAGGCUCUAUUUAAAGUGCUGUGAAAAAUCAUAGCCCAAAGUGGAGUUUGAGACUAAAUCAAGAACAAAUGGAACUUUGUAAUUUUAUAUUACAAUAUUACUUAUAGAAAAUAUAAUUUCAUAAUACCUGUUUGACACACUAAAAGUGCAGCCCAAAUUGAAUAGCCAAAGGAAUGAAACCCAAUUGAGGAAUCCCCAAAUCAAAUAGCCCAAAGAAUGAAACUCAACUGGGCAAUUCAGGAUAAAGGCCCAGAUAGAGUUAUUAAUGAAUGUAGUGGAAGCCCACGAACACAGUAACAUCAUCGCCCAAGCUUGCAAGACGCUCAAGAUCUGAGCGAAUGAAGUGCCUUACAGUCGCCCAGAGCUAUGACCCUGUUCUCACCCAAACCUUCGAAUCGCCCAGGAUUUUAGCAAACAUAAGAUGUUAUGAUUAUCCAAAAGUACAGUUAUUGAAGCAAUUAUCGAGUAACCUUAUCACGUUCCACGAUUUAAGGAGUUCAGUUGAAGAUGGUUGAACGACAAAUAGUAGUGACAACAGUUAGAGACGGCAGUUCCACGACAAGUUAGCCACCAUAAAGAAAGUGGGUAGUUAUAAAGCAAUCAAGCAGUUUCUAAGCGGUUGAUCACGAAGAAAUCAUCAAGGGAAUAUAAAAGGAAGAGAAGACAUAGAGCAAAGGACCUCGAAUCAAACACUCUUAGACAGAGAAUAUGUAAUUUUAAUUUCUUAGUUUAGACUUAAACAUUUCUUUUCAGUACUCGUGUGCUUGUGCCCCUUGGAGGCAUUUUGUUUAGUUCCAAUUGUAAAGUCAUCACCAAUAAAACAUCCCUUUUUGGGACUUUGUCUCAAGAGGUUUGUUCCUUACACAAUCGUCUAAUCCCUUUUCAAUUGUUAGCGACUACCCGCGCGAAACAAUUUGGCACGCCUAGUGGGACCUUGGUGUUUGGUGUUGGAGAUACAAAAGGUGAAACAAUAUGCCUCAGAAAUCUGAUAAGGAAGCAAGUCAGGGAGGAGUCCAGUCUGUGAUCGAGCGAUAUGAGGAGUAGCAUAGCUCUCCACGAACAGAUGGAUAGAAUCAGAGCAGUCAUAGUCGUUACAAACCAAUGACAGAGUUGAGUCCUCGAACUAUGUGUGCAUUACUUGGAGAACUCACACAGGAUGUCGUUGAAUAGGUAAAUCUACGAAAUAUUCAUAAUAUGGAAAGACUUACCUAGAAUGGGAAUGCACAUUAUGAUAACAUGGCCAAACAACUGAAUACUUUGAAUGAAAUAAUGAAUAAGUUAGUAGGCCAAAUUUAUCAGCUAGUUGUGCCUCUUGCAAAUCACUUCCAAACUAGGACAAUUGUGGGACAUAAUCCCCCAGUCCUAAGUCCAAAUCAAGGGGUAGAAUCACCUUUUAGUUCCUCUACUUCAAGCCAGGGGAUGGUGUAAUGCCAAAUCAGAAUAGUGGCAAUGGUACAUCUAACUUGGGAGGUAACCUAAACGUAAGAGACAAUGUCCUAAAUAAUGGACAGAAUGCCCCACGUGUUAAUGAUGGAGUAAAUAUUCAGGCUAAUGGUAAUAAUGGUCCAAAUCAUGGCAACUUUGUUGCUAACCAAGGACCAAAUAUCAGGCCUCAAGCAAAUCAACCGGUCAACCAACUUGUAGGAAUUCCAUAUGACCCCAACGUCAUGUUAAGGAAUCAAAUUAUGGAAAUAAUACAGGAUCAGAUGGCUUUUGGGGUACGUCCUGUCAUUAGGCCGACUUACACAAAGCCAUAUCCUGAUUGGGUAGACCAAGCGUAUCCAUGGCUUAGAGGGUAUAAAGUGCCAGAAUUCUCACUAUUUACCGAUUUAAGAGAGAUGUCUACACUAGAACACAUAGGGCGAUUCACACUGCAAAGUGGUGACGUAACUGAUUACCAUAAAAUGAGGUUAUUCCCUAGUUCAUUAACAGGAGUAGCUUUCUCCUGAUUCAUCAAUUUGCCAGCGAACUCUGUUCAAACAUGGCAACAAUUGGAGCAAUUGUUCCACACUCAGUUUUAUAAGACCGAGUCCGAAGUUACUUUGGCCGAUUUGACGGAUCUACGUCAAAUGCCAAACGAAUGGGCAGAAGGUUUCCUUCAAAGGUUCAAGAUAGCAAGAAGUAAAUAUUUUGUAUCUUUGCCCGAAAAAGAGUUUGUCAAAAUCGCUCAAGGUUGUCUAAGCUUUGAUUUGAAAAAAGAAGUUCCAAGACAAGCAAUUUCUUGAUCUUUUCCAAUUGGCCGCGAACGUGAUUAGGUAUGAAAGAUUAAUAAGAGAAGAAGAGCAAAUGAAAAAUUCUAGCAAAGGGACUUAUUAUAGAGACCCAAAUUUUGAUGUUCAUACCAUUAAUGAUGAGUAUUACGAUCAAACCGAAAUGUGUUUGGCCGAACUAAUCAAAGUAGACACGUAUACUUAUCCUAUAAUGGCUAAGCCUAGACCGUUGGGCAAGGAUGAGCCUAUAAAAGAUGAAAACAAAAAGGCUAGAAUGUUCUCGUUCGAUGUAACCAAAGCUGACCUUAUAUUUGAUAAACUAUAUAAGGAUAAGCAGAUAAAGCUGAGCGAUAAACAUAAAUUGCCAGGCCCUGAACAAGUUAAGGGUAAAAAAUAUUGUAAGUGGCAUAAUGCAUGGUCACAUUUGACUAAAAACUGUUUGGUUUUUCGCCAUGUGUUACAGGAUGCCAUUGAAUCAGGACGAAUUACAUUCGAGGAUAAGAGGAAGAUGGCAGUGGAUGAAAACCCUUUUCCACAGCCACUUGGGGUGAACAUGGUGACGAUUGGUUUCAAAAACAAGUUGUCAAAAUUCAAGUUAGUUAUAGAUGAUGGGGAAGAGGACCCUAGACCACAUCCCAGUGUCUUUGAAUGUAUCAAAGGGAAAGAGCCUGAAAAGGAUGAAGACGUCCUGUGUGGAAGAUGUAAAAGAGAAGUGAGUGGGAAUACAGAGAAACCAGGGAUAGGGCAGCAUCACCGUCGCCCUAAUUUUUCCCCAAACGCUCAGCCUGGUAAAGGGCGAAGUACAUCGUUCUAUAGGGGACUGCCUUUUGAGAGGCAGUUCAGCCCAGUAAAUAAUGGGAGAACAUUCAGGCCGCAGCCUUGCCAACCAAAUGUAUGGCAUUCGUUCCAGUAUAAUGCAGGAAGGGCGAUACCCUUCAACGAAAUGACUAGAACCCAACAAAGGCGUUUUCAAUGGAACUAUGGACGAAUGAUGAGGCAACAACAGGGAAUGCCACGUCCUACGAUGCCUAAGCUACUCGAGGUGGCCAAUCAAAAUAUUCUCGAAGACAGUGUGGAGACCGGUAUAGGUGAAUCGAUGAAAGAAUUGCCAGAAAGUUCUUCUGGGAGGUCGAAGUUUGAGCGAGACAGAAGAGAUAGAGAAGAUCCAGAUCAGUUCCUUACUAUUUAGUUUGGUACGUUACCUCCUGUCAUGGCUAAUAACUAUUUGCUAAUCAAUGAAUUCAAGAAUAAAGAGAAAGAAGAAGAAGAGAGGAAGGAUAACGAAGAAGAAGCAUGCAUGCUGGAAUAUGAAGAAGGCCAAACUUCUAGAGGGGCUUACGAUGAUGAAGGAGAUGAUGGUAUAACGGAUAUCGAGAGGAAAUUGAUUUGGAAGCAGAAAGAAGAAAAAGAGGAGUAUCGUACAAUACUCUAUUGAAGCAACUACAACGAGAGGGAGUUUGUAAAGUGGACUUCUUGGGAGAGCCGUCUGGGCGUUCUUUUGAUUAUUACGUGCUGUACGGGAUGCCCAAAAGGAAAAAGAGAGUGCCUCGCUCUGAAAAGUAUGGAUCACCUCCAAGAAUAAUGCCUCCUCCCAAAGGUUGGGUAAUUGAAGAAGAAGCAUUAGAAACAGUAAAAAGGAAAUGGAAGCUCAAUACGACAUGCUGCACGUUGACUUAUCACAAAAGGAUAAUUGGACAGAGGACAAGCAGGAAGUGAAAAUAGAUGCUGCCGAAAAGGUUAUUUUUAAGCAGCCAGCCAUGAAGUUAACUAAACACUUGAGGUCAUUGUACGUUAAAGCUCUACUUAACGACAUACCUGUGGCAAAAGUGCUUGUCGACAAUGGAGCAGCUAUAAACACCAUUCCAUCUAGGAUGAUGAGGAAAUUUGCAGAGACAGAAAAUGAUAUGAUCCCAACAGAAGUCGUCCUUACGAUUUUCAAUGGAGGAGCAACUUCAGCUAAAGGGGUUAUGCCAUUGGACAUAACUACAAGGAUAACUACUAGGACCACAGUCUUCUUUGUAAUAGAUGGUCCUACUAGUUACAGUGUGUUAUUAGGAAGGGAUUGGAUACACGGAAGUCACUGUAUACCUUCAUCGCUCCAUCAAUGCCUAGUUUUUUGGAAUGACAAAGGCGAAGCAGAAGUGGUGCAGGCUGAUCAUAGACCUUUUGUCGUAGAAGCAAACUUAGUAGAAAGAUUUAUGUACGAAGGAAAUUAUGGACCUGCCAGAGUAGUCCAAGAUGGAGAAGAAACUCAAAUUGUCGCGCAGAGUGAAGAGCCGUUUUCGGUGGAUGCACUCACUAAAAUGUUCAGUCAGAUGAGGCCAAACAUAGUGGCCUUAGCAGAGCCAGUAAUUGGCAAAAGAGUAAUCAAGGAGUUUUAAAUGAGUUGUAAGCAACAAAGGCAAAUGACCGAUAUUCAGGCAUUUAAAGCCAAAUUAAUGGCUUUCAAUAAAGAAUGCAAGGACAAGACGAAAGAAGAGGCAGCCUUGAAAGCAUUGAGAGACAAAUUGGCAGUGUUCGAGUCAGAACAAAGUAUUGGCCGAGAAGUCAACAAGGUGGAUUGUUUAGAAGAAGAAGUGCCUACAAGGGAAUUGAACGAUGAAGUGAUGAGGAUCGCCAAGCCUGGAUACGCUCAAGUAUAAGACCCUCUGAUUAAAGUGAAUAUUGGCAAUAAAGGAGAAGAUCACCAAAUAUUCAUCAGCCAAAUGCUCGAUCAAGAGGUUAGUGAUAAAUUAAUCGCUUUAUUAAAGGAAUAUAAAGAUUGUUUUGCUUGGGAAUAUGAACAUAUGCCUGGUUUAGAUAGAGAUUUGGCGGAACAUAGGUUGCCAACCAAGCUAAAUUUUAAGAUUCAUAAGCAACCUCCUAGGCGUUUUGGUCCCAAUGUCCCGAGAUUAAGAAACAAAUAGAGCGAUUAUUAAAAGCAGGCUUUAUUAGAAUAGCCAGAUAUGUGAAUUGGUUGUCCAACAUCAUGCCAGUGCUAAAAAAGAAUGGUAAAUUAAGGGUGUGCAUAGACUUUAGGAAUUUAAACAUAGUCACACCCAAAGAUGAAUGUCCAAUGCCCACAGUAGACUCUCUAGUAGACUCAACUGCCGGACACGUAAUUUAUUCCUUCAUGGAUGGGUAUUCAGGAUACAAUCAAAUUUAUAUAGCUGAGGAAGAUAUACACAAAACUGCCGUUAGAUGCCCUGGGUCUCUAGGAUGUUUUGAAUGGGUAGUUAUGCCUUUUAGCCUAAAAAAAGCAGGAGCAACUUAUCAAAGGGCGACGAACCUGAUUUUUCAUGAUAUGAUAAGCAAGUUUGUUGAGGUGUAUGUAAAUGAUAUAGUGGUCAAAUCCAUUAAAGAAGAGGACCAUUUUGAACAAUUGAGAUGUUCAUUUGAGCGAAUGAAACAAUAUAAACUAAAAUUAAAUCCCUUGAAAUGUGCAUUUGGUGUUAAUAUAGGAAACUUCCUUGGUUUCUUAGUACACAGAAGGGGGAUUGAACUUGAUAAAAAUAAAGCGAAGGCCAUUUUAUAAGCCAAACCACCUAGCGAUAAAAAAGAAUUGCAAAGAUUUCUAGGCCAAGUAAACUUUUUAAGACGCUUUAUUUCUAACUGUGCAGGGCGAACUAAAGCUUUUUCGCCGCUUUUAAAGUUGAAAAAUCAGGACAAAUUCGUCUGAAAAGAAGAGCAUCAAAAGGCUUUUGAAAGCCUAAAGACAUAUUUAUCAAGUCUACCAGUGUUGGUGUCACCAAUCCAAGGACGACCAAUGAAAGUGUAUGUAUCGGCUGAAAAAGAAUCAAUAACUGGAAUGCUCGCGCAAGAAGACCAAUUUGGUGAAGAAAGGGCGAUUUACUACUUGAGUAGACGGUUAACAAAAUGUGAAUGUAAUUACUCUGCCAUUGAAAAAUUAUGUCUCGCAUUGUAUUUCACAUGUACAAAAUUAAGGGCUUAUUUACGGCCCGUAACCAUUUAUUUGAUUUUCAAAGUAAAUUUGGUUAGGUAUAUGUUCUCUCGCCCUAUUUUACACCAAAGGGUAGGCCUUUGGACGUUAGCAUUAUCAGAAUUUGAAAUACAAUGCAUACCCCAAAAAAGCAAUCAAAAAUCAAACUUUGGCUAACUUUCUGGCCGAUCAUCCAUGCCUUGACAUGCCUGAAGAAAUUAAAUUAGAAAUCAAUUCAUUUGAAUUAAAACCUUGGAUUUUGUAUUUCGAUAGGUCAAAAACCUCUAAAGGUGCAGGAGUAAGAGUAGUAUUGAUAAAUCUUUUAGGGAUUUGCUACAAGUUCAUAUUUACUUUGGAUAGAAUGUGCACCAACAAUCAAGCCGAAUAUAAAACUUUAAUCGUGGGCCUAGAAUUAAUGAUAGAUAUGAAAGUAAAGAAUGUGAUCGUUAGAGGCGAUUCUCAAUUGGUCAUUCACCAAUUGAUUGGUGAUUUUAAGUGCCAAAGUGAUUCCAUUAUAAGUCUAUAUGAAAUCGCCCAAGAGUUGUUGGAAGAAUUCGACCAAAUAGAGCUUCAAUGCGUUAAUAGGAUAUAUAAUGACGUGGCAAAUGAGUUGGCUCAGAUGGCCUCAGGGUACUCAAAGGUUUUAAAUUGGAAGUCUACUUAUGAGUAUGGAGCAAUAUUGCCUGUGAUCCAAAGAAGGGCGAGAACGAUUGAAUUUCAUUGUAUACAAGAUGGAGAUGCAAUAGAUUGGAAGGCAGAGAUUAAAAGGUUCCUUAAAGAACCUAAUAAAAGAAAUAGUAAAAAAGUGAAGUUGCGUUUGCUAAACUAUACACUGAUAGAUGAAUAGUUGUUUAAAAAACGAUCUGAUGGUAUAUUGCUAAAAUGUGUAAGUUUACAAGAAGCCAGGACGAUCAUGGCUGAAGUGCACGAAAGGAUAUGUGGAGCUCAUCAAGCUGGUCAAAGGAUGAUAUGGUUAAUUAUUAGGAAUGGAUAUUUUUGGCCAAAGAUGGGAGAAUCAUGCGUUCAGUAUGCGAAGAGUUGUCUAGCAUGCCAAAAGCAUGGUCCAAUACAAAGGGCGCCAACACGAGAGAUGACUCCUAUUAUCAAACCUUGGCCGUUUAAGGGUUGGGCGAUAUACCUGAUAGGAAAGAUUUAUCCCCCAUUGUCCAAGCAACAUAUCUUUGUUAUAGUUGCAACUGAUUAUUUCACUAAGUGGGUAGAAGCGAUACCUUUAAAGGAGAUCACCCAAAAGAAUGUCAUAGAAUUUAUCCGUGAUCAUAUUAUUUAUAGAUUUGAAAUUCCACAAACUUUGAUGAUAGAUCACGAAACUUCUUUAAAUGGAGAUCAAGUGAAUGAAUUCUUGAGCGAGUUUGGAGUUAAAUUAGUAAACUUCACACCAUAUUACGCUCAAUCCAACGGACAAGCAGAAUCUUCUAAUAAGAUUCCAAAAAAUAUCAUAAGGAAAAUGAUAGAUGAAAAUGCCAAAAAUUGGCACGAAUGUCUAAACAAGGCCUUAUGGGCUUAUAGGACGUCGCCUCGGUCAAGUACCAAAAUUACUCCUUUCCAACUUACUUAUGGACAGGAGGCCGUUUUGCCUAUGGAAAUCAACGUACAAUCGAUCAGAGUGUGUUUGCAACAUAAGUUAAGUAGUGAUGAGUAUACCGAUUCACUAGUUCAAAACUUAUUGGAGUUGGACGUCCUAGAUAGAUUGCAAGUUCAAAAACGAAGGAUGACUAAGUUUUAUAAUAAAAAAGUUAUAGCCAAGUCGUUCAGCCUGGGCGAACUGGUUUGGAAAACAAUACUCCCUUUGGAUAGCAAAGAUCCAAAGUAUGGCAAGUGGUCGCCCAAUUGGGAAUGACCAUAUAAAGUAAAUAGUGUGUUGCCUAAUAGAGCCUAUCAUUUGGAAGAUUUAGAUGGUACCAAGCACAUGAGGUUCAUAAAAGGCAAAUAUUUAAAAAAAUAUGUUCCUUCCUUAUGGGAAAGUGAACAAAUAAAAGCGUAAUCAAAUCGGGUUGAACGAUCGUAGAUAAAAAAAGAGGGGGCCAGAGCGAAAUACGUUCAAAUAAAUUCCUUUAUUAUCAAACGUUCAUUACAAAGUUGCAAAUACUAAAUGCUCUAUAAGCUACAAUAAAGAGCGAACUAAUCUCUAGGUCGAUCGCCAAGUAAGAGGGUAAACUGGCCUUGAUUGCCAUCCUGAUCGCACUGCUGCAAAGGUAAGCAGAGAGGUCGAGAAGCACUCUCAGCAAGUAGAAGGGAAGAGAAGCACCCUCACCUCACCUACCUAAAUGCAUCGCUGCAAUAACGGGUAAGGAGACUGAGAAGCACUCUCAGCAAGCAAGGUGGCUUGACAGGCAUCCCCAAAAAUUGCCUUCCAUCAUUGAACUCCUUGUAAAGAACAUGGAGACGAUGGGAAGAACUUUGCUGGCCAAAGAAUAUUUCCUAUAUCUCCCAUACCAAAGGUGACAUCAAAACAGGUGACAAAAUGGGCGGAACAAAUGAUCCAUUUCUAUGGAAGACGUAAAUUUUGGAUCGAUCGUUGAGGUGUCAAACGAUGGCAGCAAAUUAGUUUUUAAAGAAAAGAAUGGAAAUGGAAAUGAAAAUGAAAAGUGCGAAAUAUACGUGCAUUUAUAGGGGCGUGAAGGUGAAGAGACAGAAUAUGAACAGCCACAUUUGUGCCUAGUAAUUGGAGUCAAAGGGCCCAAAGUCUUGGGAAAAGAGAUAGAAAUGCCAAAAGGGAAUGUACUUGAAUCUUAUCAUAAAGCAGUUAAAUACUUGGGGGUUGACGAUUAAGGUCAAAGGUCAAUAAAUACACAAGAAGACAAAUUAGUUGUUCAUUAAUGACAAUGGCUGCUGUUACAUCCAAAAUUGACAGUGGCUAUCAGUACGAGGUUACAAGAGGAACGUUAAUACGAAGUUACAAAAAGAAAAGUUAAGACAUUAGAUUUCUUAAUUACAAUUCGCCCCAGACCGAACGAAUUCUUUCCCUAAGUCUCCCCCAAUCCUCGCUCUGCUGAGAAGAAGUGACAUUCAAUUCAGCUACAAAAUCAUCAUCAACCUACAGCUUCUUGUACUGCUCGACCAAAGACUUGGUUCACUCAAUUCCUUGGGAAGCAUUACGCUUUUUAGCAACCAUUCUCGCCUUGCAGUCAUCCAUCCUUGCUUGAAGCUCCUUCAUCUGUGCAGCCAAACUGGUCAUCAAAGAGUCUUCAAUCAUAAUUUUGGAAGAGAUUUCUUUCAAUUCGUCCUCAGCUUUGUUGAUCUCCCGAAGCAAAGACUCUCUUUCAGAUGCAGCGCAAAGAUAUUGAGUACUCUUGGCCUUCGGUUCAACAUUUUUGGCCAGCAAAGAGAGGAUGUCAGAGUAGACAACUUUCAACGUCGCUUUAAAAUCAACAGAAAUGUUGAGCGACGGAAGUGUCAGUGCUUGUGCCAACUUCGCACUCAAAUGCUCAAGUUUAUCCUUAUGUUUGGCAGCACUAGCCUGACCAAUGUCCAUGUCCAUAAAAGAUACAUACUCAAAUAUCGACUGCUUGAGGAACUUCAUAUCUUCCUCUGAAGAAGCAGGAGGACGACCGGUUGAAGCAGGGUAAGACGUCUUAACUUACCCCCAGGAAGCGAACAAGUCCUGGAUGGAACGCACAAUAUCAUCAGCAUCCUGCAAAGAAAAAUGCCAACAUUAAAGGUUUUCAUUACAAAAAACAAAGUGAAAAUAAAAGUGAAGCAAAAGGUUACCUCAUCAACAAUCUUAGGAGGUGGCAUAUCAUCAGUUGGCUCCACCACCUGUGGCCCCACCACCAGGGGAGACUUCCCCUUGUCUGGGCGAGAAGACUCUGCCACAACGGGCAGACCCAUGGGAGCCUCUGCAUGAUUAAAGAAGCAACAAAUCAGAAACCAAUAGCACAAGUAGAGGUAAAACAUCAAAAAUGUAUUACCUUCUGGUUCGACGUUUGGAGGGUCGGCGCCCUGAGAAGAAGGUGGCUCGUCCAUUGAUUGUGAUGAAGGUUUCUCUUUAAGCGUAGUCCCUUCACCAGCUGGUUUGGAUGAAGCAGCUCCAGCAGAGGAUGAUGGAGCAUGAGCUGCCAACACCAAAGCCUUCAAAGGAGAGACUGAACUUUUCUGAGAAAUUCAAGAAAACCAUUAGCACAUAGAAAGGUAUGCUUGUAAGUAAACAUAAUUCAAUUCAAUUACCUUUCUCCUGAUGAUGAGAAGAGUAUCAUUAUCAUCAUCAUCAUCAUCAUCAUCCAAAAUGGGAGAUGCUGAAACUAGCCGUUUGUGGCUUGGGGCGCUCUUAGUUGCAGUAGGUUUGGCAGGUAGAGAAGUAGAGGGACGAACAUAUUGUUUAGCACGAGCAGGGGAGGAAGGAUUCCUAAUGGACACAGGGGUGACCAAAAUAGGAGAAGUGGAAGAAAUGUUCGACUGAUCCAGUGAAUGGAAAGCACGAUUGACAUCAAUUGCAAACAAUCUGCGCUUCACUGAUGGCCAGAGUUGUUCAAAAAAGGGGUGAACGGUACGGCUAGGAUUGAAGGGGGCUAAUGAAAAGUUACUCGUCAAAAGAAUAUUGCGAGCAUCUAUAGCUUGUGCCUCUACCUUAUUAAUGGUGUAAAAGCGGUCUAUCAAAUUUUUUGAAUAACAAGGGGAAACAGGCCAAGUUUGGCUAAAACCAAGUUGGGGAGCAAAAAAUUGGGGAGCAUAUAUUUCAACCCCAGUUUUGGCAUUGGUUCCAGUUAAAAUAUCAUGGAACAACUCCCUCCCAGUCAAAAACUGAACCCAAACGAGCAAAGAGGCGCUCGCACUGUCCAGGGUGGAUGGAGGUUGUACAUAAUCUGGAAUUAAAUGAGCAGGAAAAGGAAAAAAAGGAAGGAAUUGAAUUUAAAGUAUAAAAGAAUGAAAAAAUAUCCCUUCUGGACAUAUUUACAAGGCUCAAUGGGUCAAUAGCUAGCCCAUAGCAGCUAGCAGAAUGAAGGGACAUAGAUAGAGCACCAAGUGAUGGAAAAUAGGCUUUCAACUACAGUUGAGAGAACCAAAGAGGCCCACUGCCAGUGGGAGAUGCACCAUUCUUCAAUUGAAAUUGAAGAGAAGCCAUACCUCUAUAGAGGACUGCCAAAAAGAACGAACACAAAUUCAAAGGCCUACCACGUGCCAAUCCGUGCGCUAUGGGUAAAUAGCUUAUAGAAGGCUUAAACUGGGCACACAUAGAAUAUAUUUACAAAGUCAUAUCUAAAGAAAGGCCACACGCUCAGUGUGGGAAGGCUCAGCGUUUGAGUGAUUAUGACAGCUUUGCAAGCUUGAAUAGGACUCGGUGAGUUUUUUUGUCAAAUUUUCGGGCAACACCAGAAAUCAAAAUACUAGGAAAAAUGGUGUCGCCCAAAGGUGGAAGAUUUAUCAGGGCCCCAACAUCCCUUACAGUGAUUGACAUGGGACCAAGAGGGAAAACAAAAGUAUUAUAUUCAGAAGACCAAAAACUUAAAGCAAUAGGGAAAAGUGCUGGGUCAAAAAUUGGGGGUUGAAGAAAGAUUUCUAAUAAAUCAGAAAUCCUAGCACGAUCAAAAAUUACCUUGGUAGGACCAUGGCCCACAAGGCGAGCAUGACACCUACGGAAAACAACAUCAGAUUUAGGCUAAGUGCGAAUACCUUUUUCGCGAAUUAGCCUCAGGGGCAAAGAGUUCAAGAAUGGAGGGCCUUCAGUACAAGGAAACAGCUGGCCCACCACCACUUGUUCGAAGGCUUCGGCGUUGGUGAAUGAAGGACCCAGAUAGAACUCAUUAAGUUUGGCAUUGGCUGGUGCAAGAAAGUUCAGAUUUACAUAUGGCCGAGUGAGGAUUUUCUGGAAAUCGUCGAAGCCAAAAGAGUCGUCAGAUUGGGUUUGUGGAGCAGCCAUUGGGAACGAAAUACAGUUUUGUUAACGUUUGCUCGAGAAACGUAGCAGAGAAGCAAGAAGAUGAACAGUGGUAUGGCGAGUAAGAAGCGCGAAAUAAUGAUACGUGAGUUAGUAGUACAACGAAAUGGCGUGUCUUUGAGGUUUAUAAGGAUUUGUAGCGUCGCACUUUUUCAGGCUAUGGAAAGAAAUAAUGAUUGAAAUUCUUGGGAAUUUCAGAUGUUGCUGGGAAACACAAAGUAAAUAUGGCAAAGAUUAAUAAUUGGUAUUAAUUCUGCCAUAUUGGGGGGUAAUUGUUGACACGCUAAAAGUGCAGCCCAAAUCGAAUAGCCUAGGGAAUGAAACCCAAUUGAGGAAUCCCCAAAUCAAAUAGUCCAAAGAAUGAAGCCCAACUGGGCAAUUCAGGAUAAAUGCCCAGAUAGAGUUAUUGAUGAAUGUAGUGGAAGCCCACGAAUACAGUAACAUCAUCGCCCAAGCUUGCAAGACGACCAAGAUCUGAGCGAAUGAAGUGCCUUACAGUCGCCCAGAGCUAUGACCCUAUUCUCGCCCGAACCUUCGAAUCGCCCAGGAUCUUAGCAAACAUAAGAUGUUAUGGUUAUCCAGAAGUGCAGUUAUUGAAGCAGUUAUCGAGUAAUCUUAUCACGUUCUACGAUUCAAAAAAUUCAGUUGAAGACGGUUGAACGACAAAGAGUAGUGACAACAGUUAGAGACGAAGUUCCACGACAAGUUAGCCACCAUAAAGAAAGUAGGUAGUUAUAAAGCAAUCAAGCAGUUUCUAAGUGAUUGAUCACGAAGAAAUUAUCAAGGGAAUAUAAAAGGAAGAGAAGACAUAAAGCAAAUGACCCCGAAUCAAACACUCUCAAUCAGAGAAUAUGUAAUUUCAAUUUCUUAGUUUAGACUUAAACAUUUCUUUUUAGUACUCGUGUGCUUACGCCCCUUAGAGGCAUUCUGUUUAGUUCCAAUUGUAAAGUCAUCGCCAAUAAAACACCCCUUUUUGGGACUUUGUCUCAAGAAGUUUGUUCCUUAUACAAUCGUCUGAUCCUUUUUUAAUUGUUAGCAACUACCCGCGCGAAACAAUACCUUUAGGAGUUUUUCCGAAAUUUUCAAAACAGAAAAAAGAUGGGUUUGACCACGGUCAACCGCGGCCAAAGUGAGCUGCUUGUUUUUCGUGGGCCAAUCGAGGGUUCACGAACCGUGGUCAACCCAUAGUCAAACCAAAAAAAUGUUUGUUUUUUUCUUCUUUAAAAAAAUAAAAAUAAAUAUUCUUUUUCAAUCUUCUUUUUCAUCUUUUAGUAACCAAUGAAAAGUAAUAUAUAUAUAUAAUUGUUUUUAAGGUCAAAACUAGGUCACAUACGUCAUUCCAAAUUAAAUUUUGUUUAAACUCGCAUGUGAUUAUAUUGAUAAAGGAAAAGACAAAGUGCUAACGAAGAGACAUCUAUGCUCGGCGUGUAUAACUGACUUUUCUUUAAAUAUAUUUUGGAACACAUUGAGUUAAGUGUUUAUUUUAAGUCUGGGAAUGUAGAAUAGUUAGCAAGGUAUAUUUGUUUGUUUGUAUGAUAUGUUAAAAAAAAAUUAUUGAAAAAUUUAAAACAAUUUUUAUAGAAAAAAAUAUGUUCUUAUUUUAUGUUAGUGUGAAUUGGAUACUAUUGCCAAUUUAUAUUUUCAUGAAUUGUGAAUAAGUAAUGUGCAUUUUUGCUAAUUUGAUAGUUGUUUAUGUGAAACUAAAUUAUUGAGCACAAUAGUUAUAGUAAUUACUAUGCAGUUUGGAUUGGUUAUAUGGGUAGAAGAGAUUGGAUUGAUUUUGAACUUAACAUUGACAAAUCAAGAUCAUAAUCGAUAGCACAACCACUUAACCAGUUAAAAUGAUAAGUUGGGGGUGGUUUAUUCAAUAUUGAGAGCUAUUUAAAUAGGUGUUGAUUCCAUACUUAUUUAAUAUCUGUAUGGAAUAUUUUUAACUAACAAGUAGGACCUAGGAAUUAACCGUUUACUAAGAUUUUGAUUCCAAUUACUUAUUCCAAAAAAAAAAAAAAAAAAAAAAAGUCAUUGCCCUAGUCGUGGCACGUAGAAAAAAGUUACCUAAUUGUUGUAUAAAUCUAGUCUUGAGUAAUCCGACAAUAUUCAUUACUAAUAUUUAGAAUUCUACAAUGUAGAACGAAAAUCACCCUCAAAAAUCAAGGAAGAGAUCCCAAACAUGGAAAAGGGACAAUCUAAAAUAAAAGAAAAAAAAUACAAAAAGUGAGUAGAGGAAUUGACAAAAUAAUUAUAAGCAUUGUUUCAUUGUCACGUUAAGUCUUAGAAAACUUAAUUUGGGAUUUAGACAUCUAAUGAGGGUUAUUAUACUAGUUGAAUUUGGAGAUUGAAACAUUCAAAUUUAGGGAGAAUUAGCAUGUAUCGAGGUAGGGACUUUCAAUGGUGAAAACAAAUUAAAUAUGAGCAUGAAAGGAAAGAGCUAUGUGUAAUCAACCUUAUAACAAAUACCGUCGGCAUGUGAUUAAAAACAAGUUUGCCCCCAUGGGCAUAGUGCAGUGGUAAAGCAGGAAGGUUCCACACAGAGCAUCGGAGAUUCGAAUUCCUGCGGCAGCUAGAAGGCAACAUUUAUGUUGGAAGACAGUUGUCAUAUGGAGGAAAAGUUAUGGUACGCUUUGUCGCCCCUUCGGGGGACCUGUCCGCACGUCGUAAAUGGAGGUCUAUAGGGAGGAGAGCCGCAUCCCGAAUAUCUUACCCAAGUGUGCAUAAACUGUGUCCGCAUCCGAAUUUACCCAGGUGGCAAACUAGGGGGGAAGGCCGCCACUCCUUAGGAUUAGUCAGGCGAAACUUGGACACCUAAGUUAUAAAAAAAAAAAAAAAAAAGGCUUGGCUGUUUUCAUCCUACGAGAAAGAAAGGAAAUAUUUGACUAUUAAGGGUCGAAAAAUAACCAAUUUAAAAGUUGACGAUGAUUAGAUUGACUAUGUAUACGCACAUCGAUCAAGCAUAGUAUAAGUAAAAACAAAAAAACAAAAAAAAAUCUAGGUUUAGAUGUAUGACUUAAGAACUUUUUAUGAAUUAUCACAUGAUUUCAUAUUUAUUGCGAGUUUGACAAAGUCACAUUAUAUAUUUAUACUUUUAUUUGCUUGCUUGCUUGUGUGUUUAAUAGAUAAUAUUGCCUGGGACGAAAAAUAGUUAAAGUUUAAAGGUAUUUGAUAAGUGUAUUUUAUGCACUUAUUCGGAUUUCUAUUCUUAUUCUAUCAUAUUAAUUGAUCAGUCAUCUACUUACUUUGUGUAAAAUGGUUAUUUAGAGCAUAAUCAGAGUUUAUUCGAAGCAAUUGAAGAAUAAUUUAAUUGCAAUUGAUCAACUGGAAAUAUUAAUAGAGCAUUCGAUAAAAUUGACAAGUUUUGUGGCUUAAAUUCAACAUAUGAACAGUUUUGGGAUUAAAUUGAAAACUUUUGAAACUUGCAUCAUUAAUAAUAUUUUCGGGAUGAAGUGGUCUUAAUUGUGAAGAGUAGAAGAUGAAUGACUAAAAUUACAUGAGAAAAUGACAUCAACUGAAAAAGGAGGUUGUUUUUUCUUCUUCUCAAACUUCUUUCGAAAACCAAAUUGAACAAUGAUUUUUUUCCUAAAUGUUGAUUUAUAAAUAUAUUCUUAGUCCAACAAUUGGAGAAGGCUUGUAGGAUUUAUUAUAACAUAUUAUACAAGCCAAAGGGACCUCUUGGAAUACAUAAGUUAUAUCAAUUACGAGAAAAGAGAGUCUGAAAGGAGGGACCUCUUCAGAUUUUAUAUGCAAAAAUUGAACUGAGAGUUCAUGGAUAUAUUGAUACUGCUUCCAUUUUGACAAGGAUGAUAACAAGUCUUAAUCUGUAUAUUAGUUUACUCUAAAAAAUGGAACGGUUAAUUGGAAAUGUUUCAAACAGGAAACAAUUGCUAAUUCAACAACAGAAGCCAAGUACAUUGCUGCUUAUGAAGCAGCAAAGGAAGUUGCCGGAUCAAGAAGUUCAUUAAUGAACAUGGUGUUGUUCCUAGCAUUGUUGAUCAUACAACUAUAUUAUGAUAACAACGGAGUCAUCGUGCAAGCAAAGGAACCGAGGUCUCAUCAACGAUCCAAACAUGCACUAAAGUUCUACCAUCUCAUCAGGGAGAUUAUACAAAGAAACGAUGUGAAGAUAGAACGCAUUCCCACCGAUGAUAAUAUUGCAGAUCCAUUGACAAAGUCAUUGUCACAGUAUAAACAUGAUCUCGUAUAGACUCUUACGGUAUUAGAUAAAUAAGUGAUUGAAUCUAGUGAGAGUUUGUAAGUGUUUACCUUGGAUCCAAUUGAUUUAGGUUAUGAACACUUUUAAUAUGAUCAAUGAAUUUAAUUUAUGGCAUGAUCUAUUAUUUUAUUGAAUUUUUAUUCUGAUAAAUUAUAUUAAUAUAGUCCACAAAUUCAAGUCCUAGUAACUUGUUAAUCACUAGGAGUGAGUAGCUGAUCUUACAAGUUAAAAUAUAUUAUAUUUAAAUAGACGUGUGAAUGUUUUGUUAUGAAAACAAAAUAUUAGAGACCUUAUUAGAGAGAUUCUACAUGGAUAACUAUAUGAAAUUCCACAAAUGAAAAGUCUGUCUUUUCAAUUGGAUUGUCAACCAAAACUUAAACAAAAAGAAGCCCCAAAUCAUCAAAGCAAUUUUCCAUCUUCCUCUUUUUUUUUUCCACCGGCUACUUCUUUAUAUUCCACUUGGUGGGCCGACAACCACUGCAAACUCCAAUGAAACCAGCAUGCACGACUGCUCCGCCAGUGGGGAAAUAAAUGGCCACUUUCUUUGAAAAGUUUCGAUAUGAGUUAUAAGCACGCUAUAAGGAGUAUCUAAACCAACAAAUGGCUCAUAAGAAAGCAAAUAAGCCUAAAGAAGUCCACCACCGACUAAUUGGGACUAUUGGGAAAGUGAGCAAUUUCAGGUGCAAUUAUAUUUAGUUUCACACAUGCAUUUAUGUUAGUUUGUUUACUUAUUUAGUUCGUUGACUAUAUUCAUUUCUAUUUAAUUGUACAUUACAGAAAAGAUCUAAGGUAGCAGUUGACAAUAAAUCCCAACAAGAGUUCAUCUAUUUGUUUGGCUCCAAAUCCUUUGUUCAAUGUCAAAGUAAAAACCAAAAUAGAUGCAUUUCUAUUGGGAAAUAGCUUCAAUUUAAUUUAAUUGAAUCUUAUUCUUACUUUUUCUAAUAGGAUAAUGAAAUUUGAAGACUAGAUAGAAUUCAGCUAUGGAAUAAUACACAUUAGAAGAAUAUCAAAGGUUGGAUCCAUUAUGUAGCUGAGGAGAAAUAUGUAAUGAACAAAUACUUAUUUCUUUAACUUUAUUAUUACUUAAUGAAACAAAUAUUUCACUCCCUUAUUUGCAUUAAUACUUUUCUAAUGUCAUACAGAAGGAGAUGAUAGACAUAAAAAUCACUCAAAAGGCACUUGUUGACAUCCUUGGGCAUUUCCUCUUGCUACUAUAGGGGCUUGGGCAGGGGCCCAAGGGUUCCACGUGCUACAUCUUGCACAGACACGACUCAACGAGAGAAUUCUGAACUUCGCCAAGUUAUGCAUAAUUUGCAGAGCUAAAAUGAGCAUAUCGUGGUCUCAUUGGAGAAGAUUAUGCCUAAUGCUACUACUAGAAUAAGCAACCUUAGAGUGCCCACUACGUAUCCGUCAUCAUCACCUGAUCACAAGUCAUGUGAUUAUUAGUUUACAGUUAUCUUCAUGGUUGAUUCUCUAUUAUAGCUUAUGUUACUUUUGGACUACACUAUCUUCUCAUAUUUUGGAACAUGAUUAGGCUUUUUAUUGCAUAUGCUACUAUUUUGGACUUUAUGUGUAUUUAGUUACUCAUAUUUUGGAAGUAGAAUUGACUUGUCUUUGAUAUAAUAUAUAAUUUUUCCUUACAUGUAUUUUGCUAGAGUCUUUUGAAUUGUGAUUGUUGCUUUGUGAAAUCAAAUAGUUCUUGAUUUUAGAUUUUUGUUGGUGCAUUGUGUUUAGGGAUGUAAAUUUGGCUUGUCGACUUGGGUGGCCAAUGGCUUGGCCAGAGAAAAGCCUGAGCCGAGACUCGGGUCGAGCCCAAUUCUUGGCAUCGGCUUGAGCCCAAGCCAUUUCAACCAAAGCCGACUUGGUAAAUAAAAAAAAUGACAAUAAAAAAAAUUAUACACAUACAUUUAAAAUUGCCUUAACAGGCGGCAAAUCUGAAGGUAAAUGCCUUAAACGAUAGUUAUCUAGAAGUAAAAAAAAAAAAAAUCGCUUGGCUCAAUAAGGCCUAAGCCGAAAACUCAUGUUGAGCCUAGAUUUUUUUUGACCAAGCAAAAGCUGGAUUCAGCUCGGGCCAGAAAAAAGCUCGCACUAUUUUACUCGAGCUGAGCCCAAGCCUCGAGUUUCGGCUCAGUUUGUUGAUAUGCCUAAUUGUGUUUGAUUUGUGCUUUUAAUCUAUUUGAAAUUUAGAUUAUUGCACAGGUUUAAAAAGAAUAAUUGCAUAGAUUUAUCGAUUCAAUAUAGUCUGCACUUGCUUAAGUGUUCUUGGUUGGAAAAUGUAUACUUUUCCCAACCAAUAUGGAAUACGUAAGCAAAAAUAUUUAUAUUUGUUGACAAACAUUUCAAUUUUUACCAACCCAAAUAUUUGGUUAGCAAAGUUUUUACUAUUCCUAACCAACGAUGAAUUGGUAACUAAAAUAUCUAUAUUCACCAACUAACAUUUCAAUUUUACCGACUAAAAUAUUUGGUUGGCAAAGGUUCUAUUAUUCCUAACCGAUAAGGAAUUGGUAAGCAAAAAUAUCCAUAUUCGCCACAUUUCAAUUGCACCGACUCAAAUAUUUAGUCAGCAAAAGUUCAAUCACUCCGGCAAACAUAGAAUUGGUAAGCAAAACUCUUUAUAUUUGUCGACUAACAUGAAUUAUGGUCAGUAGAAACUUUUGCUGGCCGGCCUUUGGCGAUCAGCUUCCGACCAAUAUUUUCUAGUUAGGAAUUAGUUUUACCAGUUGAUAAUGGACCUUUAGCUGCUAAUCUUUUGGUCGGUAAAACUUACUUUUCUUGAAGUGAAUGUUGGAAGGAGAUGUGGAUAAUCUCACCAUGCCUCCCCAUCCCGUUCCAGAUACAAAUGGGACAAACUCCAUUGCAGGAAUACAAGGAAGGCCUCAUCAGAUAGUACUCUACUCAUCUUUCAGCUGAAUCAAUAAAAUAUAGACCAAAACACCUUUUAUUUUCAACCCAAGAAUCAUAUUUUCUCUCUGUACUGACAUUCUAUUUAACUUACCACUAAAGAAAAACAAAUAUGAAAGAUUUAAUGACGGCAAAUAAUUACACUUGUUUAUUUCAUAUGUCAGCACCACUGACUCCAUUGCAUUCUUUCAGUACAUGCAAAAGGUGCACUGUAAAGACAACUUCGGAGGUUUAAAAAGUAAGAUAUACCUUGUAAGAACAAGUAGUUAAUUUUAAAAAUCGUCAAGCUCUAAUGCUAAGCGCAGAAUAUGCCCUCUUUUUUUACAAGGAAAAUUCCAUUGUCCCUGUACACUUGCCACAUUCAGACUUAUAGGAUCUUUGCUUUUGCACCCCAGUAGAUUUAGUUGCAUUAAUACCUAUCCUUUUAGGACCAUGCUACUCAACCAUAGAGGUUGACAUCGGGGAUGACAUAUCACACACACAUGGGGGAGGUCGAAUUAUUUUAUUCAUGGGGAUCCACCACCUCGGAUGUGAGUGCUAUGUCAUCCAUUGUGUCAAGAGCUAUGUUCAUUUGGCUUAAUUCAUCUUUUUAUCCUUGUUUUUAAAUUCUUCAUAACUUUUCCAAAUUCAUUUAAUUUAGGAAUUUUCCAACUACUAUCACAAUAAAUCAUUCUCUGCUAUUUAAUGUAUUCUUGCUACCAAUUAAAAGAAUGGAAAAUACAAUCCUUCCAGAUAGAUGAAAAGACUUUCCCAGUCGCUAUCCUUUUCUUCAGUUUUCGUCCCUUCCUAUCAAACAAAGAGACAAGUGCUACCGUCUCAAUUCAUGGUUUCUUGACAAAGAGACUUUUCUUACUACGACUAAGAAACCAGUCUAGGCCCCAUAGCCAGCAUUGACUCUGAGUCAUUCCAAGAGGAUGACAAUGAAGAGCAAAGACUUUUCAAGCAAUAAAUAACAAAUUUCAACAAAUAAUAGAUACCACAAACCAAUAAAAGAACGAGCCAAGUCAAUUGUACAUCACUUUCUUGUUAGCUUGUGAGGUCUUUGUCAUUUGAUAACAAUUACUGAGUAAUGGACAUAAAACAGUGCAGGAUUAAAAAAUAAAUAAAAUAAGUGGAAGAUUAUUCCAUUGAUAAUUGCUUUACAAUAUAAUAGAUUAACAGAAUCAAAUUUCUAAAUAAGUGCUAAUAUGCAGUUGACAACGAUGUAGUAAUAUGUUAAUUAUCAAAGUAGAAUUGGUUAGAUGAAGACUUAAAAUGUCAAGGUUCAAACAGAAGCUGUCAAAUAACGUUUUUUAACUGGAUGUAAUAUCACAGACACUUGGGGCAAUUUUAAAGGAAGUAGAGAAAAAUUCACCUAUGGGCGGAUAUGACAUCACUAAUUGUUAAAAGUGCUCGUAAAAUUCUUAAAUAUAUCCACAGAAAACAUGCCAUAGUAACACAUGAAACCAAAUGCCCGAUGGAUCAGAAGUCAGAUUGAAUGCCAUCCUCACCAUUCUUAUACCUUCAUAUGCUUGAUAUUCAUUCUGACAAGCUCUACCUAAGUCGAGAAUUCUCAAAUGGAGCCGAGUUAGUUUUUAAAAUUUUUUAAUUUGAUCCAAGUAGAAAGUACGAUCAUCUAAACUUUCCGAACCUCAACCCAUAGUGAAGUCGCUCUUCUAUUUUUUGAAAAUUUUGUUGACUCAACUCUAAAGUAAUGUUCCAGUCAAGUGUAUUUUCUCAAAUAGUUAUCAUCUAAUUAAGUCUCGUGCCCAUGGCUUCUAAUCGCUAAAAGAUUGCUCAUGCACCAUGCAGCUUGUUGCUAAGUUGUGAAGUGAUCAUAAAGCCCCCAACUACUAAGACAGACAAUCACCAAUCAGGAACAUUUAGUACAUGUUUGGGCAGUAUUAAGGAAGAGACACAAGUACAUGAUUUUGUAGACUAUUGUGUACAAAACGCACAAUUGAAUUAAUCCGGAUUGCCUUGAACUCCAUCUGUAUAAAAACUUCUACGAACAAGAUUGAAUUUUUCCCAACUACACAGAGGAAAAAGAUAAUAGCAACUCUUUGAAGGAUUCAAUGAGAUCAUAAAAUAAUAAAAAGAAAUUACCUUCGUGUAGCCUUGCAGGUCUUAUUUUCAGGUGAUCAAAGAAACCAGAAUGACUUGACAAGUUUAAAAGAAAAAUUCUCCUGAAUUAUGGUAUGCAAAUCAUUGCAACUUAAUAAUAUUAAAGAAACAAUUAGUUAAGGCAUUUCAUCGAACAGUUUCUUCUCACAUUUCAAAUCGCAGGUUGUCAUCACUCACAAGCAGAUUGGUACUGUUACGUGUUGGCACACUUGGCCAACCCACUGGGGCCCGUGGCCCACACAUUUUGAACUAUGUGGCAUGAUGUCCGAGGCCCCUUGGCCAACAAAGAAGAUACGACAUCUAGAAACAAUAUACAUUACAUGGCCCAAAUGCUAAAACUGAGGUACACUGGCCGAGGAGAUUCACACUGAGGCCCAAAUAUCGAAGCCGAACUCUAGAAACACCUUUGGCAUCACUUCUCAACAGAGAUCCGGUCUACACAAGAAUCUCCUUUGAAUGAUUGAUGGGAUACCCAUCAUAGAGUGUAAGUGUUUUGUCUUAUCAAAAAUAGUGACGACUCUGCCAAUUAAUAAAUGUAUAGCAGGUUAGGUAGUCAAAUAUGAUGCCUAGAAUUUGACAUGUAAACCAACGAGAUGAGGCCACGUGUACUCCCAACAUAGGGCCACGAUUUAAUUUGUAUUACUAUAAAUACUCCCCCAUACAUCCAAUAUAGGACUAAUGCAAGACUCAAUAUACAUUUUACUCUCUUUCAAUACAUAUGAGUUCACAUACAUAUUCUAUAAAUAUCGAUUGGUAAUUAUUGUACAAUCGUUAUACAAAUUUCUCGUUGGAUUACGAACGUUCUCGUCCCGCGCUUUUGAGCGGCUCCCACGUUCUUCAUCUGUUCAUUCCAGACCGUCCACAUAUUUUAUUGUGUUGGACCAGGCUUGCGUGUACACGGGUAGGUCCGAUAUCUGUUGGCAACAUAUGAGGUCAAUAGGUACAUUCCUUGUAUAAAAGGUUGUGUUUUUCAUUCCUCUCAUAUUACUACUCAUCAUUCAUUUAAAAAUAAACAAAAAUCUGUCAAAUAUAAUCAUUACAGUGGGUCGUUUGGGAUUUUUUCCCACUCCCUCAUCCAAUUUUCUCUGCCACUCUCUCCUUCAGUUUUUGACAGAGGAAAAAUGACAAUUCUCAGCCAAAGAACUAACAAAAUUCUAUGAUGAUGAGUUUGUACACGGAUAGAGAAAUGUGUCGUGUUCAUAGAUGGUAGUGUUGGGCUUGCAAGUGAUGGUUGUGAUUAUAAACUUUGUGAGGUUAUUGCCAGUAGGAUGUAACGACUAGAUAUGUUAUAUAGGUUUCAAAAAUCAGCUUGUUAAGGUGAUCAAUCUGCUUAUAAAUCCACAAGACAAAUCUUUAUAGAUUAUCAAGAGUGAAAAUUGUUGAGAAUUAGAAACCCUAAUUUUAUACCUCGAGAACAAUAAAAUCGUAGAAAGAAAAUAAACAUAUAAUAUUAUGCAAGAUUUAUAAAAGUUCUUUUCAAUUUGAGUGUACGUCAUCAUCCACUGAUACAAUAAUUUAUUAUGUUGAAAAGAAGUUUACAAGAGAAAAAUCGUACCCUCUAUUUUCAAUUACCUAUCUUUCUCUUUUUUAUGACAAUUACAAGUUGGAUUCGUAUAUAGGCUUGUACAACAACAAUAACUAGACUCAAUAGCUUAUUAAAACACAUUCAUAUGAUUGAAAUGAAAGCAUCAAUAAGGUAGAUUCAUCAAAAGUGACAAUUUUUUAGGGUUUGACUUGAAUUCUAUUUGGAAGGCUAUUUGAGAAUUCUAGUUGAAUUCUAUUUGAAAAUUAUUGCUGGAAUUCAAUAUAGGAGUUUAACUUGGAAUUUAUGAUUUGUAUUAGACUUGAAAAAGAUUUGCAGGAUUCCAGUUCGCAAGAGAGGAAGAAAUCGUGCAAGGAGAAAGUCGGGGCUUGUUGCGCGCUCAACAUCCGCUCGAGCGCUUGGAGCAGGGGUGCCAACUUCGCUAAUUGUGAGGCGGUCGUUUGAGCGAUCGACUAUCAAUCGAUAGUCGAGUUUGAAUUCGUUCAUUUGGAAUCUGGGUUCUUCGACUUCAUUUUUUUUAAUGGACCUUUAGCAAUUAAUCUUUUGUUAGCAAAACUCACUUUUCUUGUAGUAAAUGUUGGAAGGAGAUGUGGACAAUCUUACCCUGCCUUCCCAUCUCAUUCUAGAUACAAACGGGACAAACUGCAUUGCAGGAAUACGAGGAAAGCCUCAUCGAAUAGAGUUGGCAAUCAUAUCAGAAUCAGAGUGACAUCAUAAAUUUUAGUGAAGUUCAAUGUUAAAAGAACAAUAGAGUAGUAUCUGUCAGCUAAAUUAAUAAAAUAUGCGGACGAAAGCAGCUUUUAUUUUCAACCCAAGAAUCAUAUUUUGUGUCUAAAACGUGUAAUGUGAGAAAUGUGAAUGACAUUCUAUUUAACUUCCCACCAAAGAAAAACAAAUAUGAAAGAUUUAAUGACGGAAAAUAAUUACACUUGUUUAUUUGAUAUGCCAGCACCAAUGAUUCCAUUGCAUCCUUCUAGUACAUGUAAGAGGUGUAAAGACAACUUGGGAGGUUUAAAAAGUAAGACCUUGUAACAAGCAGUUAAUUUCAAAAAUAGUAAAGCUCUAGUGCUAAUCAUGAGUUCAGAAUAUGCCCUAGGAAAACUCCAUUGUCCCCGUUCACUUGCUACAUUCAAACUUGCGGGUUUUUUGCUUUUACACCCAAGUAGAUUUAGUUGAAUGAAUACCUGUCUUUUUAUCCUUGCUUUUAAAUUCUUCAUACCUUUUCCAGAUUUGUUUAGUUUAGAAAUUUUCAAACUAUUAUCAUAAUAAAUCAUUCUCUGCUAUUUAAAUUAUUCUUGAUACCAAUUAAAAGAACGGAAAAUACAAUCCUUCCAGAUGGAUGAAAAGACUUUCCCAGUCGCUAUCCUUUUCUUCAGUUUUCGUCCCUUCUUAUCAAAACAAGAGACAGGUGCUACCGUCUCAAUUCAUGGUUUCUUGAAAAAGAGACUUUUCUUACAAAGACAAAGAAACCAUUUUAGGCCCCAUAGCCAGCGUUGACUAUGAGUCAUUCCAAGAGGAAGACAACGAAGAGCAAAGACUUUUCAACCAAUAAAUAAAAAAUUACAACAAAUGAUAGAUACCGCUAACCAAUAAAAGAACGAGUCAAGUCAAUUGUACAUUACUUUCUUGUUAGCUUGUGAUGUCCUUGUCAUUUGAUAAUAAUUAUGGAGUAAUGGACAUAAAACAUUGUAGAAUUAAAAAAUAAAUAAAAUACGUAGAAGAUCAUACCAUUGAUAAUUGCUUUACGAAAUAAUAGAUUAAUAGAAUCAAUUUCCAAAUAAGUGCUAAUAUGCAAUUGAUGAUGAUGUAGUAAUAUGUUAAUUAUCAAAGUAGAAUUGGUUAGAUGAAGACUUAAAUUGUCAAGGUACAAACAGGAGCUGUCAAAUAAUGUUUUUGAGGUGGGUGUGGAUUAGUGGAGAAAAAUUCAUCUAUAGGUAGAUAUAACAUCACUGAUUGUUAAAAGUGCUUGUAAGAUUCGUAAAUAUAUCCACAUAAAACAUGCCAUAGUAACACGUGAAACCAAAUGCCUGAUGGAUCAGAAGUCAGAUUGAAUGCCAUCCUGAUUCCUCACCAUCCUUAUACCUUAUUGAAUGCCAUCCUGAUUCCUCACCAUCCUUAUACCUUCAUAUGCUUGAUAUUCAUUCUGACAAGCCCUACCCAAGUCGAGAAUUGUCAAAUGGAGCCGAGUUAGUUUUUUAAAUUUUAUUAAUUUGAUCCAAGUAGAAAGUACACACAUAUGAACUUUUCCAACCUCGACCCAUGUCACGAUCUUCUAUUUUUUGGAAAAAAUUAUUACUCAACUCUAAAGUAAUGUACCUGCCAAGUGUAUUUUCCCAAAUAGUUAUCAUCUAAUUAACUCUCCUACCCACGGCAUCUAAUCACUAAAAGACUUCUCAUGCACUAUGCAGCUUGUUGCUAAUUUGUGAAUUGAUCAUAAAGCCCCCAACUACUCACCAAUUAGGAACAUUUAGUGCACGUUUGGGCUAUUAAGAAAGAAAGACAAGUUCGUGAUUUUUUAGACUACUGUGUACUAAACACACAAUUGGAUAAUCCUGAUUGCCUUGAACUCCUUCCGUAUAAAAACCUCUACGAACGAGAUUGAAUUUUUCUCGACUGCAUAGAGGAAAAAGAUAAUAGUGUUGGAAAAUAUUUAGGCCCUGUUUGGCACCCAUUUUUAUCAAAAUGCAUUUUUCUCUCUCUUCAUUUCAACCACACAUUCUUUAUUAAAAUAAUAUUACACGUAAAUCAAAAACUUUUUCUUAUUUUUCAACCAUACAUUUCUCAUCAAUUUACUAUUCAAAAAUGCAUUUUCACAUAAAAAUUCCUACCAAACACCCUCUUCAUUUAAGUUUUAAAUUUCCAAAUUAAUAAUUUGUUGUUUUAUUUUAAUUUCAAUUUAAUACAAAAUUGAAUUAAUGAAGUGUAACAUACAUAUUAUAAUUUGUGGUAAGUUUCAACUUUCAAAUUAAAACCUUUUAAUUUUAAGUUUUAACACGAAAUUAAAGUACCAUAAUACAUAUUAUAACUUAUGUUUUAAUAGUAUAAAUGUGGGGGGUUGAAAUUUUACCUGUAAAAAGGUGAUUGGAUUUCAUUGUUGAAUAUAUCAUACAACAACUAAAAGUAUUAUCAUCUCCAUAGCUUCAUACUAUAUUCUUAUGCUUUUCACAACUUGAUGUGAGGCUUGUUCUUUAUCUCCCCAUGCUUGUGCCCAUAGAAAGAGAGCUACAUGAGUUUUAUCUUGGAGUCGUGUAUUGCCGAAAGAACUUACACGAAGGGAAGGCAACACAACUUUAGGACAACGUCCUCGAUGUGACUUCCAAGACUUACUUUUCUAACCCUCUUCUUAUGUUUAUAUUAUUUUGAAUCAUGUUUGUGUUAUUUAAUUGAAUUGUGUUAUUUAUAAUUUUAGUUGAUAAAUUUAUCUACACACAAAUCACCAAUUUUCACAAUAAUCUAAAGUCGUGUUGGUGAUUUGCUUGUAGAUUAAAUGUUGUGAUCAACAAAUUUAAAAGGUAUUUUCUUGAUUUGAUGUAUGUGACUAAAUUAUAUUUGCUAAAUUAUUAGAUUUACUAUUUGAAUAAUAAUGCUCUCCAAAGGUUAUGAAUUAGAUUCAUGUGAACUGGCUUCUUUAAUAAUUGAGAAUGACUAAUGUUUGAUGGAAAAAUAAUAAUAAUUCUAUGAUAUUAACCAUAGUGGUGACUGGGACAGAUUCUAAUCUAUAUUAUUAGAAUGGGAAAAAAAAAAAAAGUGAUCUUGUACUAAUUAUAUUUAAUUAUAAUUAGAAUAAUCCCCUUAUUUGCUCUUAUGUACUUAGAACUUAUUAUUAUUAUUUUAAAUUUCAACGGUUGUACUUGAUUGAUUCUAAUUUAUAUUGUAAGUAGAAAUAUUUAAAAUUUAUGCCUCAGCAAUGUAGGAAUUUAUGUAUUUUGGGAGUGAAGAAAAAUUUUUAUGUAGUCCAAUAAAGAAUAGUGGCUGAAACAACAAAAUGAAGCUAACUUCGAAGUUCAGAAAGAUUAGGUGGACAUAAGAAGGGUGCAAGUAAUGGACCACAUAUUUCAAUUUUGACAUUUUGUAUUCUGUGCUUUGUAAUAGAACUUUGCCUCUAGGUUUAGUAAUUUCCAUAUUGGUGAUUAAUGAGAAUGGAUAGUUGAAAAUCAUAGUUAUUGGCUGAAAUCUAAAUAAAAUUCCAAAAACUGAGAACAAAAUGCCGAAAAUAACUUCAAGUAAUAAUCACAAAGAAGGUUCUACAUCGAUGUCCGCAUAUGCGCUCAUUGUAAGGCUUAAUGAACCUUGGCGUGAAAAGCAUCAAGGAAAAAUAUUUUCCAAGGUAUGAUGGUCAAGUUGAAGGUUAGAUUAUGUGAUUUUUAUUUAGUUAUUACCAUUUGUGCAUAUACAGGUAAUUUACAAUUAUUUUUGUCAAUGACUAGGUGAAUAAUUAAUCAUGAUAUAAGUUUGCUAAUGAUAUUCUCAAAUUAACUACUUGCAUAUAUGUGGGAAUAAAAACUUACUGAAGAAAUUAUGCUAGAACAUAAUUGUUAUUCGGUUCAAAUUUUAUUUGUUUAAUUUAACCUGUUGUUAAUAAAAGUUAUAAGUAAAUGUUUCAAAAAGGAGUUCUAUAAAUUUAAAUAGAAUAAAAUGUUGUGACCAAAACUUAAAUAAUUGAGGUUAUAAUAUUGUAAUCUAUAUGUUGGAGAUUUUUAAAUGUCAUCUUCAUUGAUCUUUAUAUUAAUAGGCUUUACAAAUAAUUGUUGUAGAAUGAAUAUUAGUUACUAAAGAGAAAAAAGGAACGGAGUGAUAUAUUGGUAAUCAUAUGGUGUAAGAUGCAAAAGGGAAAAUUAUUUGCUAGAAUUUCACCUGACUUUGUUUAAUUGAAGCAAUAUUUCUUUGGAGGACUAUUCAAUUUACUAUAUUUGAAAAUUGGUUUAUGGUAUAAUAAAUUGCAAAUAUUUUAUCUAAGGCCUAUUUUAUGAAUGUGAAGGCAUGUUAACCAUAUUUGAUACUUUAUGGUCAUGUUAAAGAAUAUUGUCCAACAUUUUGUGAUACAUAAACAUCAUUGUAUUCCAUUAUGUUUUCCAAGUUGGAGAAUUUGUAAAUAUUUAUAUUUGGACUAACAGAAUCAUUGGGCUCAUAAAGGUAUUGCCAAAUGGAUUAAGUGAUAAUCUAUUUAAUUAAUUUUGAUCAAUUGUCAUAUACAUUGAAUUUCACUUCAUGUAUUAGAUGACACUUUCUGGCUUUUUAGUGAACAACACCCUUUCCUAGAUGCAUGAAGAAGGCCAAUUUAAUAUGUGGCAAAGAAGUGCUACAAGUUGGAUAUAUUUGAAAUAUGGGAGUGUUUAAAAUUUCGCAUAAAGAUGUCUUCUAUGUUAUUAUUCUUUGUAAAUUGACUCUUGAAAUGUAUUAAAAGUUAUAUUGAAAAUUUGAAGGUGAAAGUGAAAUGCAAGAGUUCAAUGGAUUUAUCUGCUCGAACGUAUUACUAGAAUCAAUAUUAAACUUUCGUUUGUUUAUCUUACUAAACUUAGAUAUGUGAUAUUGAUAUUUUGGAAAUUGUAGAAGUUUUUGCAGAUAUGCAGGUGAAGAAUAAAAGCUUUGCAAAUUGAUGGUAUCAAAUUAUUGUCCAAAAGGGCACAUAAAUAAAUUAUAGUCCAUCAUGGACAUACAUAAAUCAUCGAGGGGUAUAGAUUUAAGCCCAUGAGGGAGUUACCUUCGGGAGUAAUCCAACCUUUGUGAUUGAAGAUCCCAUGAAGAAGGUUCAAUGUGAUAGAAACAACCCGUACUGUGUGACCCGUAGUAGCACUAUAUCAUUUGUACUCAUCCCUAUGGUGAUAAUGCUAAUAAUAAUGUGAUGUUAGGAAGGGUUCAACCCUGAAUGAGUACCGAGACAAGAAUUCUCGUGAGGUAUGGGUCAUACACACCCUUGGAGGGAUAUAGAUUUAAGCCCAUAAGGGAGUUAUAGUCCAUCAUGGACAUAAAAUAAAUUAUAGUCCAUCAUGGACAUAUAUAAAUCAUUGAGGGGGAUAGAUUUAAGCCCAUAAGGGAGUUACCUUCGGGAGUAACCCAACCUUUGUUAUUGGAGAUCCCAUAAAGAAUGUUCAAUGUGGUAGAAACAACAUGUACUAUGUGACUCAUAGCAGCACUAUAUCAUUUGUGCUCAUCCCUAUGGUGAUAAUGCUAAUAAUAAUGUGAUGUUAGGAAGGGUUCAACCCUGAAUGAGUACUGAGACAAGAAUUCUCGCGAGGUAUGAGUCAUACACACCCUUGGAGGACUCACCUAUGUAAGAGUUGCCAUGAUGUCGUGGCUAUAGGAUUGGGCUAUUCCCUAAAAAUUCUUACUAGAAUCAAGAUUAGAGCGCUUAACUAUUAACAGUGCUACUCGCAAUGAACUGAACCUAAAUCGAUACUAUGUGUGAAACAAUUGAAGUUUGGUUAAAGGGACUUAAUUCAAGGCUUAGUCCAUUAUAGCUCCAUGAUGCAGGAGGAUCCGAGUCAAGUGAUGCUGAUUUGUCAGAUAGCAUGAUGAUGGUGGUGAGAUACCAUGAGAUGGCGGAUCAGCGCAAAAAUAGAAAGUGAAUCACCAUUAUUUCCUUAAUUGGGAGAAUUUGACGCGUCUUUGGUAAUUUGGCCAUAACUUUGGCUACGGUUAUCGGAAUCGCUAUUAUGACCCCAAUUCGGAAAGCUCUCUUUAGCGCGCACGUCAUGGCUACCUGAGCUAUGCUCGAUGGACGUCAAUUUCGAGCCCAAAAUCUACUGUUUUCCUUUCCAAAAUUCAAUUUUAAGUUAUUUUUUACUAUUUAUGGUAAUAUUUCGUUUCCUUUUUUUCCAUAUGUUAGAAAACUCGAAUUGAGCCAAAUUUUUGGCAACUUACUUCUUUUACUUAAUAUUUUAUUUUGGUAUAAUUUUGGGAUUUUGCCAUUUUUGGUAAUUUUCCCAUAAUUUCGUAUUUCGCAGCUAUUUAACCCGGCUUGUGGGUUAGUUUUCAUCAUUCUGCAUUAUUAAUAAUAUUGAGUUGAAUUCAGAGUCUUUUCUCUGGUUUUUUUGGGCGUUUUCUGUCGUUCUUUUCUUGCGAAUCAUCUGCUACAAUAAGACAAUAGGAUAAUCACUAUCCUACUCGGCGUCAGUUGGUGUCAGAGCGUCAGCAUCUUCUUGGGAGAUAAAUUCCAUCAGUUAUAAUGGUUGGUGGACGUGGUCAUGGUCGUUGAGGAUAGGUUCUGAUUGAGGAAGUCCAACACCGUGAUCGUAAUAUUCAGGAUGUGACGAUUGAAGAUUUGCAGAGACAAGUUGCGGAGUUAACCCAACGUCUGGUGGAGCAGGAAUUCGAUAAUCAUGAUGUAGAAGGUCAUGAUUCCGAUACCAGUUUCGAAAACCCGUAUCACCAUCGUGCUCGAGUUUGGGAGCAUCGUGGAUGAGAGGAUCGUCAUGUGGAUCUCGGUUUCAGAGUGGAUCUGCCCGAGUUUUCUUGUACGUUGCAGGCUGAAGGAUUUAUUGAUUGGCUGAAUGAAGUGGAGCGAAUUUUUGAAUAUAAGGAGGUUCCAGAUCGUGUCAAAGUGAAACUGGUCGCCAUCAAACUCAAAGGUAGGGCAUCUGCAUGGUGGGAACAGUUGAAGCGUUCACGGGAGGGACAGGAAAAAUCCAAAAUUACUAACUGGGAGAAGAUGAAGAAGAAGAUGAAGGGGCACUUCCUCCCCUUCGGCUAUACUCAAACCUUGUUUCAGAGGCUUCAUUCACUAAGGCAAGGCGCAAGAUUAGUCAAUGAUUAUACUGAAGAAUUCUAUCAGUUGGUGGCUCGAAAUGAUUUAUCUGAGACGGAGGAGCAGAUGGUAGCACGGUAUUUGGGGGGAUUAAGGCAGCCCCUGCAGGAUGUUCUCAGCCUUCAUUCAUUGUGGACAGUUUCUGAGGCAUAUCAGCGAGCACUUGCAGUAGAGAAACAGCAAAGUAGGAGGCCAGUGGUCAGAGGUGAAGGAAGUCAGCCAGUUCGCCCUCAAGAAUCUCGUCCUGCUUAUCAGCCACGGCGGGAUAGUUCCAGCUCAAGUAUUAAGUGCUUUAGGUGUGGUGAACAGGGGCAGAGGGCGACUGAUUGCAGGAAGCCUGCUGGUCAGAAGAAUAAAAAUCUUCUGAUUGAGGAAGAUAUGAUAGAGGAGUUUGAGGAAGUUGGGGAACCCGUGUAUGAUGAGGGUGAAGAUGAGGACGUGCUAUAUGGAGAUGGUUAGGAGACCCUGGUCGUUCGAAAGAGCCUGCUGACUCCUAAGGGCGACUCAGGGGAUGAUUGGUUGAGGACCAACGUUUUCCACACAACCUGCACAGUUGUUGAUAAAGUCUGUAAGCUGAUAAUUGAUAGUGGCAGUUGUGAGAAUGUAGUGUCUGAGGAGGCUAUCGAGAAACUACAACUGAAGAUGGAUCGUCAUCCCAAACCAUACAAGUUGUCUUGGCUGAAUAAAGGCAGUGAGGUAACGGUAGAAAAACGAUGCUUAGUGUCUUUCUCGAUUGGAAAAAAAUGUUUUGAUAAUGCUUGGUGUGAUGUGGUAUCAAUGGAUGCGUGUCAUAUUUUCUUGGGAUGACCUUGGCAGUAUGAUCGCAGUGUUAUCCAUGAUGGGCGGAAGAAUACUUAUUCUCUUAACAUCAAAGGGAAGAGAAUUAUUUUGGUGCCUCACAGGGGAGGAAACAUCCCUGCCCCAGUAGUUAAAAACCCCAAUCUAGUUUCGAUAUCCAGAUUCUUGGUUGAGGUUGGACGUGAAAAAAUAGUUUAUGCUUUAAUGCCUCGUGAAAAUAAUACAGCGAAUGUGGAUUCAGAAUUCCCAGCAAAAGUACAGCAACUACUGAUGGAGUUUUCUGACUUGAUGCCGGAGGAUCUUCCUCCAGGACUACCACCUAUAAGGGACAUUCAACAUCAGAUCGACCUCAUUCCGGGGUCGAGUCUUCCAAACCGACCAGCAUAUCGCCUCAGUCCCAAGGAAGCUGAAGAGUUGCAGCGACAGGUGGUAGAAUUAUUGGAAAGGGGCUACAUUCGUGAGAGUAUGAGUCCUUGUGCAGUUCCUGCUCUCCUAGUGCCGAAGAAAGAUGGGUCAUGGCGUAUGUGUGUUGACAGCAGGGCAAUUAACAGGAUUAUAGUGAAGUACAGGUUCCCAAUUCCCCGUCUGGACGGCAUAUUGGAUCAAUUGUCCGGUUCUAAGGUCUUCUCAAAAAUUGACCUUAAAAGUGGAUACCACUAGAUCAGAAUCAGACCUGGAGAUGAGUGGAAGACCGCGUUCAAGACACAGCAUGGGUUGUACGAGUGGAUGGUCAUGCCCUUUGGACUAUUCAACGCACCCAGCACUUUUAUGAGGUUUAUGCAUCAGGUUUUACGGCCUUUCAUGGGGAAGUUUGUGGUAGUUUAUUUUGAUGACAUACUUAUUUAUAGUUUGACAUGGGAGUCACAUUUUAAUCAUCUUCGUGCUGUCUUUGAUGUAAUGAGGACGGAGCGCUUAUUCAUCAAUCAGAAUAAGUGUUCUUUCUUCAUAACUUCUAUAACUUUUUUGGGUUUUGUUGUGUCUACUGAUGGUGUUCAUGCAGAUCAAUCCAAAAUUGAGGCAGUUUUGAAUUGGCCAAAACUAAAAACUUUGCACAACGUCAGGAGUUUCCAUGGAUUGGCAUCCUUCUAUCGUCGAUUCAUCAGAAACUUUAGUACCUUGAUUGCUCCUAUCACAGAGUGCCUUAAAGGGCGUGAUUUUCAGUGGACUGAGGAGGCAGGGGCUAGCUUUCAGUUGGUUAAGCAGAAGAUGACGGAGGCCCCAGUCUUGGCACUUCCGAAUUUUGAAAAGGUGUUCGAGGUAAACUGUGAUGCGUCUGGAGUUAGCAUUGGUGGUGUUCUGAGUCAGGAGGGACGUCCAGUAGCCUUUUUUAGUAAGAAGCUAUCGGGAUCGAAGAAAAAUUAUUCCACUUAUGACUUGGAGUUCUAUGCCAUAGUUCAGACUUUGAAGCAUUGGCGCCAUUACCUGGUACAGAGGGAGUUCAUCCUUAUUACUGAUCAUAAGGCUUUGAAGUACAUCAAUGGUCAGCACAAGCUGAGUAGGCGACAUGCAAAGUGGGUGGCGUACUUACAGGAGUUUACUUUCACACUCAGGCAUCAAGCAGGGAGUUUGAAUCGAGUAGCAGAUGCAUUGAGCCAUCGCACACUACUCCUCACCACCAUGAGCACCAAGAUUGUCGGAUUUGAGGCAUUUCCUGAUAUGUAUGUUGUGGAUCCUUCAUUUGGGAAGAUAAUUCGGGAGGUAACUGAUAAUCACCGACAUGAUUUUGUUUUACAUAAUGGUUACCUGUUUCGUGGAUUGCAGUUAUGCAUUCCGGAUUGUUCACUAAGGCAGCAGAUUAUUAGUGAACUUCAUAACGAAGGACAUUUUGGGCGAGACAAGACAUUGGCAUUAGUCUCUUCUGAUUAUUACUGGCCCAAGUUGAGCAGUGAUGUGGCGCAUUAUGUGGAGCGGUGUUAUGUAUGUCAGCGGUCUAAAGGGGCUCUUACUAAUGCUAUACAAAUCAUUACCCGUACCUGAAGCUCCUUGGUUUGAUGUCAGUAUGGAUUUUGUCUUGGGCUUACCUCGUACACAGCGGGCGAUGGAUUCCAUUCUUGUUGUGGUUGACAGAUUUUCAAAGAUCGCUCAUUUUGUGGCUUGCCGGAAGACAAUGGAUGCUACUCGGAUUGCUUAUCUUUAUUUCAGAGAGAUUGUGUGUUUACAUGGUGUUCCACAGUCAAUUACUUCUGAUCGUGACACUAAGUUUAUGAGUCAUUUCUGGAGGAGUUUGUGGGAGAAACUUGGAACGAAAUUGAAUUUUAGCAGCGCAUACCAUCUCCAAACAGAUGGUCAGACUGAGGUGGUGAAUCGGAGUUUGGGAAAUCUUUUGAGACGCUUAGCCGGGACUAAACCGAAGCAGUGGGAUUUGGCAUUACCUUAAGCAGAGUUUGCUUAUAACCGGUCGAGGAAUAGAACCACCGGACUGAGUCCUUUUGAAAUUGUCUAUGGUCGAAACCUAUCCGGAGUACUUGAUUUGGCUCCAAUUCCACGUGUGGGUCGCUUCAAUAACAAAGCUGAUGAGAUGGCUGAACAUCUUCGAGGUGUCCAUGAGUAGGUGAAGCUGUCCAUACAGGAAAGUAAUACUAAGUACAAAGCUCAGGCAGAUAGUCAUCGACGCCAGGUGUUGUUUGAUGUUGGUGAUUUUGUUUGGGCAGUAUCAACUCGUGAUCGUUUUCCAGCUGGGGAAUACAAUAAGCUAAAGGAGCGGAAGAUUGGACCUUGUGAAGUGCUGCAGAAGAUCAAUGAUAAUGCUUACAGAUUGCGCCUCCCAAGCCAUUUGAAGACCUCUGACGUCUUCAACGUAAAACACCUAAGCCCUUGUUUUAUGGAGUCCGAUGAAGUUACUAUGAACUCGAGGGCGAGUUCUUUCCAACCCGGGGCCACUGAUGCAGGAGGAUCCUAGUUGAGUGAUGCUGAUUUGUCAGAUAGCACGAUGAUGGCGCUGAGAUACCAUGAGAUGGCGGAUCGGCGUAAAGAUAGAAAGUGAUUCACCAUUAUUUCCUUAAUUGAGAGAAUUUGACGCGUUUUUGGUAAUUUGGCCAUAACUUUGGCUACGGUUAUCGGAAUCGCUAUUAUGACCCAAUUCGGAAAGCUCUCUUCGGCACGCACGUCGUGGCCACCUGAGCUAUGCUUGGUGGACGUCAAUUUCGAGCCCAAAAUCCACUAUUUUCCUUUCCAAAAUUCAAUUUUAAGUUAUUUUUUACUAUUUAUGGUAAUAUUUCGUUUCCUUUUUUUCCAUAUGUUAGAAAACUCGAAUUGAGCCAAAUUUUUGACAACUUACUUUUUUUACUUAAUAUUUUAUUUUGGUAUAAUUUUGGGAUUUUGCAAUUUUUGGUAAUUUUCCCAUAAUUUCGUAUUUCGCAGAUAUUUAACCUGGCUUGUGGGUUAGUUUUCAUCAUUCUGCAUUAUUAAUAAUAUUGAGUUGAAUUCAGAGUCUUUUCUCUGGUUUUUUUUGGGCGUUUUCUGUCUUUCUUUUCUUGCGAAUCAUCUACUACAACAAGUCAAUAGGAUAAUCACUAUCCUACCCGGCGUCACUCCAUCAAAUUGAAAUUGUUGAGGUUCAAGUUCAAAAGACACCUACACCUAUUGCACGGUAUAAUGUUGCCAUUAUAUAUAUAUUUUUUAAAAAUUUAAAACUUGUGGGGGAUUGUUGAAAAAUAUUUAAUUUAGUUUUAAAUUUUCAGAUUAAUAAUUUGUUGUUUUAUUUUAAUUUCAGUUUAAUACAAAAUUGAAUUAAUAAAGUGUAACAUACAUAUUAUAAUUUGUGGUAAGUUUCAACUUUCAAAUUAAAACCUUUUAAUUUUAAGUUUUAACACAAAAUUAAAGUACCAUAAUACAUAUUAUAACUUAUGUUUUAAUAGUAUAAAUGUGGGGGGUUGAAAUUUUACCUGUAAAAAGGUGAUUGAAUUUCAUUGUUGAAUAUCUCAUACAACAACUAUAAGUAUUAUCCUCUCCACAACUUCAUACUAUAUUCUUGUACUUUUCACAACUUGAUGUAGAAAGAGAGCUACAUGGGUUUUAUCUUGAAUCAAUGUAUUGCCGAAAGAACCCGUACGAAGGGGAGGUAACACGACUUUAGGACAACGUCCUCGAUGUAACUCUCAAGACUUGUUUUUCUAAGCCUCUUCUUAUGUUUAUAUUAUUUUGAAUCAUGUUUAUGUUAUUUAACUGAAUUGUGUUAUUUAUAAUUUUAAUUGAUAAAUUUAUCUACUCACAAAUCACCAAUUUUCACAAUAAAUAGCAACUGUUUGAAGGAUUCAAUGAGGUUAUUAAAAAAAGAAAAUGAAAUUACCUUCGUGCAACUUUGCAGGUCUUAUUUUCAGGUGAUCAAAGAGACCCAGAAUGGCUGGACAAGUUAAAUAGACAUUUUCUCCUGAAUUAUGGCACGAAAAUCAUUGCAACUUAAUAAUAUUAAAGAAACAAUUAGUUAAGGCAUUUCAUCGAACAUUUUCUUCUCACACUCCAAAUCGCAGGUUGUUAUCACUCACAAGCAGAUUGGUACGUUCCUUGUAUAAAAGAUUGUAUUUUCCAUUCCUCACAUAUUACUACUUAUCAUUCAUUUAUAAAAAAUAAAAAUCUGUCAAAUAAUCUUCACAGUGGCACUUUUGGGAUUUUUUUUCCCAUUCCCUCAUUUUCUCUACCACUCUCUCCUUCAGUUUCUAACCAGGGGAAAAAACAAUUCUCGACUAGAGAACUAACAAAACUCUAUGAUGAUGAGUUUGUACGUGGAUAGAGAAAUGUGUCGUGUGCAUAGGUGGUGGUGUUGGGUUUGCGAGUGAUGGUUGUGAUUAUAAGCCUUGUAAGGUUAUUUCCAGUAGGGUGUAACGACUAAAUAUGUUACAUAGGUUUCAGAAAUAGGCUUGUUAGGGUGCUCAAUCCGCUUAUAAAUCCACAAGACAAGUCUUUAUAGAUUAUCGAGAGUAAAAAUUGUUGAGAAUUAGAAUCUCUAAUUUUAUACCCCCUGAGAACAAUAAAAUCGUAGAAAGAAAAUAGACACAUAAUAAUACACAAGAUUUAUUAAAGUUCUUCUCAAUGUGAGUGUACAUCAUCAUCCAUUGCUACAAUAAUUUACCAUGAUGAAAAAAAGUUUGUAAGAAAAAGUCACGCCCUCUAUUUUCUAUAACCCAUCUUCAUUUGAUGACUAUUACAAGUUUGAAUUGCAUACGGGCUUUACACAUCAACAAUAAAUAGACUCUAUAACUUAAUAAAACACAUUCAUAUGACGGAAAAGAAAGUAUCAAUAACAUAAACUAGAUUCAUCAAAAGUGACAAUUUACAUAAAUCCUAAUGGACACUGUCGGAAUUAGGGUAUGAUCUGGAUUCUAUUUGGAAGAUUAUUUAAGAAUUCUAUUUGAAAAUUCUUGUUAGAAUUCAAUUUGGGAGUUUAACUUGGAGUUUAUUGUUUGUGUUGGAUUUGAAGAAGAUUUAAGGAGUCCAGUUUACAAUAGAAAAGAAAGAAAUCGUGCAAGGAGGCAUCCCAUCUACGGAUGCUGAGCGUUUAGAACAGGGGUGCCAGCUCUCACUAUCCUCAUCCUAUAUAAACACUCUACAUAUCUUCCUUCAAAGAGACACCACAAACUGAAUUAAAGAUACAAAACAUUAUAGUUGGAUUCGAAUAUUAGCUUAAAAGAAUUAAUAUGGCAUUUAAAAAAACAAAUAGCUGGGUAUUUGCUAAAAUCCAAAAGUGAAAAAGAAGGUAUUUUCAAUUUCUUUAAAGAAAAGUAGGUAUGUAUCAAAAUUGUCCAUGGGCCGCCCUGCCCUAGGUUCAAUUCGUUAAUGUUAUUUGAAGCUUCAAAAUGAUUAAGUAAAAUUAAGAGUAAUGGUGAUAUUGUUCGUUAAAUAUUUCUUGCAAUCGAAGUUUGCAAGUUGUACUGAAAUUUAUAUAUUCUUUUUUUAUUAAGAGUAUGUGUUGGCAUAAACUACUUGCGUUUUGGAAACUUGUGAGGACAAACACAGAUUUUAAAACUCAAAAUCAAUUUGCUUUUUUUCAUUUUACAUCGGACGGUACCAAACAAUUAUGGAUCUGUCGGGCAUAGAAACCACACAAAUGGACUCAGACAUCGAGUAGAGCAUGUCUUUUAUAUAUGUGAGUAGAGCAUGGUUAAUUUAAUAUUUAUUUAACAAAUUAUCUCUUACUCAUUACAACAUAAUAAUUUUUUUGAAAUUAAUAAAAAUUUAGAAAAAUUAUUGAUUUAUAUAUAUAACUGUUUUUUUUUAAUUGAUUUAAAGAUAUAUGAAUUAGUUGUUAAUUUAUGGAUAGAUGUCUUCAAAAGAAAAAUCUAUAAUUUUAGUACUUGUACACGACUUUUUUCUUUGACCACAUAUACACGUACAACUUACAAAUAAAGAAAUAAUGAACUAAAAGAUUUAGAGUAUCUCCAAUAAACUCUUGAAACGUAAGAUUCUCUUUAUUUCAAAUAGUCAACUCAUAAACUUACGCUCCAAAAGACACUUUAUAUUAACAUUUUAAUUUAGAAAGUCUUUAUAAUUAAAUGGAUCUAAAGUAUUUCAAUUUUCGAAGGGGGAAAAAAACAUAAUAAUUUGAAGGGAAGCUAGAAAAAAUAAAAGAUGGGGAAAACAAUAAAUAUUUUUUGAAAGUAGUAAAAUUAAGUAUUAAAUAUAAAAAGCGUAUUUAAGUAGUUAAAAUUUUUACUUUUAAAUUUAUAGAUGAUCUCUAAAUUGAAGAACAUGUUCCGUAAAAAAUAGAGAUUUUCUUGGAGAUACUCUUACACGUUAAUUACAACUAACAAACAAAGGAAAAUAGAAUAAACAACACAUUACACAUACCUACAUGCACACGCCCUCACUGAGAUGGAGAAUUAGACACACCUUGCGCAACUAGCUAUACAGGAAUUACAUACAUAGACGAUAUUUAACAAAUAUACAUAAUUCCUUAACACUCUGAAAGGAAUUAAUGGGUCCCUAAAUGAAUUGCAUAAUCAUAAAGCAAGAAACUAAACAGAGAGAAAAAAGGGACCUAUCAAUUUGAGUAUUGGCGGGUAAUGAUUUAUCACUCAACAGUUAAAUGUACUGAACUAGAAGCAUUGCAUAGCAAGGCUAUGGUUUAAAAAGUAAGACCUUGUAACAAGCAGUUAAUUUCAAAAAUAGUAAAGCUCUAGUGCUAAUCAUGAGUUCAGAAUAUGCCCUCUUUUUUUACAAGGAAAACUCCAUUGUCCCCGUACACUUGCCACAUUCAAACGUGCGGGUUCUUUGCUUUUACACCCAAGUAGAUUUAGUUGCAUAAAUACCUGUCUUUUUAUCCUUGCUUUUAAAUUCUUCAUACCUUUUCCAAAUUCGUUUAGUUUAGAAAUUUUCAAACUAUUAUCAUAAUAAAUCAUUCUCUGCUAUUUAAAUUAUUCUUGAUACCAAUUAAAAGAAUGGAAAAAACAAUCCUUCUAGAUGGAUGAAAAGACUUUCCCAGUCACUAUCCUUUUCUUCAGUUUUCGUCCCUUAUCAAAACAAGAGACAGGUGGUACAAUCUCAAUUCAUGGUUUCUUGACAAAGAGACUUUUCUUACAACAACAAAGAAACCAUUCUAGGCCCCAUAGCCAGCGUUGACUUGUGUCAUUCCAAGAGGAAGACGACGAAGACCAAAGACUUUUCAACCAAUAAAUAACAAAUUACAACAAAUGAUAGAUACUACUAACCAAUAAAAAAACGAGUCAAGUCAAUUGUACAUUACUUUCUUGUUAGCUUGUGAGGUCCUUGUCAUUUGAUAAUAAUGGAGUAAUGGACAUAAAACAAUGCAGAAUUAAAAAAUAAAUAAAAUACGUAGAAGAUCAUACCAUUGAUAACUGCUUUACAAAAUAAUAGAUUGAUAGAAUCAAUUUCCAAAUAAGUGCUAAUAUGCGGCUAACGACAAUGUAGUAAUAUGUUAAUUAUCAAAGUAGAAUUGGUUAGAUGAAGACUUAAAUUGUCAAGGUACAAACCGAAGCGGUCAAAUAAUGUUUUUGAGGUGGAUGUAAUAUCAUAGACCCUCAAGCUAUCUUAAAGGAAAUGGAAAAAAAAAAUCAUCUAUGGGAUGGAUAUAACAUCACUGAUUGUUAAAAGUGCUUGUAAAAUUCGUAAAUAUGUCCACAUAAAACAUGGGGAAAAUUGCAGCUAAGGUACCAAACCUUUCGUUUCUUAGCAGACUUUACCUAAACUUUUCAUUUGUAUCACCAUAGUACCAAACCUUUAAAAAAUUCGCAGUUCAAGUCUGUAUUAACGAUUUUCGCCAGUUUGACCCAAAAAACUAUCAGUUGACUUCAAAAAUUAAAAAUAUAACAAUUUUGACCACAUAAAGCAAGGGUAAAACUGUAACUCUAUAAUUUUAAUAUUAAAAGAAAAUUAAAAAUGGGAAAAAAAAUCUCCUCCUUCAUCUUCCCCAAUCCUCCAUCUCCACCGACAGUCGACACCACCUCCUCAGUCUUGAGGGCUCAAACGAUGGAACUCAGCCAAAGACUGCAAUCCCUCAACGAAAUCCUUAAUUACAUCAACAGUAGCACAGCCGUCGUCGCUGCCACCUCCAGCCUCCAAUAGCUUUUUCCAGGCUGAGGAGUUUCAAGGGUUUUCUGAUGUGUUUUUGAACAAUCCCUAGAAUUUAAUGUACAUUAAUCAACAGCUAAUCAUGGCCUCAGCUGAUAUGUUUGAUUAUUAAGUUCACUAGUUUGUUCAAGGUUUCGAUGGUGAAAAAUAAAAAUGUUUUUUUAUUAAAAAAAAUAAAAAAAAUAAGACCAUCUCCUUCUCCUCUACCACCACCUGUGAAAACGUAAGAAGUUUCUAUCAUUUGCACCGUGCUUAUGCUUACUAUUGCAUGGUCCAUGUAGUAAUUGACCAGAUCUUGCACUUAUUGGUUUUCACAUUCUUCACCUCUGCCUACCACAAUUCUUCCUAGGGCGUUAAUCUAGGUUGCAACCAGGAAAAGGAGAAGGAGAAACACUAGAGUUUUGGCCAUUGUUAGAAAAUUAGGUAAGACCUCAGGUGGUGGUGUCGGUGGGUGGCAAAUGGACGAUGGGUGGUUUUGAUUUUGGGGUGAGGGGAUUGGGGAAGAUGAAGGAGGAGAUGGUUUUUUUUCUCCUUUUUAAUUUUUUUUAAUAUUAAUAUUAUAGAGUUACAUUUUACCCUUGCCCAAAAUUAUUAUAUUUUUAAUUUCUGAAGUCAACUAACAGUUUUUUCGGGUCAAACUGACGGAAACCGUUAAUACGGACUUGAACUGCGAAUUUUUUAAAGGUUUGGUACACACUGUGUCACAAAUGAAAGGUUUGGCAAAUUCUACUAAUAAACGAAAGAUUUGGUACCUUGACUGCAAUUUUCCCUAAAACAUGCCACAGUAACACAUGAAACCAAAUGCCUGAUAAAUCAGAAGUCAGAUUGAAUGCCAUCCUCACCAUCCCUAUACCUCCAUAUGCUUGAUAUUCAUUCUGACAAGCCCUACCAAGUCGAGAAUUCUCAAAUGGAGCCAAGAUAGUUUUUUAAAAUUUUUAAUUUGAUCCAAGUAGAAAGUACACACAUCGAACAUUUCCAACCUCGACCCACAGCCAAGUCGAACUUCUAUUUUUUGGAAAAAAAUUUCAACUCAAUUCUAAAGUAGAUGUACUAGCCAAGUGUAUUUUCCCAAAUAGUUAUCAUCUAAUUAAGUCUCCUGCCCACGGCUUCUAAUCGCUAAAAGACUGCUCAUGCACCAUGCAGCUUGUUGCUAAUUUGUGAAGUGAUCAUAUAGCCCCUAACUAUUAAGACAGAUAAUCACCAAUCAGGAACAUUUAGUGCAUGUUUGGGCAGUAUUAAGGAAGAAACACAAGUUCAUGAUUUUGUAGACUACUGUGUGCAAAACACACAAUUGGAUUAAUCCUGAUUUCCUUGAACUCCAUCUGUAUUAAAACCUCUAUGAACAAGAUCGAAUUUUUCCCGACUGCACAGAGGAAAAAGAUAAUAGCAAAUCUUUGAAGGAUUCAAUGAGAUUAUAAAAAUAAUAAAAAGAAAUUACCUUCGUGUAGCCUUACUGGUCUUAUUUUCAGCUGAUCAAAGAAACCCAUAGAGGCUUGACAAGUUAAAUAGACAAUUUCUCCUGAACUAUGGCAUGCAAAUCAUUGCAACUUAAGAAUAUUAAAGAAAUAAUUAGUUAAGGCAUUUCGUCGAAUAGUUUUUUCUCACACUCCAAAUCGCAGGUUGUCAUCACUCACGAAUCACUCACAAGCAGAUUGGUAUAUUCCUUUUAUAAAAGAUUGUGUUUUUCAUUCCCUCACAUAUUACCACUCAUCAUUCAUUUAUAAAAAAUUAAAAAUCUGUCAAAUAAUCAUUACAAUGGCACUUUUGGGAUUUUUUUCCCAUUCCCCCAUCCAAUUUUCUCGGCCACUCUUUCCUUCAGUUUCUAACCAAGGAAAAAAAUACAAUUCUAGACCAGAGAACUAACAAAAUUCUAUGAUGUUGAGUUUGUAUAGAUGGUGGUGUUGGGUUUGCAAGGGAUGGUUGUGAUUAUAAGCUUUGUGAGGUUAUUGCCAGUAGGGUGUAACGACUAGAUAUGUUAUAUAGGUUUCAAAAAUCAGCUGGUUAUGGUUCUCAAUCCACUGAUAAAUCCACGAGACAAGUCUUUAUAGAUUAUCAAGAGUGAAAAUUGUUGAGAAUUAGAGACCCUAAUUUUAUACCCGAGAACAAUAAAAUCGUAGAAAGAAAAUAGACACAUAAUGAUAUGCAAGAUUUAUAAAAGUUCUUUUCAAUGUAAGUCUACGUCAUCAUCCAGUGAUACAAUGAAUUUUUAUGAUGAAAAAAAAUUUAUAAGAGAAAAAUCGCACCCUCUAUUUUCAAUAGCCCGUCUUUCUCUUUUUUAUGACGAUUACAAGUUGGAUUCGUAUAUGGGCUCCACACAUCAACAAUAACUAGACUCAAUAGCUUAAGAAAACACAUUCAUAUGAUGAAAAUGAAAGCAUCAAUAAGAUAACUAGAUUUACCAAAAGUUACAAUUUACAUAAAUCCUAAUGGACACUGUUAGAAUUAGGGUUUGAUUUGAAUUCUAUUUGGAAGACUAUUUGAGAAUUCUAGUUGAAAUCUAUUUGAAAAUUAUUGUUAGAAUUCAAUUUGGGAGUUUAACUUGGAAUUUAUGAUUUGUCUUGGACUUGAAGAAAAUUUGAAGGAUUCCAAUUCGCAAUAGGAGAGGACGAAAUCGUGCAAAGAGAAGAAGCAUUGCAUCAACGCUUACUAAGUACUCAGCAUCCGUUUGAGCGCUUAGAAUAGGGGUGCCAACUCUCGCUAUUCGUGAGGAGACCGUUUGAGCGAUCAAACAUCAAUCGACCUUCGCCAGACCGUAGCUCGAAUUGCAGUCUUAUCCAGGUUUGGAACAAUUCACGAUUUUGGCAAAUUUUUGAAUCCUAUUUUAUCCUAAACACUUCAUUAUUGUAUAGACUCACACACGCACAUAUGGGGAAUUAGGCACACACACAAACACAAAAAGGGUAGGUUAUAAAAUUUUUAGCCCAUAUUUGAGAUCCUUAAAAUUUUAAAAACAUAGUUUUGAAUAGUAUUUUUUGUAGAAUUGUGGUUAAAUUAAGUUUAAGUAUAUAAUAUCUUAUUGUGUGAAUAUGUGGUUAAAAAUAAGUAUGAGAAAUAAAGUAAAGUAAAUAAUGUCAGACAAAGACUAAUAUUUCAUCUCACGUUUUACUAGUAUAUUAUAAUCAAAACAAAACAUCUACAAAUUGAUGAGAAAAUUCUUGUUUUCUUCCUUGAUAUCACAAAUAAUUUACAGCAAAGGUACACGAAAAAUAGUGGAAAAAAAGAGUUUAGAAGAAAAUCAUAGCUCUCAUCCUGUAUAAAUUAUAAAUACUCUACAUAUCUUCCCUCAAAGAGACGCCACCAACUGAAUCAAAGAUACAAAACAUUUAUAAAGUUGUUCGUGUAAAUCUCAAAUUUUCAAUAGAAAACAAGACAAGUAACACAUAAUCUAACAUGGGUAAAAAUGUAAAAAUAAAAUUUUGAUACUCAAUAUAAACGUAACACAACAUUUUAACUUUCAAGUUAGCCUAAAUAAGAAUUAACAUGGCAUUAUAUAUAUAUAUAUAUAUAUGCCCAGGUUCAAUUGGUUGACGUUAAUUGAAGCUUCAAAAUGAUUAAUUAAAAUUAAGAGGAAUGGUGAUAUUGUUCGUUAAAUGUUUCUUGCAAUUAUAGUUUGUAAGUUGUACUGAAAUUUAUAUUUAAUUUUUAAUAAGAAUAAGUGUUGGCACAAACUACUUGCGUUUUGGAAACCAGUGACGACAAACAUAGAUUUCAAAACUCAAAAUCACUUUGCUUUUUUAUUUUACGUCAUCCAGUACCAAACGACUAUGGAUCUGUUGGGCAUAGAAACAACAAAUGGACUUAAAAAUCGAGACUGUAAAAUAAGUAAAAGUUUUCAAAUUUGGAACCCCUUAAUCUAGGUGGCUCACCAUGGCCACUUAGACCGUUAUUGUAAAUAUUAUCGAGGCUAGAUGGAGUUGUUAGAGAAUGGUGCUGAAUUCGAUGGUGUUUUGAAUAUUUUUGAGUGGAAUCUAUUUUUAUUUUUUGAAAGAUUAAAGUAGAUUUGUGUUCUCCUUCUUAAGAAUACCGAAAUCAUAUAUUUACGUGUCAAAAAUGAUGAUCGAAUGAGAAAUUGAAGAUCAAAAGUGUAAUGCGUGUAUAUUAGAAGAAGUUUUUGUGUGGAUAACCAACAAGUUUUUAAGGCAUGUCUUUAUUUAUGAGAGAAGGGCAUAGGUAAUUUAGCCCCUGUUUGGCAACACACUCUUAUGUGGAUCCCAAUUGACCAAAAAUGGUCAAAAAAAUUACUUUUCUUCUUCCAAAAAAUGUCUUCCAAACAGGGGCUUGAUAUUUAUUUAACAAGUUAUCUCUUACUCAUUAUAACAUAAUAAUUUUUUCGAAAUUAAUAAAUUUUGGAAAAAUUAUUGAUAUCGUUAUAAAAUAAUGAGAUAAUUUUAGUAUUAUCAUUAUACAUAGAUAAGUCUUAUCUUGUCUAGAAGAUCCAUUUCAUUUCAAUUAUAACUCUUAUUUUAGACUCUAUAAAUAUAGGGCAUUAUUUUUUAAUAAUACAUAAUUGAGUUUUGAGACUAUUUUUUCUCUUAUUUUCUUUCUUUCCUUUAGUUUUAUAACACGUUACUAGUACGAUGAACUUAUUACAUAAAGCUUGCUUGCCAAAUGAAUUCUUUUAUCUAAUUCUCGAUCAAAUCUCUCUCUCUCUCUCUCUCUCUCUCUCUCUCUCUCUAGUAUAUAUAUACAUGCUAAAAAGGGGGGCAUCAAAAGUGGGUAAAUUGACUAUCACAUGCAUAUAUUGUAUUCAGGUUUUGUGGCUAGACUUUUGCUCCUAGAUUAUUCAACUUAUAGAGGGAUUUUUCAGAAUUAAAAGAGGAGUAUUUGAAGCAUGGGAUGUUGAAAUAUAUCGCCUUUAAUCGUCGCGAAAUCUUCCAGCUAGAUUUAAUGCAAUAGGCAAAUCAAAAAUUGAUACUCGUGCAACAGGUAAUUAAUUCCAGAACUUUAGUUCCAUAAUAAAAAAUAAAAAUAUGCAGAUUAUUGUUUCAUCAAAAAUUGCACCCCAUAUAUUUAAUUGUUUGUUUCUUCUUUAUCAUUCGAUUAAUUAUCACGUUCAUAUUUUUUAAUACAUAUUAUAGUGUAUAAAUUUAGUACUCUGAUGUCGCUCUAUUACAAAUAAUUUGUUGGUACUCCUGAAGUAGCACAACACUGUUAAUAUUUUAAAAGAAUAUAAUUGCUUCUGAAAAAGCACAACUCUGCAAAUAUUUACAUUCUACUAGAAAACAUGCUCAUGGAGAGUUCGCAUUUUUAAAUAAUAAUUUGUUAUUACUCUUGAAGUAUCACAAUAUUAUUAAUACUCCAGAAGAAUAUUAUUUACUCCCGAAAAGCAUAAAUAAUAAUUUUCUAUAUUCAAAAAAAAAAAUAUUGACAUAUUGUUCAUAAAAAGCAUAAAUUACAAUUUUUAAUAUUUCAGAUAAAGAUAUUGAUUUAUUACUUUUAAAAAAGCAAUAGUAAGAUAUAGUACUCCUCCACAAAUAUUAAUAUUCGUUUUGAAAACAUACUCGUGAAGAGUUGAUUCUUUUAAACAAUAAUUUUUUGAUCCUCCUAAAGUAGAAUAAUGUUGUUAAUAUUCUAAAACAAAUAUUAUUGCUCCUGAAGUAGAAUACUAUUAUCGACGGAUAUUUUAGUUAGAUUUUACUUGCCCUCGAAUAACAUAAUUAAAUACGAUCUAACAUAAAUUAUGUUUUUUUUUUUUUUUUUACUCUUGAAGAUUAAAUUCUUAUAUGAUUUAUUAUUUCAAAUAAUAUUAUGUUAUUGCUCUUAAAGAGCAUGACACUACGUUUCAAUAUUUCAGAAGAAUAUUAAUAUUACUCUUUAAGAAGCGAUAAUAAAAUACAAAGCUCUCUUGAAAUGACACAUAUUUUGAAGAAUAUAUUAUGUGUAAUUUAUGAAUUUGUAUUUAUUCCUGAAGGAAAACAUACGACUUAUGUCAUGUGGACAUUGAUCAUUAUAUAAUUAUAUAAUGUUUAAUCAUAUUUUUCGAAAUUAAAUCAUCAAAUUAUAUCUUAUACUAAAUCAAAGGUUUAAUUUAAUUGGCAUGACCAGUUGAACCAUUACUGGAUCAACAAUAAUGCAAAAUUAAAAAUUCAAAUGGGUAUUCAAUAAAGAAUCAUAAGAUUCUUCAACUCAAUUCUAUAUGAUAUUUGUUCUCUUUCAUGAAAAUUUUUCAUUAACCAUCACUAUUUAAAAUAAGAAAUGAUUCAUUUCUUAUAUUUCUAAAAAUUAAUUAAGAUGAUAAAUGAGGUCCCAUCAUCCUCCACGUUGAUCAUCAAAAUAGUAUUUGUAUCUAAUAUAUUUGAUAUAUAUACUAGAUGAUUGCAUGGUGUUCGCAACCUAAAGCUUGCAAAAUUACUAUUCAAAUUUUAAAUUAUAAGCAUAAUUUUUAGAUUAUAUAAUCAAGACUAUAACUUGUUAAUGUUAAUGAUUUAUUGCAUGGUGUUCGCAACCUAAAGCUUGCAAAAUUACUAUUCAAAUUUUAAAUUAUAAGCAUAACUUUUAGAUCAUAUAAUCAAGACUAUAACUUGUUAAUGUUAAUGAUUCUAAAUCUCAACAUUUUAAAAAUGUUAGUUGGGAUGUUAAUAAAUUGUGUAAAACACUUAUUUGUUAAAGUCCUCCAAAUAAUUGAGAACAAAGCACUUCCCAUUUUUGUUUAGUGACACUAUUACGUAUCACGACAACAUCAUAGUUUUUUAUAUUAUAAUUGGCUUAUGGUAAGAGCCUAAUUUUUCUAUCUAUUUAUUUUGAUAAUGCAGUAUAUAUAAAAUUGAACCACCACAAUACACUGAGAUGAAAAGUAAAGAAUGUUGAGAAUAAAUGCGUAGUUUGAAUCCUUACACCAAAUGAGCGAUAUUUUAUAACAUUGAAAAAAUGAUUGUCAAUUUGAUUGAAAAGUUCUCUCAACAUUAGGAGAGGAAUUAAGAAAUUGGAAAUAAUGUACAAAUGCUUCUUUUCCUAAAUCCUUGUAAAAGACCACUCAAACUAGAAGUUCGAAAUAUGAUUUAUUUAGAGGCAUUUAUUGAUCAAAGAGAUAAACAAUAUCUCAUGCAACAAUUUUAAGUGCUCCAAUUGAAUUGAUAUCCUAGGAGGACAAUUUCAUAGCAUUGUAUUUGAUAUAUUUAUAGAAUCUCUAAAACGUGAUGAUAUUCGUUUAUAAUACCAAAAAAUAAAAAUAAAAAAAAAAAAUAAAUCUCCAAAUGAAAAUGGAGCAAUUCAUGAAGAAAGUCCCAUUAAAGAGACAUAUGCUUUUGAUAAGUAUUUAGACAUAACAAAUUAUAAAAUUAUAGAAGAUGGUCAGGCAUUUGACAUGUUGAAAAUUAAGAUAUCUCAAUAAGUUAUGUCAUAAUGGAAAAGAAAAUAAUAUCAAACAAGAAAAGAAAAAGUUGUCGACAACCAUUUUACACAUGAUGUACGGCAUCAUAUAACAAGGAAUCAAAAUAAAUUACUCAAAAUAUAUCGAUCGAAGUGAUUGACCAAAUAGAAGAGAUAUCAUCUUAAAUUAAAUUUAUUAGCGAACUUGAGAUUUCUAGAUCUACAAUCUGAACACAUAAAGGUGUAUGUUUAUGCGGAAUGAAAAUGAAAAAAGUAAAGUCGUAAUACGAAAUGUACAACUUUUUUACAUAAUAAAUGUCGCAAAGAAUUAUAUAAAUAAAUAAAUUAUCAUAUAGUGAAUGUAAUCACAAGUCUCUAUUUCAUUAGAUUGACAAUGCAUGAAAUUUGAUAUGCACAUAAUAAAUGUGAUUAUAGUCAACUUAUCUUACAUAUAAAUUUAAUACUAUUCUUGAAAGAUUUAAUAUGCUUGAAGCAUAAUUCAAGUCACAUUAUCAUGAGAGGAAAUAAAUAUGCAUUUUAUUCUUUUUUCCUUGACCAAGGUUUUUAAUGAGACAACCUAUGUAGUGUAUUGAAAAGAACAAUGUACUCAUUUUUCCUUCUUUAGGAUAUUUUCCACGGUUUUCCUAAUAAAGUUUUAAUGAGGCAUAUUCUUUGUGCAAUGAUGUCCUUAACCUAUAAAGUGUUUACCCUCAAAAUAUAUAUUUUUAGAUGUAUGAGACUCUCGAAGAGAUCAACAAGAGCUAGUUUUCAAAUCAUCAUGUUACUACAGUUAUUAAAGGAUAAUAAAUAUCAAGUAUGAAAACGGUGUUAUCUGAAAACUAUGCAAGACAACAUGAGACACAUUUCACCAGAAAUUGUAGUAUUGAAGGCAUUGAUAGACAAGAUAUGAAUAGCUUGAUACAAAAAUUGAAAUCAGAGGGUAGCUGUACUUUUUUCCUUCGAUUAAGUUUAGUCCUAUCGAUUUUUUUUUGCUAAACAAGGUUUUGAUGAGAGAGUUAUCAUAUAAAUAAUUAUCAGAGGAAGAGUGUUGAUACACAGACUUAUCUUGUCUAUAAGAUAUAUUUCAUUCCAAUUGUAACUCUUAUUUUGGACUUUAUAAAAUAUAGGGCAUUAAUUCUUCAUAAUACAUAAUUGAGUUUUGAAUCUCUAUUUUUUCUCUUAUUUUCUUUCUUUCCUUUAGUUUUAUAAAGAAAAAUAUAUAGUUUUAGUACUUGUACAUGACUUCUUUGACCACAUAUGCUGGUACAAUUUAUAAAUAAAGAAAUAAUGGACUACUCUUUAAACAUAAGAUAUUCUAUAUUUUAAACAAUCAAUCCCUAAAGUUAUGCUCCAAGAGACUCUUUAAAUUAAUAUUUUUAAUUUAAAAAGUCUUUAUAAUUAAAUAUAAAAUUUCAAAUGAGGAAAAAAGAAUAUAAUAAUUUGAAGGGAAGCUAGAAAAAAUAAAAGAUGAGAAAAACAAUAAAUAUUUUUUGAGAAUAGUAAACUUAAUUGUUAAAUAUAAAAACCCUAUUGAAAUACUUAAAAUAUUUUUACUCUUUAAAUUUAUAGAUGAUCUCUAAAUUGUAGAGUAUGCUUUUUAAAAAUAGUGAUUCUUUUGAAGAUGCACUUACAUGUUAAUUACAACAAAUAGAUAAAGGGAAAUAGAAUAGACAACACAUUACCCAUACCAACACACACGCCCUUAAUGAGAUGGAGAAUUAGACACACCUUGCUAGUUGAGUGUAUACAUAAUUUCUAAAUACAUGUGCACAUCGAUUAAGUUGGAGCUAGCUAUUCAAGAAUUGCAUACGUAAACAAUAUUUAACAAAUAUACAUAAUUCCUUAAUACUGUGAAAGGAAUUAUGCACGCUUGACAAAUGUGAAUUUGUUAAAUGAGUUUCAUUUCUUCCUUAGAACUACGUAAUUGAAAGAAGAAAGGGACAUUUUAUCAAUUUGAGUAUAGUUGGGCAAUGAUUUAUCACUCUAUAGUUAAAUUUACUGAACUAGAAGCAUUGCAUAGCAAGGCUAUGGAGUCAAUUGAAUCUAUUCCCCAUGUCUGGUCUUCGAGUGGCGCAACCUGCUGGGGUGGUUGGCAAGGUUGAGGAGGAAUUUGUAGAGUCUCAACUUCACUUUCAAGCAUUUCCAUUAUUUACUCAUUGAUGGACGAUCCAUCGGAUUCAUUUGUAUGCACCAUAAUGCAACUAUUGUCAUCUUCCUAGUAAUCUUCCUUUCUUCACAGCCUAAUUCUUCAGCAUCUCCAAUUUCAAGAUCCUUACUCUUGUUGAAAUGAUCAUAUAUCCAGUCGGGGAAGUAUUGGCUAGAAAGUUCCAUGUUUUGUAUCAAGUCUUUAUUUAGACUUAACAUUUCCAUCAACAACAUUCCGAAGCUAUAAGCAUCUGCCUUGUACGAGACAGCCCCAAUGCCUCUAUUGAUCAAUUCGGGAGCUACAUAACCAAUUGUACCUCGUGCAAGAGUAAUAGUUACAAUACUAGUUUCAGUCGAGUAAGAUUUCGCUAGCCCGAAAUCAGAAGUUUUUGGAGUGAAGUUAUCAUUGAGAAGUAUGUCGUGUGGCUUAAUAUCGAAAUGCAGUCGAUGCAAAUUAGUCUCUUGCUCGCAUCCAUUCUCCAUCACACUGUCGGAAAAAAUAUCGGAUGCAGUGAUAUAGAAAUGUUUGGUACAUGAUCCACUUUUCUGACAAGAGAGAUACUUCUCAAGUGAACCAUUAGGCAUGAAGUCAUAUACAAGAGCACAAUUGGACAUAUCUGCACAAUAACCACAAGUCGAACUAUAUUGACAUGAUGAAUUCUUCCGGUAGUGGUAACUUCAUUGAUGAAAUCUUGUCUAUUUGAUUUAUUUUUGCCUAGUAUUUUCACUACUAUAUCCCUUCCACUUCGAAGCUUUCCUUUGUAAAUUGAACCAUAACCUCCUUCACCCAAUUUUUCCCGAAAACCUUUGGUCAUCUUCUUUAUGUCUGAAUAAGAGUAACUGAUGGGUAUUAGGUUAUUCUAAUUGCGCAGAAAAUUUUCUGUUUCAUUAAACAUUGAUAAAUGUCUUCUUCUCAGUUUAUAGACAAAUAAUCCGAACAUGAAUGGAAUUCCUAUUAAGAUCCUCAAUGCAAGGUUGAUCACUGUUCAUUCAGAAAUGAGAAGACUAGUUAGAAAAUUAUUUAGCAAAGACGUAAUACUUCCAGGAAUUCUUUCUUUACAUUUAUAUGUUGGAAAAAUGUGUCAGGGUUCUUCAAGUUGGCUUCAAGUGGGCUGACUUGACCCAUAGCCUUUGAAACCAGAUAAGAAGGGAUAAUUUGAUUUUAAAUUCAAACUUCAACUUCUAUAGACCAUGCUCUAAUUUCCUUACUUCUUAUAUGCGUGCAGAAGAAAAGUGACUGAAGUUAGGGGGAAAAUGAGGCAGAAAUACAUUCAUGCAUGAUACUGCAACUGUAAUAGAAAUGGUUAGAAUAUAAUAUUUUUGUUUAUAAAGUUGGCACUUGAAUUGUGGAAAUGAAACUUGCUCUAUGGUAAUAAAAAUGGUCAGAAUAUAAUAUGUUGAACUGAUUCGUGCAUGCAAUCUGAAAGUAACAUGACAUCUUUAAGAUCUAUCAUGGCAUUGCCCAAGUUCUUAAAAACAAAAUAUUUCUGGCUGCAAUGUGCAUAAAAUUUUUCAAAUAUUGCAAGACAAUUUCUUAUAAACAUUUUUGUAGUUUGAGGAUUGUAAUACUGUAACCUAAAUCGAGAUAAAGAAAAGAGAAUGUGAAAGGAUCUUUCCCAUAAAUUAUGUUGCUAAUCCGCUGACCAAUACUGUAGUCUGCAAUGCCUACAACCAAACAUCGUCAGAAAAGAGUUUAAAGAAACUUUUCGAAUGUAAGGACGUUGAAGUCGAAUUGCAUUUAACUACGGAAGUAGUGGAUGAUUGUAAAUUGUUGCAAGACCGAUACAUAUGUUAAUUAUAUAUGGUGAGAUGUUAUGACCUCUACACAUUAAUAAAUCAUCAGAAAAAGGAAUAUUGGAUAACGAGUACAAGUGUCAACUUAAAUCACCUUGCUGCCCAAGACAGUCUAGUUUCUUUUAGAAAUAGGCAUCACUAAUUUUAUCAUAUACAUUUAUAAGUAUAGUAACCUUUAAAUCUUACCGGAGCAGAAGCGUGGAGACCCCUUCUCAUAACAAAUAGGGCAAUAUAGUCUCCUUUUGCAAUAGCUAAUCGUCACAGUGAACCAUGAAAGCUCAAAUCCAUAUAGCAGAGCGCUAUGGAUGUCUGAGAGCAAAAGAUUAUUGACAUCCUUAAAUGGCCACGAUGUCAUCACUAUGAGAUCUAAACUGCACAUCUCUCUUACAUCUGAUGCAUUCAAAUUGCCAACCUUAAUAUACGUGUGUCUUCUGUGUGAAGCAUUUGAAUCAAAGACCCUGUUGCCACAAUGAACAGUUUCCAAAAAGAAAGCAGAAUUUAUGGGAUAUGGGCAGCUCAUUAAAGUAAUAGGCCCGCUUAUUUUAUGCAAGACACGUGAUUUAGAUGAGUUGUAGGUGUAGACACUAUAAGGAUAAUUUUCAGAGAGGUUGUAUCGAAACAUAGAAUACUGAGGAAAGGAGCAAGUGUCAUUUUCUAAAGCAGCAUCAACAAGAUGAAUAGUAAAAUUUUGGUAAUCGAUGGCUUGCACAUGGUACUUUUGAGAGUUUAGAUAAAGUGAGGUUGUAUUGUUUUCACAAACUAGUUCAUAGCUGGAAUCACCACAGCUUUCUGGAUUCCCUUUUAACCGGAAGGGAUAGCUGAUAUUAAGAAUUGUGAGAAGAGAAGCUGAGAAGAAGCAGCGCCUAGGCGCCAUGUCCAGGCGCCUAGGCGCCCAACUGGUUUCUGCCGAUUGUGAACCAGGCAGAAUGUUGGCGCCUAGAGUGGCGCCUAGGCGCCCCGGUACAUAUAUAUAUUUCCGAUUUUUUGCCUCUUCAUUAUGUUAUAACCCUUGCACCCGAUUUUGAGAGAGCAAAAGGGAGAAAGCUUGGAUUGAAUUUUACAAGAUUGAGGUUGUUCAUCUUAGGUAUAAAUUCAAAGUUAUUUUCUUUCUUGGGGAUUAACUUGAGGCUUGUUCAAGUAAUCCAAAUACAUUGUUCUUCAUUUAUUCCAUUGAAAUCAUUUCUUCCUCAUUUUCUUAUUCUUGAAGUGGUUUGGAAUUUUUCACAUUGUCAAGCUUUGUUUGAUUUUGGGCUAUCUUUGGGAGGUGUUUUCCCAACAAUUUGGUAUCAGAGCUUCUUCUUAAAUCAAGGUGGUUAAGUUUCGAUUUUUGGUGAGUUGCUUGAACUUUGUUGUGCACACAAGGUGUUUGGGAAAAUUUUCAAGUGAACUUUGGUGGUUUAUUUUCGGUAAACAAGUGGAUAAAUCAUGUCUACUAGAGGAAUGGUGAAGAUUGGGAAGUAUGAGAUAGAGAAAUUCAAUGGGAAGAAUGAUUUUUCAUAUUGGAAAAUGCAAAUGAAAAAUUUGUUGAUUUCUCAAAAGUUGCACAAGGCAUUAGCGGAAAAGGAGAAGAAGCACGUUGAUAUGUCGGACGAGGAUUGGGAAGAGCUAGAUCUUGAGGCACGAGCGUCUAUCAUUCUUUGCCUUGAAAGAGAUGUUGCUUUCUUGGUUGAUAGUGAGGUAACGACGGCGGAGGUGUGGACAAAGUUGGAGGCGAAUUUCAUGACGAAGACUCUAACAAAUCGGAUCUAUUUGAAGUCCAAAUUGUAUACUUACAAGAUGGAUGAAGGUACACCAAUCCGGAGUACGUCAACAAGUUUGAUAGGAUCAUAUCGGACUUGAAGGACAUUGAUGUCGAAGUAGAUGAUGAGGAUCAAGCACUUCUACUACUUCUUUCAUUGCCGAAGUCUUACGAGAACCUAGUACAAACAUUGAUGCUUGUGGGUGAUAAACUUGUGAUGGAGGACAUUAGAACAUCACUUCUAGCGGAUGAUCUUUGAAAGAUUGCAACUAGUUGCAUGUCUACCAUUGGUAACAAGGAGCAAGCUCAAGGAUUGUUUGUAAGGGGUAGAAGCAAUGUGCGACCAAAGGGCAAGGGAGAAAAAUCUAGAUCGAGUUCUAGACCUCUUGCGGAAAGGUCUUGUUUCAAAUGCGGCGAGCUUAGGCAUUUCAAGGUGAAUUGUCUUAACAAAAAGGGUUGGAAGAAGAACAAUAAGAACAACAACAACGGGAAGGUGCAAGUCAAGCAAGAGGUAAGCUAUGCCUCGGAAGGAGGGGAAAGCGAUGAGUGCUACACCAUCUCUUGUGAUGAAGAAACCUCCGGUAAGUGGAUUCUUGACUCUGGAUGCUCUUACCAUAUGUGUCUAAAUAGGAAGUGGUUUACUACCUAUAGAAGCACUGAUGGUAGAACCGUGUUGAUGGGUAAUAACCAUUCCUGUAAAACGGUGGGGCUCGGUUCAAUUAGAAUCAAGAUGCAUGAUGGAGUGGUUAGAACAUUGAUGGAUGUUAGACAUGGUCCUCAUUUGCGAAAGAACCUUAUCUCUGUUGGUGCUUUAGACUCCGGUGGUUGCAAGAUUGUAACAUGGAAUGGAGUAAAGAAGGUUGUUCGUGGUUCUUUGAUUGUGAUGAAGGGUAUUCGUGAAGGCAAUCUCUAUGCUCUUCAGGGUACUACAGUUACUGAAGAUGUAGCAGUUGGAACAAGUGGAAGUGGUGGAGACCCAUGUGAGUGCAUUCGGCUAUGGCAUAGGAGGCUUGGGCAUAUUUCUGAAAAGGGGCUAAAUUUGCUAGUCAAGAAAGGUUUGCCAAAGAAUUUGAAGAAGCCUUGCAUGGAUUUUUGCGAGCAUUGCAUGUACGGUAAAGCACACUGAGUUCAGUUCCAGCCAAGCAAACAUAGAAGUAGAGGCAUUCUAGACUAUGUGCACACAGAUGUAUGGGGUCCAGCUUCUGUCACUUCCAAAGGCGGUUCCAGGUAUUUUGUUACAUUUGUUGAUGAUUAUUCUAGAUAUGCUUGGAUUUAUUUUUUGAAGCAUAAGAAUGAGGUAUUCGACACUUUCAAGAAGUGGAAAGCAUUGGUUGAAAAGAGAACAGGAAAGAAAUUGAAGACACUGCGAUCUGAUAACGUUACUGAGAAUACAGAUGGUGCUUUCAAGGAGUUUUGUGGUAAGGAAGGCAUUGUGAGACACUGGACAGUUAGAAAUACACCGCAACAGAAUGGGGUCGCGGAAAGACUGAAUCGCACAUUUCGAGAGAAAUCGAUGUGUAUGCGAUCCUAUUCUGGUUUGGGCAGAGAAUGGUGGGCAGAGUCGGUUGCAAAUACUUGCUACAUAGUGAACCGGUCUCCACAUUCAAGGUUAGAUGGAGAUGUACCUUACAGGGUAUUGACGGGAGAACAUGCAGAUUAUGAGAAACUCAGAAUAUUCGAAUGCACAGCCUACUAUCAUGUCAACGAGGGAAAGCUUGAUGCGAGGGCCAAAAAGGCUAUAUUCUUGGGGUAUGCGACAGGUGUUAAAGGCUAUCACCUUUGGUGUGUAGAGGAUUCUAAGUUCAUAAUCAGCAGAGAUGUUACUUUUGAUGAGAACUCCAUGAUAGCUUCGUUGAAAGCUACAGUGCCCGGUGGUUAUGAUGUUGAGACUACAAUGCCUCAAGUUGUUGACAUAGAACCUAGAGAUCAACCUGAUUCUAGGCAUGUUCAAGAGGAGCAUCAUACAGACACUCAAGAUGAGAGUGAUGAUGGGCUUGAACAAGAGGCGGUUCAACAAGAGAAUGUACAGGCACAGCAACAACAGCAGCUUACAGAUAACUUGGCUUCCUCUAGGCCACGCCGUACUUACAAGCAAGUUCUAAAGUUGGGGUCAAACGAGCCUUUGAGACACUAUGGGCAAACAAAUUUGGUUGAGUAUGCACUCUCGGUGGAGGAUGAUGACCCAGCAGACAUGUUAACCAAAGUGGUAACGGGUAGCAAGUUUCAGCAUUGCUUGGACUUGCUUCACAUUAGUCCGUGUUGAUAUGCCCGAGUGGGCAUGGCCCUUCGGGGUGGGGUUGAAAUGAGGUGGAGAGUAUAUGAAGGUGGAGGUGAACUACGGAGGCUUGAUCUCGAGUUUUGGGUACGUAGGCAAUCAUGGUUUGAAUGGUGCAGCCGAGUUUUGGUGCUUGCUACUUCUUCUUGUGUUCGUCCAAAAUUUGAGGUCUAUCAAAUGAUGUACGAGAUGAAGAAUUGUGAGAAGAGAAGCUGAGAAGAAGCAGCGCAUAGGCGUUGGAGUGGGCGCCUAGGCGCCACUCAAGUGGCGCCUAGACACCUCGAUUGUGAACUAGGCAGAAUGUUGGCGCCUAGGCGCCAUAUAUAUAUUUUCGAUUUUUUGCCUCUUCAUUAUGUUAUAACCCUUGCUCCCGAAUUUUGAGAGAGCAAAGGAAGAAAGCUUGGAUUGAAUUUUACAAGAUUGAGGUUGUUCAUCUUGGGUAUAUGUGAGAAGAGAAGCUGAGAAGAAGUAGGAAGAGAAGCAAGAAGAGAAGUUGAGAAGAGGUGCAGCACCUAGGCGCUGGAGUGGGCGCCUAGGGGCCAUGUCCAGGUGCCUAGGCGCCCCGAUUGCCAAAUCUGGCAGUAAGUUGGCGCCUAGGUGCCCAGAGUGCUGGAGGAAAUCAGAAACAUGGCGCCUAGGCGCCACUCUUGUUGCGCCUAGGUGCCCCGAUAGGUAUAUAUAUUGCCAAUUUUUCCCUCUUUCAACAACACAACCCUUGCACCCGAAAAUAAGAGAGGAAAAGAGAGAACUUGGAGAGAAUUUUACAAGAUUGAAGGUUGUUCAUCUUGGGUAUAAAUUCAAAGUUAUUUUCUUUCUUGGGGAUUAACUUGAGGCUUGUUCAAGUAAUCUAAAUACAUUGUUAUUCAUAUAUUCCAUUGAAAUCAUUUCUUCCUCAUUUUCUUGUUCUUGAAGUGGUUUGGAAAUUUUCACAUUGUCAACUUUGUUUGAUCUUUGGGCUAUCUUUGGGAGGUGUUUUCCCAACAAUUUGGUAUCAGAGCUUUUUCCAAAAUCAAGGUGGUUAAGCUUUAAUUUUGUGGUGAGUUGCUUGAACUUUGUUGUGCACAAGGUGUUUGUGAAAAUUCCCAAGUGAACUUUGGUGAUUUAUUUUCGGUAAAUAAGUGGAUAAAUCAUGUCUACUAGAGAAAUGGUGAAGAUUGGGAAGUAUGAGAUAGAGAAAUUCAAUGGGAAGAAUGAUUUUUCAUAUUAGAGAAUGCAAAUGAAAAAUUUGUUGAUUUCUCAAAAGUUGCACAAGGCAUUGCGAAAAAGGAGAAGAAGCACGUUGAUAUGUCGGACGAGGAUUGGGAAGAGCUAGACUUGAGGCACGAGCGUCUAUCAUUCUUUGCCUUGAAAGAGAUGUCGCUUUCUUGGUUGAUAGUGAGGUAACGGCGGCGGAGGUGUGGACAAAGUUGGAGGCAAACUUCAUGACGAAGACUCUAACAAAUCGGAUCUAUUUGAANNNNNNNNNNNNNNNNNNNNNNNNNNNNNNNNNNNNNNNNNNNNNNNNNNNNNNNNNNNNNNNNNNNNNNNNNNNNNNNNNNNNNNNNNNNNNNNNNNNNNNNNNNNNNNNNNNNNNNNNNNNNNNNNNNNNNNNNNNNNNNNNNNNNNNNNNNNNNNNNNNNNNNNNNNNNNNNNNNNNNNNNNNNNNNNNNNNNNNNNNNNNNNNNNNNNNNNNNNNNNNNNNNNNNNNNNNNNNNNNNNNNNNNNNNNNNNNNNNNNNNNNNNNNNNNNNNNNNNNNNNNNNNNNNNNNNNNNNNNNNNNNNNNNNNNNNNNNNNNNNNNNNNNNNNNNNNNNNNNNNNNNNNNNNNNNNNNNNNNNNNNNNNNNNNNNNNNNNNNNNNNNNNNNNNNNNNNNNNNNNNNNNNNNNNNNNNNNNNNNNNNNNNNNNNNNNNNNNNNNNNNNNNNNNNNNNNNNNNNNNNNNNNNNNNNNNNNNNNNNNNNNNNNNNNNNNNNNNNNNNNNNNNNNNNNNNNNNNNNNNNNNNNNNNNNNNNNNNNNNNNNNNNNNNNNNNNNNNNNNNNNNNNNNNNNNNNNNNNNNNNNNNNNNNNNNNNNNNNNNNNNNNNNNNNNNNNNNNNNNNNNNNNNNNNNNNNNNNNNNNNNNNNNNNNNNNNNNNNNNNNNNNNNNNNNNNNNNNNNNNNNNNNNNNNNNNNNNNNNNNNNNNNNNNNNNNNNNNNNNNNNNNNNNNNNNNNNNNNNNNNNNNNNNNNNNNNNNNNNNNNNNNNNNNNNNNNNNNNNNNNNNNNNNNNNNNNNNNNNNNNNNNNNNNNNNNNNNNNNNNNNNNNNNNNNNNUGUACGGUAAAGCACACUGAGUUCAGUUCCAGUGUAGCAAACAUAGAAGCAGAGGCAUUCUUGACUAUGUGCACACGGAUGUAUGGGGUCUAGCUUCUGUCACUUCCAAAGGUGGUUCCAAGUAUUUUGUUACAUAUGUUGAUGAUUAUUCUAGAUAUGCUUGGAUUUAUUUUUUGAAGCAUAAGAAUGAGGUAUUCGACACUUUCAAGAAGUGGAAAGCAAUGGUUGAAAAUAGAACAGGAAAGAAAUUGAAGACACUGAGAUCUGAUAACGGUACGGAGUAUACAUAUGGUGCUUUCAAGGAGUUUUGUGGUAAGGAAGGCAUUGUGAGACACUGGACAGUAAGAAAUACACCGCAACAGAAUGGGGUCGCGGAAAGACUGAAUCGCACAUUUCGAGAGAAAUCGAUGUGUAUGCGAUCCUAUGCUGGUUUGGGCAGAGAAUGGUGGGCAGAGUCGGUUGCAAAUGCUUGCUACAUAGUGAACCGGCCUCCACAUUCAAGGUUAGAUGGAGUUGUACCUUAUAGGGUAUUGACAGGAGAACAUGCAGAUUAUGAGAAACUCAGAACAUUCGGAUGCACAUCCUACUAUCAUGUCAACGAGGGAAAGCUCGAUGCGAGGGCCAAGAAGGCUAUAUUCUUGGGGGUAUGCAGCAGGUGUUAAAGGCUAUCGCCUUUGGUGUGUAGAGGAUUCUAAGUUCAUAAUCAGCAGAGAUGUUACUUUUGAUGAGAACUCCAUGAUAGCUUCGUUGAAAGCUACAGUGCCCGGUGGUGAUGAUAUUGAGACUACAAUGUCUCAAGUUGUUGACAUAGAACCUAGAGAUCAACCUGAUUCUAGGCAUGUUCAAGAGGAGCAUCAAACAGACACUCAAGAUGAGAGUGAUGAUGCACUUGAACAAGAGGCGGUUCAACAAGAGAAUGUACAGGCACAGCAACAACAGCAGCUUACAGAUAACUUGGCUUCCUCUAGGCCACGCCGUACUUACAAGCAAGUUCUAAAGUUGGGGUCAAACGAGCCUUUGAGGCACUAUGGGCAGACAAAUUUGGUUGAGUAUGCACUCUCAGUGGAGGAUGAUGAGCCUACCACUUUCAAGGAAGCUAUUUUAAACAACAAUAGCGAGAGUUGGUUGGCGGCAAUGGAGGAAGAGAUGGAAUCACUUUACUAGAACCAAACAUGGGAGGUUGUCCCAUUGCCCAUAGGUAAGAAAGCUAUUGGUUGCAAGUGGUUGUAUAAAAAGAAGGAGGAUCCUACCAAGCUCGGUGGUACAAGAUUCAAAGCGAGGUUACACAAAGAGAGGGAGUUGACUACAAUAAGAUCUUUUCUCCGGUGGUCAAGCACACUUCCAUUCGGGUGCUAUUGAGUAUUGUUGCUCAUCAUGAUCUUGAGCUGGAACAACUCGAUGUCAAAAUCGCCUUCUUGCACGGGGACUUGGAUGAGGAAAUCUAUAUGAAUCAACCUGAGGGCUACAAGGUUGAGGAUAAGGAACGUCAGGUAUGUCGCUUGAGAAAAUCACUAUAUGGAUUGAAGCAAUCUCCUCGGUAGUGGUACAAGCGAUUUGACUCCUUCAUGCUAAAGCAUGGUUUCUCCAGAAGGGAGUAUGACUGUUGUGUUUAUAUUCGAAAACUUCGGAGAGGUAACUAUAUCUAUCUUCUAUUGUAUGUGGAUGACAUGCUUAUCGCUUCGAAAAGUAAGGUAGAGAUAGAUAAGUUGAAAUCUCAACUUGGUAAAGAGUUUGAGAUGAAGGAUAUGGGGGCUGCUAGGAAAAUACUGGGUAUGGAGAUUAGAAGAGAGAGGACGAACCGUCGAAUGUUCUUGAGUCAGAAAGGCUACAUUGAGCGGGUUAUUGCUAGGUUCGGGUUGCAAGGUGUAAAGCCAGUGGUAACUCCAUUGGCUCCUCAUUUCAGGCUCUCUGGUAAAUAGUCUCCUACUACAGCGGAAGAAAAGGUACGCAUGGAUCGUGUGCCUUAUGCUAGUGCAGUUGGCAGUUUGAUGUAUGCCAUUGUGUGUACACGCCCAGAUAUUUCACAGGCGGUUAGUAUGGUCAGUAGAUUCAUGGCGAAUCCGGGAAAGGCACACUGGAAAGCUGUGAAGUGGAUCCUGAGGUACUUAAAAGGUACCGCGGAUACGGGUUUAUGUUUUGGUGGAGAUGCAUGUCAUAUAAGUGGGUUGUGGACUCGGAUUAUGCAGGUGACCUAGAUAGACGACGAUCUACUACUGGAUAUGUGUUUUGUAUACAUGGUGCCCCAGUUAGUUGGCGAUCGAUGCUACAGACUACAGUUGCUCUUUCUACUACAGAGGCCGAGUAUAUGGCCAUGGCAGAGGGAGUGAAGGAAGCAUUGUGGUUGUGGGGUCUUCUAGAUGAUUUGGGGAUUGAGCAGGAUUGUGUGGACUUAUGGUGUGAUAGCCAUAGUGCGAUUCACUUGGCUAAAAAGCAGGUUCAUCAUGCUCGAACCAAGCAUAUCGACGUCAGGUAUCAUUUUGUGCGUGAUGUCAUAGAGGAAGGUGAUAUUUCACUCUCGAAGGUACACACAAAUGAGAACCCAGCUGACAUGUUAACCAAAGUGGUAACGGGUAGCAAGUUUUAACAUUGCUUGGACUUGCUUCACAUUAGUCCGUGUUGAUAUGUCCAUGUGGGCAUGGCCCUUCGGGGCGAGGUUGAAAUGAGGUGGAGAGUAUAUGAAGGUGGAGGUGAACUAGGAGGCAUGAUCUCGAGUUUUGGGUACGUAGGCAAUCAUGGUUUGAAUGGUGCAGCCGAGUUUUGGUGCUUGCUACUUCUCCUUGUGUUCGUCCAUAAUUUGAGGUCUAUCAAAUGAUGUACGAGGUGGAGAAUUGUGAGAAGAGAAGCUGAGAAGAAGCAGGAAGAGAAGCAAGAAGAGAAGCUGAGAAGAGGUGCAGUGCCUAGGCGCUGGAGUGGGCGCCUAGGCGCCUCGACUGCCAAAUCUGGCAGUAAGUUGGCGCCUAGGCGCCAGUCAAGUGGCGCCUAGGCACCCCGAGUGCUGGAGGAAAUCAGAAAUAUGGCGCUUAGGCGCCCCGAUAGGUAUAUAUAUUGCCAAUUUUUCCCUCUUUCAACAACACAACCCUUGCACCCGAAAAUAAGAGAGGAAAAGAGAGAAAACUUGGAGAGAAUUUUACAAGAUUGAAGGUUGUUCAUCUUUGGUAUAAAUUCAAAGUUAUUUUCUUUCUUAGGGAUUAACUUGAGGCUUGUUCAAGCAAUCCAAAUACAUUGUUAUUCAUAUAUUCCAUUGAAAUCAUUUCUUCCUCAUUUUCUUGUUCUUGAAGUGGUUUGGAAAUUUUCACAUUGUCAACUUUGUUUGAUCUUUGGGCUAUCUUUGGGAGGUGUUUUCCCAACAGUAUAUAUUCAAAGUUAUUUUCUUUCUUGGGGAUUAACUUGAGGCUUGUUCAAGUAAUCCAAAUACAUUGUUCUUCAUUUAUUCCAUUGAAAUCAUUUCUUCCUCAUUUUCUUGUUCUUGAAGUGGUUUGGAAUUUUUCACAUUGUCAAGCUUAGUUUGAUCUUGGGCUAUCUUUGGAAGGUGUUUUCCCAACAGGAAUGCUGCCACAGGCAGAAGGGUUGCACUGGGGAUUAUAGUUUGUUACAACAAACUAUCAGUACAAAACCACAUAAAUAAACAAGAAAGAUUACAAGAAAAAAUGAGGCAGAAAAUGAAAUCCUCCAGACGUUCACAGAGAACUCAAACCACACGGCAUCAAGAUGAAGUUCCUUUCUAGAAUAGGGCUCAGACUCAAGAAAAUACAGGAUUGUACCCUUCUGUAUGACCCACACCGAUCGCCCCAAACCCUAAGGUUUUCCUCUAUCAGUUAAAGGAAACCACAAGGGGUAAAAUCACACACCAAACUCUCCAAUACACACAGUAUUAUAUAUCACAAAGACGGAAUCACACAGAAACCAGAUCCAAUCAGAGAUUGGAUUCUCAUGAAGAAGAAGAGAGGGUAUGGAAGACUCUCGAACCUCAGCCGCAGCUGGAGAGAAGGGAAAAUGACGGUUCAAGUGAAUUAGGGCAAAAGGGGCCAAGUAUAUAUAUUAACAAAAAGCACCCUUAGAUCAAAUUUAAUCCGACGGUCAGGAGGCAUCCAUAUAACUGAAGAAAGGCGUGUUUGGCUGCAUUAAAAUAUGCCACGCCAAAACACGUUUUAUCUACCAUUGGGUCGGGGCGGAUCGGGUCAUGUUAUUGGGCAAGAGCCUAAAUUGUUAAAACAGUUAUUGGGCUUUAGCCCAUUUGUCAUCACAGCCCAGAAAAGGUCAUUGGUCAUCACAGCCCAACAACCUCCACCUUGAUGCCAAUGGGAUUUCUGAGCACUUGCAGCCCUCCUAUUGACACCAAGUUGUACCUGCAUUUAAAGAAUUAACCUGUAUCAAUAUUCAAAAGUGCCAAACAUGAUUUAAACUUAGAAAGAGGCAAUACCUUUGUCCCCAUGUCUGAUGGAUUGUACUGUGUAGGAAUUUUUUCAAGAAGAACAGAUUCAUUUGAGACAACAUCUCUAAUAAAAUGUAACUUUACAUCUAUGUGUUUAGUUCUUUCAUGAAAAACAGGUUUCUUACACAAGUGUAUUGCACUUUGGCUAUCUAAAUAAACAAUCACAGGUUCAUUUAACAUCCUAAUUUCAGAUAAUAGUCCCUUAAGCCACAAAGCUUCCUUCACAGCUUCUGUGGCAGCUACAUACUCAGCCUCUGUGGUUGAUAAAGCAACUAUAGGCUGUAAUUGGGACUUCCAACUCACACAGGUACCACAAAGUGUGAACAUAUAGGCAGAAGUGGACUUUCUAUGGUCCCUAUCACCAGCAAAAUCAGCAUCCACAAAGCCUUUAAGUAUCAUUCCUUCAUUACCCUUUUUAUAUACUAAUCCUAUACUAGAUGUGCCUUUUAAGUACCUAAGUAACCACUUAAGUGCUUCCCAAUGUUCGGGACCAGGAUUAGCCAUAAAUCUACUUAAAGUGCUGAUUGCAUGAGCCACAUCAGGUCUGGUACAGACCAUGGUAUACAUUAUAGACCCUACAGCAUUAGCAUAUGGAACCUUUUCCAUGUACCUUAUAUCAGAUUCAUCAAUUGGGCAUUGCUCUUUACUUAAUUUGAAAUGACUAGCUAAAGGCAAAGACACAGAUUUUGAUUCAUGCAUUGAAAACAUGGAUAAAACUUUUUCUGUAUAAGCUGAUUGUUUCAAAAUCAAAAUAGAUUGUGCUCUUUUUCUAAGUAUAUCCAUUCCCAAUAUCCUUUUAGCAUGCCCCAAAUUUUUCAUUUCAAAUUCAGCACCAAAGAUAUCUUUAAUAUCAUUUAUCUGUUUUAAAUCAGGCCCAAUCAAAAGCAUAUCAUCAACAUAGAGUAACAGAAAAAUUGAUAUUGAAGAAUCUGAAUCUUUGUUAAAGUAAAGGCAAUGAUCAUAAGAGCUUCUUACAAAACCAACAGUCAUGACAAAAGUGUCAAACCUUUUAUACCAUUGUCUAGGGGACUGUUUUAAACCAUAUAAGGAUUUCUUAAGCAAGCACAUAAAGUCAGAUUUAGAUUUAUUCACAAAACCCUCAGGUUGUGGCAUAUAAAUUGUCUCAUCUAAAUCACCAUGUAAGAAGGCUGCUUUUUCAUCAAUUUGUUCUAAUUCCCAAUUGUGAUGUGCAACUAAUGCUAGUAGGACUCUUAUAGUUGUGUAUUUUACAACGGGUGAAAAUAUCUCAUUAUAAUCUACACCCUGUUUUUGUGUAAAUCCUUUAGCAACUAAUCUUGCUUUAAAUCUCACAGGCUCAUUUUCUGAACUGCCUUCUUUCACCUUAUAAAUCCAUUUAUUUUUGGGUCUAGGCACAAGAUCCCAAGUUUUAUUCUUCAUUAGAGAACUCAUCUCUUCUCUCAUGGCAACUUCCCACUUGCCAGACUGGUUACAACUCAUGGCUUCAUUAUAGGUCUUGGGUUCCUUAUAGGCUAGGUCAUUAUAAGACAUGACAGAAUAGGAUAGAUAGUCUUCAUAUCUUGUAGGUUCUCUUAUGUUCCUUCUAGGCCUAUCCCUAGUCAAUUGAUAGUCACUAAGAUCACUUUGUUGACUGGGAUCAUCCAUUUCAGUUUGUUCAUGUUCCUCUACACCUGAAUUUUCUAAUUCGGUUUGAGUCUGAGGUAGUGUAGGUUCAUUCAUAUUAUUAGGAACAGAAUCAGUUUGAGAUCCCAACUCCACCUAAAACCUUGUCACAUUUGGAUUUUCAGGGUCUGCAGACUUUUGUUUUUCUAAACAGGGCAUCUCUUCCUCAUUGAAGGUAACAUCUCUACUUGUUAUCAUUUUAUACCCCCCUUAACCUCUAGCCUAUAACCUAUAGCCUUUAAUUCCUUCAGGAUAACCAAAGAACACACAUUUCUGAGCCCUUGGCUCCAGUUUCCCCAAAUUCUGGUGACAAUAAGCUGUACACCCGAAUAUUCUAAGGUGCUUAGUCUGGUAUUUUCCCAGACCACUUCUCUUCAGGUGUCUUACCUUCCAAAGCACUUGAAGGGGUUCUAUUCACUAUAUAUGUGGCUGUCAUAACAGCCUCCCCCCACAACACCUUAGGAACUCCAGAUCCCACCAUCAUACAUCUAACCUUAUCCAACAAGGUCCUAUUCAUUCUCUCAGCCACCCCAUUCUGUUGAGGUAUGUAUGGGACAGUUUUGUGUCUUAGGAUUCCAUUUGAUUCACAAAGUUUAUCAAAUUCUGAGUUGCAAAAUUCAAGUCCAUUAUCAGUUCUCAAAAUUUUAAUCUUUGUAGACAUUUGAUUUUCAAUAAGGACUUUCCAGCUUUUAAACUUUUCAAAGGUUUCAGAUUUGUGCUUUAAUAGAAACACCCACACCUUUCUUAAAAAGUCAUCAAUAAAUACUUAUUCCCCCCGGAGUAGUUGUGGAGGUUGGACCCCACAAAUCAGAGUGGACAUAUUCCAAUGGAGAAGUAGUUUUAUGUUUUCCAGAAUUAAAAUGGAGUCUGUGAUGUUUACCAAAGGUGCAACUUUCACAGAAAGGUAUUUUUGAUAUUUGGUUCUUUCCAAAUACCCCCCCUUUUUGUAGGAUUGUGAGGCCUUUUUCACCAACAUGUGCAAGCCUCUUAUGCCAUUUUAAGGUGGAAUCAGAUUCAAUAUUAGAGAUAGUUGCAUUAUGUUCAAGUAUUAUUUCAGCUCUAACUACAUAGAUUCCAUUUUUCUUAACACCCUUAAAGAUGACAAGAGAUCCCUUGAUCACUUUCAUCAAUCCAUCUCCAAUCCUACCACACAGCCCUAGGUCAUCUAAUUCUCCCAUAGAUAUCAGAUUUCUUUUGAGUUCAGGGCCAUACCUCACUCUCUCUAGGGUAUACAUGUAUCCAUUUUCAAAUUUUAGGGUCACAUUUCCUAAGCCUUCAACUCUGCAGGCAAUAUUAUUUUCCAUCACCACUUCACCACCAGCUAGCUUUUUAAAAUCUUGUAGCCAGGCCCUUUCAUGUGUAAUAUGAAAGGUGCAGCCUGAGUCUAAAAUCCACUCAUGUACAUAUCUGUUGUGGCAUAAUUUGCCACCUCCAGAUCAGGUUGCUGAGCCACCACAUGAACAUCAACUGUAUUAGGCUCAGCAGGCUCAACUACAUUCCCCUCAUCAACAUUCUUCUCUUUAGGUUCAAUUUUCUUAUUAUAGCAGUCUUUUAUGUAAUGACCAAGCUUACCACAGCCAUAGCACUUCCUGUUAUUCCUAGAUUUUGAUUUAGAUCUUGAUUUACUCCUGAACUUCUUCCUAUUACUAUUUCCAGAAUUGUUUUGAUUUGGAUAGUUAUUAUUUUGCCUCUUUGGUUGCCUUCCCCUCAUGUACAAACUCUCAUGUUCCUUUCCAUGUUUUUCAGUUUUAAGUUCCAAUUCUUUACUUCUUAUGGAAUUUAUAACAACUUCUGGAGUCAAAGUAUCUCUGCCAUACUUAAUGGCAGAUUUGACAUCCCUAUAUGCCUCCGGUAUAGCAUUAAGAAGUAUUACUGCUUUAUAUUCUUCAGAAAUUUUAUCCCCUGCAUUGGUGAUAUCUUGUACCAAUUUAUUAAAGAUAUCAAGAUUAUCAUCCAGGUCUUUGGUUGGAUCAAUCUUACAACUAAAGAACCUUUCUAGAAGGAAGAGUUUAUUAGGUAAGGAUUUCACUAAGUAUAAUUCCUCUAAUUUCUCCCAUAAGGCCUUAGCAUUUUCUAAUUUCCCUACUUUCCUUAGAACUUGGUCAGAUAGGUGGAGAAUUAUUGAGGUAUAGGCUAAAUCAUCUGAUUCAUUUUUCUGAUCUUGUGUCAUUGUUUCAGGAAACUCUCCAGUUAUUGCCUUAGAGACUUUCUGUUGUACUAAAACCCCUCUCAUUUUUUGCUGCCAUAUAGGAAAAUCUCCCUUCCCAUUAAAGACCCCAAGUUCAAAACUAGUGGAAGUCAUUUUCUAGAUCAAACAAGUCACACUCAGUAAUUUCUGAUUUGAUCAUAACAUACAGAUGAGAAACAGAGAUUCUUCAUAACACAGGCAAAGCAACAUAAUGUGUGUAAGUGUGAAAAAAAAAUAACAAUUUAAGAUACACACUGUCUCCAACACCAAGUUAAAGAAAAUCAAGUACCCUGCCCUACCAGGAUUCCGUGAGACUCAAGAUCUCAGGUCAAGGCUUGGGUGAAGGGUAGAGGUUUUGUUUGAUACAAAAAGGAUUAAGAGAGAUAUUAAUACAGAAUAUAAGAACAGAACAAACUGCUACAAUAUUCAAGCAUAUCAAGAAUCAGUAACUAAAAAACUCAAGUAUACUUUUAUCAGAUGAAUAUAGGCAGAAUAACUCCAGACACACAGAUAUACUGCAAUACUGUCUUUAAACAAAUGUAGGCAGAUUUGAGGCUAAGUACACAACCACACUGUAUUACUUUUAACAAAAAAAAUAUAUAGACAGUUUAUUGCUUAAGUAUAAAGUUCCAUAUUCACAAAACAAUUAACAGGAAGUAUCAGUCAACUAAGACAUGUGACGAAGAAAUCAGGCAGUAAAGAUUUAAGUGGUCGUUACACUUGACCACACACGAAGUUCGAACAACUCACAUCACCGAAGCAGUGUUUCACCAAGAAAUAGAGAUUUAUCACAAAGAACUCAAGAUCUAGGGUUUUAAGUCUAAAACGAUUUUACCAGAUCCACUGCAACAGGUAAGGAUGUGGUUCGAUUCACCCACACGAGCCAGACGAAGGCUCUGAUACCACUGUUACAACAAACUAUCAGUACAAAACCACAGAAAUAAACAAGAAAGAUUACAAGAAAAAAUGAGGCAGAAAAUGAAAUCCUCCAGUCGUUCACAGAGAACUCAAACCACACGGCAACAAGAUGAAGUUCCUUUCUAGAAUAGGGCUCAAACUCAAGAAAAUACAGGAUUGUACCCUUCUGUAUGACCCACACCGAUCGCCCCAAACCCUAAGGUUUUCCUCUAUCAGUUAAAGGAAACCACAAGGGGUAAAAUCACACACCAAACUCUCCAAUACACACAGUAUUAUAUAUCACAAAGACGGAAUCACACAGAAACCAGAUCCAAUCAGAGAUUGGAUUCUCACGAAGAAGAAGAGAGGGUAUGGAAGACUCUCGAACCUCAGCCGCAGCUGGAGAGAAGGGAAAAUGACGGUUCAAGUGAAUUAGGGCAAAAGGGGCCAAGUAUAUAUAUUGACAAAAAGCACCCUUAGAUCAAAUUUAAUCCGAUGGUCAGGAGGCAUCCAUAUAACUGAAGAAAGGCGUGUUUGGCUGCAUUAAAAUAUGCCACGCCAAAACACGUUUUAUCUACCAUUGGGUCGGGGCGGAUCGGGUCAUGUUAUUGGGCAAGAGCCUAAAUUGUUAAAACAGUUAUUGUUGGAAUCACCACAGCUUUCUGGAUCCCCUUUUAAUCGGAAAGGAUCGCUGAUAACAGGAAUGCUGCCACAGGCAGAACGGUUGCAUUGGAGAUUAUUGCUUUCGCUGGAUGUUUGAAGUAAUUGGAUUAGGAUUAGGAUAGAUAAACAUUCAAGAACGAAGGUUUCUCUAACCAUGACUUGUGAGAGUGUGGAUAGAAACUACUAAGGGAAAGACUAACCUAUGCUUCACAAACUAAGGCUCAGCAUAAGGCAAGGAAAGACUUGGGAUAUAGUCUUUUCCAUCGAGUGUGAAUGCUUAAGUCUUCCUUCCAUGGACUCGAGAUAUAGUCAAGCUUGGCAGCUGGGAUUUGUACCAUCAGAAAGAGACACUGGAGCUAUUUCUCAAUUCAAAUUACGACUUCACAAAGGAAUAGCCUGGGCCACAAAGCUUUCGUUUCCCAACAGUUAUUUGAAAUAAAUUCUGUUCACAAAACAAAAUUUCUAAUGUAAGAUUCAGACUGGUAAGAGAGGAAGGUGAAGAAAAUAGAUGACUUCGAAGAUUAUAAUGUUCAUCUUCAGAAUGCACUCAUCAAGCCUUACUAUUCUUAUUCUAUUGUAUGUAAAUUGAGUGGUAAUUUACUUAAUUUUGGUAAAUUAUGUUCAUUAUUAAAAAAUCCCAACUCAGAUAUAAUUAGUGUGAAAUAAUUAUUUGGAGCUCAAUUGGAGUUGAUUCUAGCAAUUGAAAAUUAAUUGGAUUGCAAUUGAUCAAUUGGAAGUAUUAAUGGAGCAUUUAGUAAAAAUUCAUAAAUUUCAAGAGUUAGGGACGAAAUUGAAGACUUCUAAAACGAUCAACUAUUAAUGAUUUUACGAUGAAAGAUUAAAAUUCCAUGUAUUGUCUUAACAAACUACUUCAUAGCUGUAAUCACCACAGCGUUUUGAUAGUCUUCCAUCGUGUGUGAAUGCUCAAGUCUAUUAAUUGAUUAAAAUUCCUAUGGGGAAAGACUCAAUUCUCCCUUCCAUCGUGUGUGAAUGCUCAAGUCUUUUCCAUGUGUGUGAAUGCUCAAGUCUUCCUUCCAUGGACUUGAGAUAUUUCCUGCUAUGUACUUAUCAAGACAGUCAUUUUGAAUCUCAACUUCAUAAAGGAAAAGCUUUUUGUUUCCCAACAGUUAAUUGAAAUAAAUUCUCUUCGAGUGACUUAGUCAAAACAAAUUUUAUUUUAUUUUAUUUUUUUUAAUACAUAUAAGAAUCACAUUGAAAAGAGGAAGAUGCAGAAAACAGAUAAGACAUUGAAGAUUAAAAUGUUCCCCUUCGUCUGCUACAUGUUAUUCUUACGUUUCUUUCCGCUGCUUGUAGUAGGAUUUGACGAUUGUACAACAACUUGGUGCGCUGAAGGUGGCCCGAGCAUUCGGUUUCCUUUCAGGCAUAAAUUUCUACAGCCAGAACAUUGUGGUUAUCCAGGUUUCAAUCUGUAUUGCAGCAAUAGCAAUGAAACUGUGCUAGAACUGCCUUUUUCAGUUAAGCUAGUAGUAACAAAAAUUGAUUAUGUAGCUCAAAAAAUUCAGCUACAUGAUCCUGAUGGUUGUCUAGCCCAAAAGCUUAUGAAUUAUAGUUUAGCAGCCUCUCAAUUUCACUUCCUUACAGAUGACUUGUAUGACUACAGUCUGUUCAAAUGUUCUGCAACUAAUAGAGAUAUAUCCUCUAAUAUUCCUUGUCUCCGAGGUGGCUAUGCCAUUGCUUCUUCUGAUGCUAACAUUGACUCAUAUUUUUUGAUUUCAUGCACCAAGAUACAUGAAAUAUCUGUUCCAAGGAAUAUACUAAAUGAAAAUGAUCUUUAUCUGAAAUGGACGGAACCAUAUUGUGGCCACUGCGAAGCUCAAGGCAGAAAUUGCAGCUUAGAUGCUACUACAAAAAAGACUCAGUGUACCAAGAAGCCUAAGACACAUAGUAGUAUAUACUCAACCCAUCUUCCAUUUUGAUUUUGUAAAUCUUUCAAACAAAAAAUGGCUCAUGUCACUGCACCUUGUAUUAUGUUUUAAAUAGCACAAGGAGAUGAUAUCUUCGCUUUAUUUCCUUACAGGUGCACAUAGGAGACGUUUGGUUACAGGUGAUUUUUACCUUUAUACAGUAUAAUUUACGGCAUCAACACUUUUCUAUCUUGCGCUGGAUAUCAUUAGGAUUACUGGUCUUUUUUUGUUAUCUGCAGGUGCCACCUUAGGUGCUUUCUUUUCAGUGGGAACAUUUGUAGCGCUAUACUAUGUCUACAGGUCAAGUAGAAUAAAGAAAGAGGAUCAAGCGAAGAUUGAAAAGUUUUUGGAAGAUUACAGAGCUCAAAAGCCCAUCAGAUUCUCUUAUGCAGAGAUUAGAAGGAUUACAAAUCAUUUCAACGAAAAAUUGGGUGAAGGAGGCUACGGAACUGUAUAUAAAGGGAAGCUGACCAAUGAAAUUUAUGUUGCUGUAAAGGUCCUCAACAAUUCCAAGGGAAACGGGGAGGAAUUCAUCAAUGAAGUUGGAACAAUCGGGAAAAUCCACCAUGUCAACGUGGUUUGUUUGGUAGGUUUUUGUGCCGACGGAUUUAGAAGAGCUCUCAUGUACGAAUUUCUACCAAAUGACUCACUGGAAAAGUUUAUUUUUCGAGCUAGUCCUAAGAGCAAUUCCCUUGGUUGAGUGACUUUGGUCUAGCCAAAUUGUGUUCCAAGGAUAAGAGUUCUGUGUCAAUUACGGCUGCAAGAGGAACCAUGGGCUAUAUUGCACCUGAGGUUUUGUCAAGGAAUUUUGGUAAAGUAUCUUAUAAAUCGGAUGUUUAUAGCUUUGGGAUGUUAUUGCUCGAAAUGGUUGGAGGGAGGAAGAACAAUGAUACUACAACAAACACUAGCCAAGUGUACUUUUCCGAAUGGAUUUCUAAUCAAUUAAGUCAAGAAGAAGAGUUGCACAUCCGAAUUGAGGAAAGUGAUGAUGCUACUAUACUAAAAAAACUAGCUAUUGUGGGGCUCUGGUGCAUUCAGUGGUAUCCAACAGAUCGGCCAUCCAUGAAAGUAGUAGUUCAAAUGUUGGAAGGAGAUGUGGACAAUCUCACCAUGCCUCCUCAUCCCGUUCCAGAUACAAAUGGGACAAACUCCAUUGCAGGAAUACGACGAAGACCUCAUCAGAUAGAGUUGGCAGUCAUAUCAGAAUUGGAGUGACAAGGCAAAUUUUAGUAGAUUUGAAUUUUUAAAGAACAGGGGAGUAUUAAAUAUUUUCCUAUGGGCUAUUUUUCCUUUUAUAUUCUGCAAUAAUGUUUGUAUCAUCU